This 97917-nucleotide long non-coding RNA is filed under the name Triticum aestivum (bread wheat). RNAcentral's name for it is "long non-coding RNA (TAES_LNC025512)". The record is from RNAcentral. Lineage: Eukaryota; Viridiplantae; Streptophyta; Magnoliopsida; Poales; Poaceae.
GACGCCCUGUCCUUCGCGGAAGUGGGCUGGUGCUUUAACUAGGGGAGGCUACUAGUGGCGGCCUUGCCGUGCCUCCCCCUUGGUAUAUAUAUGAUAUAUGACUUUGCUCAUAAGACAAUGGGAGUUGACUAGGUAGUAUCUAACCUGUCAUACUGACUUCUGUUGAUAGAAGAGAGUGGGGAUGAGAUGCUGCUUAGGAUGCUUUAUCCGCGAAUAAUCUUGAAGUUUGUGGACGCUUGUUUUUUCUUUUCUUUUAACUCAAAUGGAACUCUAGUAGAGGUGUGCUUUGUGAGUAGAUGUUGAAAGUGUGGAUUGUGUGUGUUUGGUGCCUGGGUAUUGAUAAUCAAGAACAAGUUACAUAUGGAACUUGAAUCGCAUCUGAAGAUGGAAAUAGCAGCCGGAAUGAUUAUUAUUUUUGCCUUUUGAGGGUUGCAACUGAGUUUUCUCUUUUCUCCGAGACCCAGUUUUGCUGUUGAAUUGACAAUUCUUACAAAGAAAUUGUAGGUGUUAAAUUUCACAAAAUCCACCUUUAGGUAUCUUGUGAUGUAAAGCUGUAGAAAUAGCCCUAGGCCUCCUUUUUUUAUUUAAAGGAAUUGUUUGUAGAAAUGAAUUCCUAUUCUUAUCUAAGAUAGGAAUCAGUUCUUUACAUUUCGAAGUAAAAGUAAAUAUUAGCGUAGACUCAAUGAAAAAAUUCUUAAGCAAAAUCAUAUGUUGCACUUAGAUGAGCUCAGGAGCCGAAAUCAAAAUAAUGGUCAAAAUCAUAUGUUGCACUUAAGAUGAGGGAGCCGAAAUGGAUAUUCGCCAAAGGAGGCCCUAGACUGAAUGUGAAUGUGUUACUUACAAUGUUUUUGUCGAGUCCAAGGUUAAGCAGAAAUAAGAGAAAAGGAUGGGUCGACAUGUAUAUUUUGUAUAAAUCUGCUUCACAGACGGAUCGGGCACCAAUAUUUUCAAAAGAAAAAGAAAUUGUUGAUGCACAUUGUCUAACGGAGUUUGGGAAUUGUGUAAUCCUAGGAGUUUUAUUGAAACACUGUGAUGCUAAACAUCAUUCACACCGGCAAUAAACACAAUACUUCAAACCGAACACAUGGGACACCUCUUCGAAAACCUUCGAAGACUUUGGAUUUGUCAGAGAUCAUUAGGACAAAGCAGCAAAAUUUGUCAAAGAUGACAAUAAAGUAUUGAGACUGAUAUUAGGUUGAAUCCAAGAGAUUCGACAAACAUCACUUUAUUUAUGUGUUGAUCCUUUGAGAUUGUAACCCUACGACCUAAUACCUUACUUUUCCCUUUAUCAGCAAAUGUGAUGUGAUUUUGUGUAGGAGGACGUAGAGUUGAGUACAUAAGUAAGCUUCGAUCACCAGUCAUAUGGUUAGUAUAGCCACUGUUUAGGAUCCACUCAGUAACUUUAAGAAAUAUAUUCUACAUUACAGUUAGUGGGAUAGGUUUCACCAAGACAAUUUGAGUGACAAACAUAAUACGAGAAACACUUUCAAGUAAAGUAGGUUUCUUGGAGGAUAUAACAGCGUGAGCAUCAAGAAAUCCAGGGACGAAAUAAAUGGUAAGACUAUUUAUACACUUUAUCUUGCGUCCGACAAGAUGUUUCAGGUCUUCAACAUUGUCUUUAGAUUCCAAUGCAUUUCACCUGGAAACCCGACCCCGCAUGAAAAGAUUUGUUCUUAACCACCCACAUAUGUAAGGGUGGCUUAGAAACAAUGAGUCUAAGUGCAACAUAUAACAUUUUUGGCUUUGAAGCCCUAGCAAAUAGAUUCACGGGGGGCUAGAAUACUCAAAUGAAUAUGUACAAAAAAGUACGAUUUGUGAGCAUAGUUGAUACGUCUCCAACGUAUUUAUAAUUUUUAAGUGUCUCAUGCUAUUAUAUUAUCAAUUUGGAUGCUUUAUAUGCAAUUUUAUAUCAUUUUUAGAACUAACCUAUUAACCUAGUGUCUAGUGCUAGUUCCCGUUUUGCCUAUUUUAUUGCUUCACAGAAAAAACAGUAUCAAACGAAGUCCAAACGUGAUGAAACUUUGCGGUGAUUUUUUUGGACCACAAAGGACCCUGGAAGCAUCAGGAGGAGGCCAGAAGAUGUACAACCGGGCCACAAGCUCACACGACGCGCACCCAGGGGGCACCACCUAAGCUUGUGGGCCCCUUGUAACUCCGUUUUCCUUAAUUCUACUUCUAUAAAUUCUAUAAAUUUCCUAAAAUCCGAAAACCACCAGAGCGAGACCUGAAACAAUUAUUCUGCCACUGCAAGCCUCUGUUCUUCCGUGAUCCCAUCUAAAGGCCUUCGCCGGUACCUUUGCCGGAGGGGGAAUCGAUCACGGAGGGUUUCUACAUCAACCUUGCUGCACCUCCGAUCAUAUGUGAUCAUUUCACCAAAGACCUACGUGUCUAUAGUGAUUAGCUACAUCUCUCUCUCUCUCUCUCUCUCUCUCUCUCUCUCUCUCUGAUAUUCAAUACAAUGUUCGCCUCAGAGUUCUAUUCGAUGUAAUCUUCUUUUACGGUGUGUUUGUUGGGAUCCGAUGAAUUGUGGGUUUAUGAUCAGAUUAUUGAUUGAAAGUAACUGAGUCUUUUCUGAAUUUUAUUAUGUGUGAUUGUUAUAGCUAUGUAAUUCUUUUCGAUCUAUGAGUUUUCUUUGGCCAAGUUGAUGAGUAGAUCUUUAGUGGAAGUGGUGCAUAGUAGUAGGUUCAAUCUUGUGGUGUCCUCACCUCGUGAUAGAAGGGAUAAUGAGGCACUUAUUUGUAUUGUUACUACUAAGGGGAAAACGACUGGGUUCAAUCACAUUGCUUGAUUUUAUUCUGACUACAUUAUGUCAUCAUACUUCAUGCAUUAUUUUGUUUGUUAUGAACUUAAUACCUAGAGAGGCAAGUAUAAAAGCUCUCUCAAAGUGGAAGUGGAGUAAUAGUAGUAGAUGCAGGCAGUAGUGAGUCUACUUGUCACGGACGUAAUGACUUUGUACUGAUUAUGCAAUGAAUAAGCCAUAACUAUGCACUUUUGUAUCAAUUGCCCAACAGUAAUUUGUCUACCCACCAUAUGCUAUGUUCUUGAUAGAGAUGCCUCUAAUGAAAACUAUGGCCUUCGGGUCUAUUCAACAUAUUUACUAAAACCUUAAAAUACCUUGCUAUAAUUUAUUUACUUUUAUUUUACUUUGCAAUUUAUUUACUUAAAAUACCUUGCUAUAAUCUACUACUAUCAGAUUUAAUCCUUGCAAUUAACGAGUAGAAGGGGAUUGACAACCCUCUUGCCCGUGUUGGGUGCAAGUAUUUACUCUUGUUUGUGUAGGUACUGUCAACAGUUGUUUAUGAACAUCCUGAAGUUAUUAAUGUUAUUAAUAUUAUUAAAAAUAAAAAGGUAUAAAAAUACUUUUUUUCAUGAAUAAAAAUUACAUGCAAAUGUAGGUGAUGUUUUCUGAACAUCCUGAUAUCUUUUUUGCAUUUUUUUGAGUUCAUAUCAACUUGUUAUGCAUGUUCAAACGACUUUGACCAUUAUUUUGAAACUUCAUAACAAGUUGAUAUGAACUCAAAAAAAUGCAAAUAAGAUAUCAGGAUGUUCACAAAACGUCAUCGACAUUUGCAUGUAAUUUUAUUCCUGAAAAAAUAUUGUUUAUGUUGGGGAACGUAGUAAUUUUAAAAAAAAAUUCCUACGCACACGCAAGAUCAUGGUGAUGCAUAGCAACGAGAUGGGAGAGUGUGAUCUACGUACCCUUGUAGACCGACAGCGGAAGCGUUAUGACAACGCGGUUGAUGUAGUCGUACGUCUUCACGGCCCGACCGAUCAAGCACCGAAACUACGACACCUCCGAGUUUUAGCACACGUUCAGCUCGAUGAUGAUCCCCGGACUCCGAUCCAGUAAAGUGUCGGGGAAGAGUUCCGUCAGCACGAUGGCGUGGUGACGAUCUUGAUGUUCUACCGUCACAGGGCUUCGCCUAAGCACUGCUACAAUAUUAUCGAGGAUUAUGAUGGAAGGGGGCACCACACACGGCUAAGAAUAUGAUCACGUGGAUCAACUUGUGUGUCUAGAGGUGCCCCCCUGCCCCCGUAUAUAAAGGAGCAAGGGGGAGGAGGCCGGCCCUAGGAGGGGUGCGCCAGGGAGUAGGAUUCCUACUCCUAGUUGGAGUAGGUUUCCUCCUUUCCUAGUCCAACUAGGAGAAGGGGGGAAAGGGGGGAAGAGGGGAAGGAAGGGAGAGAGGGGCCGCGCCCCAAACCCCUUGUCCAAUUCGGACUGGGCUUGGGAGGGGCGCGCGCCACCUCCUGGUCCUUCCCACUAAGGCCCAUUAAGGCCCAUUGCUUCUUCCUCGUAUUUCCGUAACUCCCUGGUACCUCCAAAAAUACCCGAAUCACCCGGAACCUUUCGAUGUCCGAAUAUAGUCGUCCAAUAUAUCGAUCUUUACGUCUCGACCAUUUCGAGACUCCUCGUUAUGUCCCCGAUCUCAUCCGGGACUCCGAACUCCUUUGGUACAUCAAAACUCAUAAUAUAACUGUCAUCGAAACCUUAAGCGUGCGGACCCUACGGGUUCGAGAACAAUGUAGACAUGACCGAGACACGUCUCCGGUCAAUAACCAAUAGCGGAACCUGGAUGCUCAUAUUGGCUCCCACAUAUUCUAUGAAGAUCUUUAUUGGUCAGACCGCAUAACAAUAUACGUUGUUCCCUUUGUCAUCGGUAUGUUACUUGCCCGAGAUUCGAUCGUCGGUAUCUCAAUACCUAGUUCAAUCUCGUUACCGGCAAGUCUCUUUACUCGUUUCGUAAUACAUCAUCUUGCAACUAACUCAUUAGUUGCAAUGCUUGCAAGGCUUAUGUGAUGUGCAUUACCGAGAGGGCCCAGAGAUACCUCUCCGACAAUCGGAGUGACAAAUUCUAAUCUCGAAAUAUGCCAACCCAACAUGUACCUUUGGAGACACCUGUAGAGCUCCUUUAUAAUCACCCAGUUACAUUGUGACGUUUAGUAGCACACAAAGUGUUCCUCCGGCAAACGGGAGUUGCAUAAUCUCAUAGUCAUAGGAACAUGUAUAAGUCAUGAAGAAAGCAAUAGCAACAUACUAAACGAUCGGGUGCUAAGCUAAUGGAAUGGGUCAUGUCAAUUACAUCAUUCUCCUAAUGAUGUGAUCCCGUUAAUCAAAUGACAACACAUGUCUAUGGUUAGGAAACAUAACCAUCUUCGAUUAACGAGCUAGUCAAGUAGAGGCAUACUAGUGACACUUUGUUUGUCUAUGUAUUCACACAUGUAUUAUGUUUCCGGUUAAUACAAUUCUAGAAUGAAUAAUAAACAUUUAUCAUGAAAUAAGGAAAUAAAUAAUAACUUUAUUAUUGCCUCUAGGGCAUAUUUCCUUCAGUCUCCCACUUGCACUAGAGUCAAUAAUCUAGAUCACAUCGCCAUGUGAUUCAACACUAAUAGUUCACAUUACCAUGUGAUUAACACCCAUAGUUCACAUUGGCAUGUGACCAACACUCAAAGGGUUUACUAGAGUCAGUAAUCUAGUUCACAUCUGUAUGUGAUUAAUACCCAAAGAGUACUAAGGUGUGAUCAUGUUUUGCUUGUGAGAGAAGCUUAGUCAACGAGUCUGCCAAAAUUCAGAUCCGUAUGUAUUUUGCAAAUUUCUAUGUCUACAAUGCUCUGCACGGAGCUACUUUAGCUAAUUGCUCCACUUUCAAUAUGUAUCCAGAUGAAGACUUAGAGUCAUCCGGAUCAGUGCCAAAAACUUGUAUUGACGUAAUCUUUUUACGACGAACCUUUUGUCACCUCCAUAAUCGAGAAACAUAUCCUUAUUCCACUAAGGAUAAUUUUGACCGAUGUCCAGUGAUCUACUCCUAGAUCACUAUUGUACUCCCUUGCCAAAAUCAGUGUAGGGUAUACAAUAGAUCUGGUACAUAGCAUGGCAUACUUUAUAGAACCUAUGGCUGAGGCAUAGGGAAUGACUUUCAUUCUCUUUCUAUCUUCUGUCGUGGUCGGGCUUUGAGUCUUACUCAAUUUCACACCUUGUAACACAGGCAAGAAAUCUUUCUUUGACUGUUCCAUUUUGAACUACUUCAAAAUCUUGUCAAGGUAUGUACUCAUUGAAAAAAACUUAUCAAGCGUCUUGAUCUAUCUCUAUAGAUCUUGAUGCUCAAUAUGUAAGCAGCUUCACCGAGGUCUUUCUUUAAAAAACUCCUUUCAAACACUUUUUUAUGCUUUAUAGAAUAAUUCUACAUUAUUUCCGAUCAAUAAUAUGUCAUUCACUUAUACUUGUCAGAAAUGUUGUAGUGCUCCCACUCACUUUCUUGUAAAUACAGGCUUCACCGCAAGUCUGUAUAAAACUAUAUGCUUUGAUCAACUUAUCAAAGCGUAUAUUCCAACUCCGAGAUGCUUGCACCAGUCCAUAGAUGAAUCGCUGGAGCUUGCAUAUUUAGUUAACACCUUUAGGAUCGACAAAACCUUCUAGUUGCAUCGUAUACAACUCUUCUUUAAUAAAUCCAUUAAGGAAUUCAGUUUUGUCUAUCCAUUUGCCAGAUUUCAUAAAAUGCGGCAAUUGCUAACAUGAUUCAGACAGACUUAAGCAUAGAUAUGAGUGAGAAACUCUCAUCGUAGUCAACACCUUGAACUUGUCAAAAACCUUUUGCGACAAUUCUAGCUUUGUAGAUAGUAACACUACUAUCAGCGUCCGUCUUCCUCUUGAAGAUCCAUUUAUUUUCUAUGGCUUGCCGAUCAUCGGGCAAAUCCAUCAAAGUCCAUACUUUGUUCUAAUACAUGGAUCAUAUCUCAGAUUUCAUGGCCUCAAACCAUUUCGCGGAAUCUGGGCUCAUCAUCGCUUCCUCAUAGUUCGCAAGUUCGUCAUGGUCUAGUAACAAGACUUCCAGAACAGGAUUACCGUACCACUCCGGUGCGGAUCUCACUCUGGUUUACCUAUGAGAUUCGGUAGUAACUUGAUCUGAAGUUACAUGAUCAUCAUCAUUAGCUUCCUUACUAAUUGGUGUAGUAGUCACAAGAACAAAUUUCUAUGAUGAACUACUUUCCAAUAAGGGAGCAGGUAUAGUUACCUCAUCAAGUUCUACUUUCCUCCCACUCACUUCUUUCGAGAGAAAUUCCUUCUCUAGAAAGGAUCCAUUCAAAGCAACGAAUAUCUUGCCUUUGGAUCUGUGAUAGAAGGUGUACCCAACAUUUUCUUUUUUGGUAUCCUAUGAAGACACACUUCUCCGAUUUGGGUUUGAGCUUAUCAGGUUGAAACUUUUUUUACAUAAGCAUUGCAACUUCAAACUUUAAGAAACGACAACUUAGGUUUCUUGCCAAACCAUAGUUCAUACGGUGUCGUUUCAACGGAUUUAGAUGGUGCCCUAUUUAAUGUGAAUGCAGCUGUCUCUAAUGCAUAACCCCAAAACGAUAGUGGUAGAUCGGUAAGAGACAUCAUAAAUCGCACCAUAUCUAAUAAAGUACGGUUAUGACGUUCGCACACACCAUUACAUUGUGGUGUUCCAGGUGUCGUGAGUAGUAAAACUAUUUCACAUUGUUUUUAACUGAAGGCCAAAAUUGUAACUCAAAUACUCUUCUCUACGAUCAGAUCGUAGAAACUUUAUUUUCUUGUUACGAUGAUUUUUCACUUCACUCUGAAAUUCUUUGAACUUUUCAAAUGUUUCAGACUUAUGUUUCAUCAAGUAGAUAUACUCAUAUCUGCUCAAAUCAUCUGUGAAGAUCAGAAAAUAAUGAUACCUGUCGUGAGCCUCAAUAUUCAUCGGACCACAUACAUCAGUAUGUAUGAUUUCCAACAAAUCUGUUGCUCGCUCCAUUGUUCCGAAGAACAGAGUCUUAGUCAUCUUGCCCAUGAGGCAUGGUUCACAAGCAUCAACUGAUUCAUAAUCAAGUGAUUCCAAAAACCCAUCAGCAUGGAGUUUCUUCAUGCGCUUUACACCAAUAUGACCUAAACGGGAGUGCCACAAAUAAGUUGCACUAUCAUUAUUAACUUUGCAUCUUUUGGUUUCAAUAUUAUGAUUAUGUGUAUCACUACGAUCGAAAUCCAACGAACUAUUUUCAUUGGGUGUGUAACCAUAUGAGGUUUUAUUCAUGUAAACAGAACAACAAUUUAUUCUCUUACUUAAAUGAAUAAUCGUAUUACAAUAAACAUUAUCAAAUCAUAUUCAUGCUCAACGCAAACACCAAAUAACACUUAUUUAGGUUCAACACUAAUCCCGAAAUUAUAGGAAGUGUGCGAUGAUGAUCAUAUCAAUCUUGGAACCACUUCCAACACACGUCGUCACUUCACCCUUAACUAGUCUCUGUUUAUUCUGCAACUCCCGUUUCGAGUUACUAAUCUUAGCAACUGAACUAGUAUCAAAUAUCGAGGGGUUGCUAUAAACACUAGUAAAGUACACAUCAAUAACAUGUAUAUCAAAUAUACUUAUGUUCAUUUUGCCAUCCUUCUUAUCUGCCAAUCACUUGGGGUAGUUCCGCUUCCAGUGACCAGUCCCUUUGCAGUAGAAGCACUUAGUCCCAGGCUUAGGACCAGACUUGGGCUUCUUCACUUGCGCAGCAACUUGCUUGCUGUUCUUCUUAAAGUUCCCCUUCUUCCCUCUGCCCUUUUCUUGAAACUAGUUGUUUUGUCUACCAUCAACAGUUGAUGUUUUUCUUGAUUUCUACCUUCGUCAAUUUCAGCAUUACGAAGAGCUUGGGAAUCGUUUCCGUUAUCCCUUGCAUAUCAUAGUUCAUCACGAAGUUCUACUAACUUGGUGAUGGUGACUAGAGAAUUCUGUUAAUCACUAUUUUAUCUGGAAGAUUAACUCCCACUUGAUUCAAGCAAUUGUAGUACCCAGACAAUCUGAGCACAUGCUCACUAGUUGAGCGAUUCUCCUCCAUCUUUUAGCUAUAGAACUUGUUGGAAACUUCAUAUCUCUCAACUCGGCUAUUUUCUUGAAAUAUUAACUUCAACUCCUGGAACAUCUCAUAUGUUCCAUGAUGUUCAAAAUGUCUUUGAAGUCCCGAUUCUAAGCCGUUAAGCAUGUUGCACUAAACUAUCAAGUAGUCAUCAUAUUGAGCUAGCCAAAUGUUCAUAAUGUCUGCAUCUGCUACUGCAAUAGGUAUGUCAUCUAGCAGUGCAUCAAGGACAUAAUUCUUCUGUGCAGCAAUGAGGAUAAACCUCAGAUCACGGAUCCAAUCCGCAUCAUUGCUACUAACAUUUUUCAACACAAUUUUCUCUGGGAACAUAUCAAAAUAAACACAGGGAAGCAACAACGCGAGCUAUUGAUCUACAACAUAAUUUGCAAAAUACUAGCAGGACUAAGUUCAUGACAAAUUUAAAGUUCAAUUAAUCAUAUUACUAAAGAACUCCCACUUAGAUAGACAUCCCUCUAAUCCUCUAAGUGAUUACGUGAUCCAAAUCAACUAAACCAUGUCCGAUCAUCACGUGAGAUGGAGUAGUUUCAUUGGUGAACAUCACUAUAUUGAUCAUAUCUACUAUAUGAUUCACGCUCGACCUUUUGGUCUCCGUGUUCCGAGGCCAUAUCUAUAUAUGCUUGGCUCAUCAAGUAUAACCUGAGUAUUCCGUGUGUGCAACUGUUUUGCACCCGUUGUAUUUGAACGUAGAGCCUAUCACACCCGAUCAUCACGUGGUGUCUCAGCACGAAGAACUUUCGCAACGGUGCAUACUCAGGGAGAACACUUCUUGAUAAUUAGUGAGAGAUCAUCUUAAAAUGCUACCGUCAAUCAAAGCAAGAUAAGAUGCAUAAAAGAUAAACAUCACAUGCAAUCAAUAUAAGUGAUAUGAUAUGGCCAUCAUCAUCUUGUGCUUGUGAUCUCCAUCUUCGAAGCACCGUCGUGAUCACCAUCGUCACCGGUGCGACACCUUGAUCACCAUCAUAGCAUCGUUGUCGUCUCGCCAAUCUUAUGCUUGCACGACUAUCGCUACCGCUUAGUGAUAAAGUAAAGCAUUACAGCGCAAUUGCAUUGCAUACAAUAAAGCGACAACCAUAUGGCUCCUUCCAGUUGCCGAUAACUUGGUUAAAAAACAUGAUCAUCUCAUACAAUAAAAUUUUAGCAUCAUGUCUUGACCAUAUCACAUCACAACAUGCCCUGCAAAAACAAGUUAGACGUCCUCUACUUUGUUGUUGCAAGUUUUACGUGGCUGCUACGGGCUUAAGCAAGAACCAAUCUUACCUACACAUCAAAACCACAAGGAUAGUUUGUUAAGUUGGUGUUGUUUUAACCUUCGCAAGGACCGGGCAUAGCCACACUCGGUUCAACUAAAGUUGGAGAAACUGUCACCUGCUAGCCACCUUUGUGCAAAGCACGUCGGGAGAACCGGUCUCGCGUAAGCGUAUGCGUAAUGUCGGUCCGGGCCGCUUCAUCCAACAAUACCGCCGAACCAAAGUAUGACAUGCUGGCAAGCAGUAUGACUUAUAUCGCCCACAACUCACUUGUGUUCUACUCGUGCAUAUAACAUCAACACAUAAAACCUAGGCUCGGAUGCCACUGUUGGGGAACGUAGUAAUUUAAAAAAAAAUCCUACGCACGCGCAAGAUCAUGGUGAUGCAUAGCAACGAGAUGGGAGAGUGUGAUCUACGUACCCUUGUAGACCGACAGCGGAAGCGUUAUGACAACGCGGUUGAUGUAGUCGUACGUCUUCACGGCCCGACCGAUCAAGCACCGAAACUACGGCACCUCCGAGUUUUAGCACACGUUCAGCUCGAUGACGAUCCCCGGACUCCGAUCCAGCAAAGUGUCGGGGAAGAGUUCCGUCAGCACGACGGCGUGGUGACGAUCUUGAUGUUCUACCGUCGCAGGGCUUCGCCUAAGCACCGCUAUAAUAUUAUCGAGGAUUAUGGUGGAAGGGGGCACCGCACACGGCUAAGAAUAUGAUCACGUGGAUCAACUUGUGUGUCUAGAGGUGCCCCCUGCCACCGUAUAUAAAGGAGCAAGGGGGAGGAGGCCGGCCCUAGGAGGGGCGCGCCAGGGAGUAGGAUUCCUACUCCUAGUUGGAGUAGGUUUCCUCCUUUCCUAGUCCAACUAGGAGAAGGGGGAAAGGGGGGAAGAGGGGAAGGAAGGGAGAGAGGGGCCGCGCCCCAAACCCCUUGUCCAAUUCGGGCUGGGCUUGGGAGGGGUGCGCGCCACCUCCUGGUCCUUCCCACUAAGGCCCAUUAAGGCCCAUUGCUUCUUCCUCGUAUUCCCAUAACUCCCCGGUACCUCCGAAAAUACCCGAAUCACUCGGAACCUUUACGAUGUCCGAAUAUAGUCGUCCAAUAUAUCGAUCUUUAUGUCUCGACCAUUUCGAGACUCCUCGUCAUGUCCCCGAUCUCAUCCGGGACUCUGAACUCCUUCGGUAGAUCAAAACUCAUAAACUCAUAAUAUAACUGUUAUCAAAACCUUAAGCGUGCGGACCCUAUGGGUUCGAGAACAAUGUAGACAUGACCGAGACACGUCUCUGGUCAAUAACCAAUAGCGGAACCUGGAUGCUCAUAUUGGCUCCCACAUAUUCUAUGAAGAUCUUUAUCGGUCAGACCGCAUAACAACAUACGUUGUUCCCUUUGUCAUCGGUAUGUUACUUGCCCGAGAUUCGAUCGUCGGUAUCUCAAUACCUAGUUCAAUCUCGUUACUGGCAAGUCUCUUUACUCGUUUCAUAAUACAUCAUCUUGCAACUAACUCAUUAGUUGCAAUGCUUGCAAGGCUUAUGUGAUGUGCAUUACCGAGAGGGCCCAGAGAUACCUCUCCGACAAUCGGAGUGACAAAUCCUAAUCUUGAAAUACGCCAACCCAACAUGUACCUUUGGAGACACCUGUAGAGCUCCUUUAUAAUCACCCAGUUACGUUGUGACGUUUGGUAGCACACAAAGUGUUCCUCCGGCAAACGGGAGUUGCAUAAUCUCAUAGUCAUAGGAACAUGUAUAAGUCAUGAAGAAAGCAAUAGCAACAUACUAAACGAUCGGGUGCUAAGCUAAUGGAAUGGGUCAUGUCAAUUACAUCAUUCUCCUAAUGAUGUGAUCCCGUUAAUCAAAUAACAACACAUGUCUAUGGUUAGGAAACAUAACCAUCUUCGAUUAACGAGCUAGUCAAGUAGAGGCAUACUAGUGACACUUUGUUUGUCUAUGUAUUCACACAUGUAUUAUGUUUCCGGUUAAUACAAUUCUAGCAUGAAUAAUAAACAUUUAUCAUGAAAUAAGGAAAUAAAUAAUAACUUUAUUAUUGCCUCUAGGGCAUAUUUCCUUCAGUUUAUAUCUUUUUAUAUUGGGAUUUUUGUAUUCGUGCCCCUAGUUGGGUCACGCUCGACUGAUUUGCCCCUAUUUUUUCAACAAUUGCGGUUUUGCCCAGCUCACUUCAAUUGCCUUGUGUUUUUGCCCUUCCAGGGAGGUUCUGACCAGUGAGCAGUCGCCACGUGGCGAAUCGUGAUUGGCCGGAACCGCCCCGGAAGGGCAAAAACACAAGGCGAGUGAAGUGAGCUGGGCAAAACCGCAAUUGUUGAAAAAAUAAGGGCAAAUCAGUCGAGCAUGACCCAACUAGGGGCACAAAUACAAUUAUUCAUUUUAUAUUUAAUAAUGUUAAUAACAUCGAUAACCUUAGGUAGUUUAAACAGUACUUUUGUCUGAAAUGCAAAUGACAUACACAUAAAGGUAAUGUUUAUCUGAACAUUUUGAUAUCUUAUUUGCAUUUUUCUGAGUUCAUAUCAAUUUGCUAUGAAUUUUCAAAGUAUUGGUCAAUCGGUCAAAGGGCAUUCGAGUGACCUCGGAGGAAAAUCUAAGGGCAAAACUGAGCAGAGUCGAAAAGUAGGGGCAAAACCCGUGGGUAGGUUCUAACUAGGGGCAAAAAUGCAUUUGUCCCUUAUUCUUUUUACUUGAACUUGAUCUCAACUGAAAUUUCUACACAGUAAUAAGAUACAAAUUAUCUAUGUUGUCCUCAUUUUUCAGAUUUUUGGAGUUACAGAAGUAUGGUUUUAGUUCAGAUCAAUACAGACUAUUCUUUUUUAGACAUAUUCCAUUUUUUAUUGCAUAGUGUGCUUAUUUUAAUGAUGCUAUGGAUUAUAUCGGGGGGGGGAGGGGGGUUAUAAGUCAUGGAGAAGUUAGAACACUGUAAUAAUUAUGAAUAAAUUCACAACACUACCUAAGUUUAUGGUUUUCCGAUUAUACUAAGGAUCUCAUGAAGUUUCUGUUCCGUUUUGUCUUCUGAAGUUUUCAAGUUUUGGGUGAGAUCACGAUGAAUGAAGGAAUAAGGAGCGGCAAGACCCUAAGCUUUGGGAUGCCCAAGUGUAACACCCACAAUGCGGCUAUAUCUGCCAUGUGUCGGGGCACGAUUUAGAGGCAUAGCCGCAUGGUAGGUCUGUCGCAAGAGGGGUAAUCUUUACACAUCCCAUGUACUGAAUAAGAAAGGGAUAAAGAGUCGGCUUACAAUCACCACUUCACACAAUACAUAAAUAAUCCAUACAUCAUCCAGAAUACAAUCAAGGUCCGACUACGGAACCAAAAUAAAGAAAGACCACCCCAAAUGCUAGAUCCCCGAUCGUCCCAACUGGGCUCCACUACUAAUCAACAGGAAACGAAACAAGACAACGAUCAAGAUCUUCAUCGAGCUCCCACUUGAGCUGGGUUGCGUCACCUGCACUGGUAUCAUCGGCACCUGCAACUGUUUGGAAGUAUCUGUGAGUCACGAGGACUCAGCAAUCUCACACCCGCGAGAUCAAGACUAUUUAAGAUUAUGGGUAGGAAAGGGUAGUGAGGUGCAGCUGCAGCAAAGCACUAAGCAUAUAUGGUGGCUAACUUACGCAAAUAAGAGCGAGAAGAGAAGCAACGCAAACGGUCAUGAACUAGAAGUGAUCAAGAAGUGAUCCUGAAACUACUUACGUUCAAGCAUAACACAAGGACCGUGUUCACUUCCCGGACUCUGCCGGAAAGAGACCAUCAUGGCUACACACGCGGUUGAUCCAUUUUAAUUAAGUUAAGUGUCAAGUUAUCUCCAACCGGAUAUUAACAAAUUCCCAUCUGCCACAUAACCGCGGGCACGGCUCUCGAAAGUUUAUACCCUGCAGGGGUGUCCCAACUUAGCCCAUCACAAGCUCUCACGGUCAACGAAGGAUAUUCCUUCUCCCAGGAAGACCCGAUCAGACUCAGAAUCCCGGUUACAAGACAUUUCGACAAUGGUAAAACAAGACCAGCAAGACCACCCGGAUGUGCCGACAAAUCCCGAUAGGAGUUGCACAUAUCUCUUUCUUAGGGCACACCAGAUAAACUAAGCGUACAGGUACCAACAUAACCCAAGUUUCCAAGGGACGGUCCCGCAUGGUGCUCUGGUUCGGACCAACACUUAGAGAAGCACUGGCCUGGGGGGGAGGAGUUAAAAUAAGAUGACCCUCGGGCUCGUGAAAACCCAAGGGAGGGUUAUAGGUUGUUAGGCAAAUGUAAAACCAAGGUUGGGCCUUGCUGGAGGAGUUUUAUUCAAAGCGAACUGUCAAGGGGUUCCCAUAACACCCAACCGCGUAAGGAACGCAAAAUCAAGGAUCAUAACACCGGCAUGACGGAAACUAGGGCGGCAAGAGUGGCACAAAACACCAGGCAUAAGGCCGAGCCUUCCAUCCUUUACCAAGUAUAUAGAUAGGGAUGGCAAUUUCGCCCAUGGGUAUGGGUAUCCGUGGGUACCCUACCUAAAAAUAGUGGGCAUGGGCAAGACUUGGCAAGAUUUUGUACCCAUGGGUAAUGGGUAUCCAUACCCGCAAAAUAUGUGGGUAGGGCAUGGGUAUGAGAUUGCGCCCAUGGGUAACCCAAUGGGUACCCAGAAAAUAUUAAUAAAUGAAAAUAACUCCUAUGAUAUGUGGGGUCUACAUCCAACUCAUAUUGCCCAACUCUUAAUUCCUUAUUCCCUAAACCAACCAUAGCUAAUAGGCUCCCAACAACCAGCUCACACUCCUCCUAUGUCCUAUGUGACUCCUCGAAAUGAUAAAAUCUCGACUCAUCACCAACACAUUCUCUUCCAACUCUCGAACUAGCAAACCCCAGUUCCCGUCGUCGCCUUCCACUAUGUCGGCUUCCACCAACCACUUAUCGUAAUCCCUUGCCGGCUGCAAUUGGCCACACACUAGAGGACGUCGUGUCGGUACUAGAUUGAUUGUCCAUCAUCACUUGAAUAUUACACUCAUGUAUGUAAUUCUUUAAAAUUUAAAUGCUAUAUAUGUUGUACCCAUUGGGUAUAGCAUACCCAAUGGGUAUGGGCAUGGGUGUCAAUUUGUGCCCAUGGGUAUUGAAAUGGGUGGGUAUAGAAAGUUUCUAUGGGUAUGGGUUUGGGCAAGAGGAGGUUGUACCCACCCAUACCCUACCCAUUGCCAUCCCUGUAUAUAGAUGCAUUAACUAAAAUAAGAGAUAUUGUGAUAUCCCAACAAAUCCAUGUUCCAACAUGGAACAGACUUCAACUUCACCUAGAACUAGCAACGCUAUAAGAGGGGCUGAGCAAAAGCGAUAACAUAGCCAAACAACGGUUUGCUAGGAAGGUGGGUUAAAGGCUUGACAUGGCAAUAUGGGAGGCAUGAUAUAACAAGUGGUAGGUAACGCGACAUAGUGAUAGAGCGAUCAACUAGCAAGCAAAGAUAGAAGUGAUUUCGAGGGUAUGGUCGUCUUGCCUGAGAUCCCGAAAGGAAGAAGAACGAGUCCAUGAAGAAGGCAAACAGACGUAGUCGAACGGAUCCUCACAACUCCGGAACGAAACCGAAGCUAACGAGAGAAGCAACCCGGAAAGAAGCAGGCAACAUAGUAAACAACCAUCACAUAAACAUGGCAUGAUGCACAACCAAGGAUGAUGCAUGUCCGGUUUAAAUAUGCAUGGCAUGGCAAAGUGCACAAACAACACUACAAGUUAAGUGGAGCUCAAUAUGCAACGAGUUGCAUAUUGACGAAACACCACAUUUGAUUAUUUAGUUCACCCCCGUUUAUGUACUCAACAAUAUUAAAUAUUGUUAAACAUGGCAAGAGAUGAAGCAAAAGUAAACUACACAAUCUAAGCAAUUUAAAUGGGGCCAAAAACAUCAAACAACAGUUCCGGUAAAUCCCCAUAUGCAUUUAGCAAUUUAAAGCAAACAACAAUUUUAAACAUUCUUGAUGUUGUUAUCAUGAUGCGGAUGACAUGUGCAAGUUUAUGCAAAUUUUAUUAAAAGUUGACAUGAACAUAUUAUGAAGCAUUUGUCAUCGUGGCAUAAACGAAAGGGGUGCCAUGACAACGAAUCCGAAAAUGAUGCCACGGCAACAUAUCGAUUCCGGUAGCUCAUGGAGAUACCGGUGCAAAAGGAAAAGUGACAGGAGCGUGUCAUGCAAGGAUGGUGGGGUGGUCCCGGAUACCGGGUUCCCACGGGUCGCGACGGUGCCAAGCGAGGGAAACAACUAGCGUUCACGGGAGGAUACAACAUCCAAACAUGCAUCUCAUACAACACAUACAUUCAUUCACGGGCGGUCGUCUCGGGGUUAUACCUUCGAAGCGUGCAACGGGACGGUUCUCGUUCGGUGCAAAGUAGAGGAAGUAGACGUUCUCGGGACGUUCGUAGUGGAGGUAGUCGUUCACGGCGACGGUAGUUGUACAUGGGUCUUCGGCCAUGGAAGUAGUCGCACAACGUUUUCGUAGAGGUUCAGGGUCACGACACGGAACUUGACGUCCACGGGGUCUUUGCGGGUCGACGGUAGUGGUACUUGGCAAAAUGCACGUCGACGGUAGUUGUUCUCGUAUCAUCGUGGUGGAAGUAGUCGUACUCGACGAUAGUGGUACCCGUCUUCGUAGAUGUUCGAGUCAUCGGUAGCGGUACUUGGUGAAACUCGAAACGGUCUUGGCGUCUUCGCGCGUAGGGGUACUUGGCGUUUCACUAGACUUGACGAUGGUAGACGAAUUUGGUGGUCCAGGGUACUUGGUGUGCAGCGAGCAACUUUGUGGUGUAUAGGUGCAUCGGUGGUCUCGAUCACAUAAGUGUUACCGAGAUGCGGCUGUUAUAGCCACAUGAACAUGAGCAUGGCGCUGGACUCGGACAAGGCCGAAGGAGGCCUCGGCAAGGAGGAUAGCAGCGGGGUAGAGGAGAUCCCGCGAGGAGGCAGCAAAUGUGCGGCUCCUUAGCAGAGAGGUCGUGGCCAUGGGAGGAUCUGAGAGCUCGGAACUGUGGCGAAGAAGAGAUCAGCGGGGUUUUGCGGACAUGGUACUCGCAGCAGCAGGAGAAGAGAAGAAAAAGGUGACCGGGAGGGGCGGCGAGCGGACGUGGCUCCGACGGAGCUGCUCGCCGGCGACGGCCGGAAACAAAGGCAGGGCCCCGGCGUGAUGGAGGCGGAUCAGUGGAGCGGUGGAGCAGAGCAGGCGCUGGCGGCGACACUGGCUGGAGCGAGGUGGAGGCGCUCGGUCCUCGGGCACGAGCGGGGAGGAGAGGUGGCUGCGGUAGGUUCCAGGCGGCGCUCGGUGGCGGCAGACUUGGAGGCGGGGCGGCGACGUGGUGUUCCACUCCUUGUGCUGCUCCUUCGAUGAGAAGAGUUGGCGGCGGGGACAAGGUGGCGUAGGGUCGGGCGAGGUGCCCUGGCAGCGGCACUAGGAGGGAGAUGAGGGGAUCGGGCGUCUCCCUUGGAGGCGCUGGGUGCGGUUCCUGUGUGCGAGCAAGGAGAGGGAGAGAGAUGGGGAUCGGGCCAAAGGCUCUGGCGGCGCGAGAGAGAGAUCAAGGAGAGCGAGGGAUCGGGCUAGGGAGCGGCUAGGGUUAGGUGCGGUUGGGCCUUGGGCCACUGGAGGCUGGGCCUGGGAGGUCCAAGAGGUAGGACUAGCUGCUGGGCUCUCUCUCCCUUAAGUCUUAAAAAAACCUUUUCAGAAAACAGAAAAAUCGCAAACAAAAAAGGAGAGAAAAGAAAGGGUUAGAGGAAGGAUUUGGGCACGCGGAUUAUUUUCCCGAAGUCGCAAAAAAGGGUAUGAUUCCAGAAAAAAUGGAGUGGCAAGAUUGUAAGAAUUGAAUUCAAAGAUAUGAACAAAGAGUAGGAUUUAGAAGUGUCUAAAAAUGUUGAGUAUUUUGGUGGAGCUCCGGAAAGUGAAGAGAGAAUUUUAGGGCAAAGUUUGGAGACGAAACUUGAAGCGGAAAAAGGCAUGUGAUUAUUUGCAAGUGUGUUUAUGGGUGAUUCCAAAUUAUUGGAAUAUAAUUUUUAUAGCUCCCUAAAUAUUGGGAGGAUAUGUUAUAUAGAUAAAUCACCAUGUGAGUUCCCUCAAUUUAAAUAGAUCAAAGAUCUAUGCAUUUUAUUUAAUUGAGUUAAAAAAAUGAAAUGGCAUGAUGGCAUGAUGACAUGAUGCAAUGAACAUAAUGCAAAGAUGGAUGCAAUAGACAAAACAAAUCACCCGAGAAACUCGGAAAAACAUGGAAGGCAUCUGAAGCGUCGGUCUUGGGGCGUCACAACACUCCACCACUAUAAGAGGAUCUCGUCCCGAGAUCUAGGAUGGCACCGGUGGAAAACGAAAGAGGAAGAGAAGAGGUAAAACUAAGUUGCUUCUUUGACAAAUGAGUGAAACCAAAGAACCUUGCGAGGUUGAACAAAUUGAAAGAAGAACACAAUAGAGUUGAACGAAAUUGAUGGAACUCUGGUAGAAAAGAGAAACAAGGAACACCAUGUGAACCUUGGAGGUUGCAAAUCUAUGAAUGUCGAGCACAAUGGACAACAAGGAAUUGAAACCACUCUGGUUGAAACGAGAUAAACAAGGAACAAGGAAGAAGAAAUUCGAACAGCACUCCAGUUGAAAAGAGAUACAAGACUUGAUAAGAUGAAAAGAACUUGAGUAGAGGACACAACACUCCUGCUAAACGGAUAAACAAGGAAAAGAACAUGAUCUUGACACAACUAGGUGACGGGUGAAGAGAGCAACAUCAUAAUGCCUCCAGAACAAAUGUAAGAAUGGAAUCAAAAGAACGAAGGAGAAAACAACAUCUUCUACCUCAAAUGAGCUUGAAAAAGCAUCUUUAGGAGAAGGGUCGAACGGAGUUGUUGAAAAAACCAACAACGAAAGGAGUAAGCUUGUUGUGGGCUUAUGGAAAACAUCUCGAAAUUUGAGGUGAAAUUCUGGCACUAGCGGAAACAAUAGAUUGGAUUGAUAUCAACAAGGAGACGAGAAACUUAUUUCACUAGGAGGAUAAAUGAAGAACUUGGGUCAUUUAUAAGCACCAUAAAUAGCAACAAUCCUUAGGGAAAGCGUUAGGUGAAAUAUAACCCAAGAUGACUCCAAUGAAGAGAUUGAUGGGUUGCAAAGGAUCUCAUGGACAAAUUGAAAAAUGAUGGGUUUACAAUAUGUCAUUCGGACAACUUGUGAAUCAUGAAACAUGAAGUGAAAUUGUCAAGAAUGACAUAACACCACCUCAAAAGAUAAGGGAGAAGGGAUUGAACUUUGAAAUGCAAGAUGAAGAAUACUUGAACUCCUCAAAACAACACAUGUGUUGAACACCAUGUUUAUUUUAGCUUGGUGGGUCAUGACUUCGAGAGAGAUCUUGAAGAACAAUUGAAGAAUGAACAGAAUCCUUGACGAGCCACCAUGAAGAAACUCUCGAAGAACUCCAGAUGGAUAAAAGGAAGGUCGCAAGGAAAAGAAGCUUGAAAAGAAUAAUAUGAAUCCUUGCAUUGAUUAAAUGGAGCUUCGCGAUGAUAUAACCGAGAAAAACAUGGAACUCCAGAAAGAAGGAUGAACAAAUGAAAUCAAGAAUUUUGAUGAACCUCCGUAGUGAGGAAUUAAUCACUCGGAUGAAACAAGAAUAAGAAUUACAUUAUGCUUAUCCUUCGCCAAUUUAAAUUGAUGACAAGAAACGGAUUUGGCAUACUACUUAUUCUCGUAGAAGGGAUUAAGAGAGAUAUAGCACAAACUUGAAAAGGACUUCAACGAACCACCCGUAGGAUUUGGAAAGAACGAAUGAAUUGAUACAAUAACAACGGAAGAGAAUUCUUGAACGGACCGCCAUAAGAAUUGAAAAUGAAAGUAGCAGAGGCACAAUUUACCGAGAAGAAUUGGAAAAAGAAUUAAGAUACUUGAGGGAAAUUAGAUACAUGAGAAAGAAGCGAUCAUGAACCGAUUAGAGGAUAUUUGAAUGAUGCACCGGUAAGAUUUGGAGAACAAUAGUUGAAAGCUAAGAAAUAAUAAACCUGAAUUGAUGGCCUUCGGAGAAUCAAACUGAAAAGACUCCUGAAAUGCUUUGGAUGGGUGAAAAGAAUUCUCACAGUCGAAUACAAUUAUGAGAGGAUAUCAUGAAGCUAGAACCACGAAUCUUCGAGAGAACGGAUAAGAUUGAGAGAGAAAAAUCUUCUUUGGUCUUCAAAUGUUGAGAAUGAUGAUGAGAACCACCACCAUGUUUAUUGAGGCACUCUGGAACAAUGAAGGAUAGGAAGGUUGAACCAACGAUGCAAGAAUUUGAAAGAUCUUGGAGAAAGACAUAUGAUUGAUGAUAAUUAAUUUUUACGCCAACUUUGAAAGAAUUUGAGAAUAACUCCGGGAAAGUAUGAAGAGUUAGGUAAGAUCCUGGGAAAAGACAUGUGGGUUAGGGCCCACUCAAAAGAAACACCUUCGAACGAUUUAAAAGAGAAAUUGCGCCGGUUGAUUUAAAUGGCUUGAAUGAGAUAAUAACCUCGAAAGAGCUCGAACAAUGCAGAGUGGAAACACGAAUCUUCGAGAUAUUUUCAGCACUCCGGAACAAAUGAAUAGCAAGAAGUGAAUGAUUAAGAGGUGCACCGACAUGAGAAAACAUUUGAACCGAGGAAAGGAUAUGAUCGACAAAGCUUGUAACACCCUCGAUGCGACUAUAUCUCCCACGUGUCGAGGCACGACUUAGAGGCAUAAUCGCAUUGAAGGCAUAUGUCACAAGUAAGGCAAUCUUCACAACAUCCCAUGUAAUAUAAAUAAUAAAGGGGAGAUAACAUAGUUGGCUUACACUCGCCACGUCAAUCAAGUACAUAAAUAACAUUACAUCAUCCAAACACUCAUGGCCCGACUACGACGCCAAAAUAAAAGAUAACCCAACAAGCGACACGGUCCCGAUCACCCCCAACAGGGCACCACUACUGAUCAUCAGGAAAAUAAAAUAGUAACGUUGAGAGUCCUCGUCGAACUCCCACUUGGGCUCGAGCGCGUCACCUGGAGCAGAAUCAUCAGGCCCUGCAUCUGGUUUAACAGUAAUCUGUGAGCCAUAGGGACUCACCAAUCUCGCACCCUCGCGAUCAAGACUAUUUAAGCUUAACAGGAAGGGCAAGGUAAAUAUGUGGAGCAGAAGCAAGCGACUAGCAAAUAUGGUGGCUAACCUGUUCGCAAAAGAGAGCGAGAAGAGGAGGCAAAGCACGAACGAAUAACUAGAGGGCAAACCUGCGGCAAGCAUUACUCCAACACCGUGUUCACUUCUCAGACUCCGCCGAGAAGAGACCAUCAUGGUAACUCACACUGUUGAUUCAUUUUAAUUAAGUUAAGGUUCAAGUUAUCUACAACCGGACAUUAACAAAUUCCCAUCUGCCCAUAACCGCGGGCACGGCUUUCGAAAGUUCAAAUCCCUGCAGGGGAGUCCCAACUUAGCCCAUGACAAGCUUGUCAUGGUCAACGAAGGAAUAGACCUCCUCCCGAGACGUUCCGAUCAGACUCGGUAUCUCGGUUCUUCAAGACACUUCGACAGGUUAAAACAAGACCAGCAACACCGCCCGAAUGUGCCGACAAAUCCCGAUAGGAGCUGCACAUAUCUUGUUCUCAGGGCACACUCAGAUGAGCUGUCCAUACAACUAAAACCAAACCUCGAGUUUCCCCGAUGGGGCGCUGCACAGGACUCUAGUUUGGACCAACAUUCAGAGGAGCACUGGCCCAGGGGGGGGGGCUAAAAUAAGAUGACCCUCGGGCUCCGGAAACCCAAGGGAAAAAGAGGCUAGGUGGCAAAUGGUAAAACCAAGGUUGGGCAUUGCCGGAAAAGCUUUAAUCAAGGCGAACUAUCAAGGGGUUCCCAUUACAACCCAACCGCAUAAGGAACGCAAAAUCCGGGAAUAUAACACCGAUAUGACGGAAACUAGGGCGGCAAGAGUGGAACAAAACACUAGGCGAGAGGCCGAGCCUUCCACCCUUUAUCAAGUAUAUAGAUGCAUUAAGAUAACAUGGCAAUAUAAUGAUAUCCCAACAGUAAAAUAAUGUUCCCACAAGGAACGGUCUCCAAUCUUCACCUGCAACUAGCAACGCUAUAAGAGGGGCUGAGCAAAGCGGUAACAUAGCCAAUCAACGGUUUGCUAGGACAUGGUGGGUUAGAGGUCUGACAUGGCAAUCUGGAAGGCUUGAAGGCAAGUGGUAGGCAUCGUAGCAUAGGCAUAGCAAAAGAGCGAGCAUCUAGCAAAGCAAAGAUAGUAGUGAUUUCGAGGGUAUGAUCAUCUUGCCUGCAAAGUUGUCAGAAUUGACUGGAUCCUCGAGCAAACUCAACGGGCUCCUCGUUAGCAAACUCGUCUCCUGGCUCUACCCAAACAAGACAAACAAGCAACAAGGACACAAUCAACCACGUGCAAGGCUCAAACAAUAUGAUGCAAAGAUGAUAUGCUAUGCGGGAUGCGAUGCGGGAUGCAUAUGCAAGAUGUGACAAGAAAUGCAUGAACCUGGCCUCAACUUGGAAAUCCAAGUAUGCCACUGGAAAGAUGAGAUGAAAUCGCUUGAGAACGAUAUAAAGAACGCCGGAAUCGGAGUUACGGUUUGGAAAUGGCAAGCAAUUCAAAUAUGACCAUGUUCUGCGAUUAAUAGCAAGUAGCCAUCUAAAUGCAAUGAGAUGAACAUGCUACAGCAUCCAAACAUGGCAUACAAAUACAUGGCAGGGAUGCAUUCAUGAUGCUUAACAAAAGUCUAGCACUGAGCUACGGCCAAUUCAUCCAUUAACAGGUUCAAACAAGCAUGGCAAAAAUGCAUAUGGUAAACAGAUCUCAGACUUAGUGAAAUUAACACUUGUCUGGAAUUUCAGAUCAGGUAGCACUCUUUGGAGCAACAAAACUACAUGCUAUAGGACCUGAACAUGGCAAAGUAAAGCAUGGAAUGGAUCUACUCAAAGAGCUUAACAAAAGUCCCUUAGUGACCUUGAGCCAAAAGGGAUCAGAAAAUACAUUUGCAAGCAUGUGAACAUGGAAAAAACAUAAUCAGUUCUCAGACUUAGUGAAAACUGGAACAUGCUGAAACAGAUAUCAAGUAGGCAUGUUUACGAGCUCGAUGCACUCACUACAGAGCAAGUCAUGGCAAUCUAAGCAUACACCCAUCAAGAAUACACAAAAUGCAAGCUAUACAUGGCAAGAACAAUAACAUAGCAUGCACGGAUCAACUACAACUUCCUCGGCAAAAUCGCUAACAAGUAGACAAUCUGCCCAGAUUCACGAAAUAGCAAAAGUAGAGCUCGAUUGACUCAAGCUAGGGUGCUCCAUAAUUGCAAACAAAGACAUGGAUGGAUAGAGCACUACAAGAUUAACAAAACAUCCUUACUGAUCAUCCCCAAAAGUGGCACGGAUCAUUAGGAAACAACAUGAACAUAUGGCCAUAUGAGAUAAACAGCUCAAGGACUUAGUGGAAAUGCUAAAUCCCUGAAAUCAGCAUUACCAAGUGCCUCACUUUGCAAGCUUGUGCUAGUCACCACACACAUCACAAAAAUACAUGGGUUGCACCUCUGGAAAGAUGGCAAAACCCUUAACAAAACAUAUGUAGAGCUCAUGGGCAUAUCAUGCACACAAUAAUCAUGGCAAAAAUGACAAAUAGCUAAAUGGAGCAGCAAAUCUGACAAUUAUCUCAAGUAGCACUCUUCUAACAGCAUUUCGGGCAUCAAGAUGAACUCAAAUGAAAAUGAUGCAAUGGAAUGAAAUGAUGUGCUCUCUGAGACGAACAUUUUGAUAUGCUAUAUGCCAAAAGAGGAGUUACGGAUGAGGAGUUACGAUGCGAUGAACAGGAGCAUAUGAACUAGGGUUUCGAGAAAAAAAGUCAACCGUCUCCGGAUCUAGAUCUGGCGGGUUACCGUAGCUGCAAGCAAUCCGAGGAUCGCCGGAAUCAGCGCCAGAGUUGGAGGAGUGGUGGCCGGCGAGGUGGGGGCGAUGCGGGUCGCCGGCGGGAGCGCGGGCUCCGGCGCGGCGGAGCCNNNNNNNNNNNNNNNNNNNNNNNNNNNNNNNNNNNNNNNNNNNNNNNNNNNNNNNNNNNNNNNNNNNNNNNNNNNNNNNNNNNNNNNNNNNNNNNNNNNNNNNNNNNNNNNNNNNNNNNNNNNNNNNNNNNNNNNNNNNNNNNNNNNNNNNNNNNNNNNNNNNNNNNNNNNNNNNNNNNNNNNNNNNNNNNNNNNNNNNNNNNNNNNNNNNNNNNNNNNNNNNNNNNNNNNNNNNNNNNNNNNNNNNNNNNNNNNNNNNNNNNNNNNNNNNNNNNNNNNNNNNNNNNNNNNNNNNNNNNNNNNNNNNNNNNNNNNNNNNNNNNNNNNNNNNNNNNNNNNNNNNNNNNNNNNNNNNNNNNNNNGUGGCGCGACGGGAGUGGGCGGCGGCGAUGUCCGGCGCGCGGACGGACGUGUCCGGCGCGCAGAUGAGGAGCGGGGCUAGGUUUAGGGCGGUUUGGAUCCGGAAUUUCGGGGAGGGGAUAUUUAUAGAGGUAGGAGGAGCUAGGAGAGUCCAAAUGAGGUGCGGUUUUCGGCUACGCGAUCGUGAUCGAACGCUCCAGAUGAUGGAGAGGGUUUUGGUGGGUUUUGGGCCAAAUUGGAGGGGUGUUGGGCUGCAACACACACGAGGCCUUUUCGGUCCCUCGGUUAACCGUUGGAGUAUCAAACGAAGUCCAAAUAGUACGAAACUUGGCAGGCGGUCUACCGGUAGCAAACCAAGGCCGCUUGGCAAGUCCCGGUCCAAUCCGGAAAUGUUUAAUCCCCACACACGAAAGAAAGGUAGAAUUGACCAUCGGAGGAGAACGAAGCGCCGGAAUGCAAAACGGACAACGGGGAAAAUGCUCGAAUGCAUGAGAUGAACAUGUAUGCAAAUGCAAUGCACAUGAUGACAUGAUAUGAGAUGCAUGACAACGAUAACAACACACGGAGACAAAGACCCGGAUCCGAGAAAAUAAAAUAACUUAAUGCCGGAAACGGCAAGAGUUGGAGUACAAAUUGGGUAAAUCAUAUCCGGGGUGUUACAACACUCCACCACUAUGAAAGGAUCUCGUCCCGAGAUCUAGGACAGAAAGAACGUCGGGUAAUCAGAACGGAGGUGAUCCUCGCGUUCCCAGGUAGCUUCACGGUCGGAAUGGUGUGACCACUUGACUUUGAGGAAUUUGAUUGACUUGUUGCAAGCCUUGCGUUCAGUCUCUUCAAGAAUAGCAAUGGGGUGCUCACGAUAGGAGAGAUCUUCUUGGAGCUCAAUGUCCUCGAAGUUGACGGUGUGGUCAGGAGUCUUGAAGCACUUUCGGAGCUGAGAGACAUGGAACACAUCAUGAACAUUUGCAAAGUUUGAAGGAAGCUCGAGUUGAUGGGCGAGAUCGCCUCUCUUGCUAACAAUCUUGAAAGGUCCCACGUAUCUGGGGGCAAGCUUCCCUUUGAUACCGAAGCGACGAGUACCUUUCAUAGGAGAGACGCGGAGGUAAACAUGAUCUCCGAUCUCGAAAGCCAAAUCACAGUGUUUACUGUCAUAGUAGCUUUUCUGGCGGGAUUGGGCUGCUUUGAGGUUAUCUCGAAUGACUUUGCACAUUUCCUCUGCCUUUAUGAUUAAGUCAUUUCCCAAAAGCUGACGUUCACCGGUUUCGGACCAGUUGAGAGGGGUACGACACUUCCUGCCAUACAGAAUUUCAAAUGGGGCCUUGCCCGAACUUGCUUGAAAACUAUUGUUGUAGGAGAAUUCAGCAUAAGGAAGACAAUCCUCCCACUUCAUGCCGAAGGAGAUCACACAAGCCCUGAGCAUAUCUUCAAGAAUCUGAUUGACACGCUCGACUUGACCGCUAGUUUGAGGAUGGAAAGCUGUGCUGAAGCGGAUGUUGGUACCCAUGGCCUUCUGAAAAGAAUCCCAAAACUUGGAGGUAAAGAUGCUGCCACGGUCUGAAGAGAUCACUUGUGGGAUACCGUGCAGAGAGACAAUUCGAGAGGUAUAGAGUUCCGCCAAUUGAGCUGCAGUGAUUGACUCUUUGAUAGGCAGAAAGUGAGCCACUUUAGUGAGUUUGUCGAUGACAACGAAUAUAGCAUCAUUGCCACGCUUGGACUUUGGAAACCCAGUCACGAAGUCCAUUUCAAUGUGGUCAAACUUCCAUUCUAGAAUGGCAAGAGGUUGGAGGAGACCAGCUGGCCUUUGGUGUUCUACCUUCACUCUUCUGCAGACAUCACACUCAUUCGCGAAUUGAGCAAUCUCGCGCUUCAUUCGAGUCCACCAAUAAGCCUGCUUGAGGUCCUGAUACAUCUUCGUACUCCCAGGGUGGAUGGAGAGGAGAGAAUUGUGAGCCUCGUUCAUGAUCACUUUACGAAGUUCACCUUUGGGUACAACAAUACGAUCCUCGAAGAAGAGAGUAUCCUUGUCAUCAAGGCGGUAGCACUUGUAUUUGGGUUGACUCUUGGCAAUCCCAAUCUUCACCUUUUUCACCAUAGCAUCAAGAAGCUGAGCUUGGCGAAUCUGGUCUUCCAAGGUAGGAGAGACUUGAAGGUUGGCGAGGAAACCUUGAGGAACAACUUGCAGAUUAAGUUUGCGGAAAGCUUCACAAAGCUCGGGUUGAUAAGGCUUGAGAAUCAGACUAUUGCAAUAAGCCUUCCUGCUCAAUGCGUCAGCAAUCACAUUGGCCUUGCCUGGAGUAUACUCGAUACUCGGAUUAUACUCUUGAAUCAUUUCGACCCAUCGAGUUUGCCUGAGGUUGAGGUUAGGCUGAGUGAAGAUGUACUUGAGACUCUUGUGGUCGGUGAAGAUGUCCACUUUUCUUCCCAAUAAGAGAUGUCUCCAAGUCAAAAGAGCAUGCACAACUGCCGCCAACUCGAGAUCAUGAGUGGGGUAGUUCUUCUCAUUGGGCUUCAACUGGCGAGAGGUAUAAGCAACAACUUUCUUCUCUUGCAUCAACACUGCGCCAAGACCUUGGAGAGAGGCAUCACAAAAGACCUCGUACGGCUUGGAUUCAUCAGGAGGAGUCAGAACUGGAGCAGUGAUCAAUUUCUCUUUCAAAGUGUUGAAAGCAAUGUCACACUCCGGAGACCAAACAUACUUGACGUGCUUCUGGAGAAGAUUCGAGAGAGGCUUUGCGAUCUUAGAAAAGUUCUCAAUGAAUCUUCGGCAGUAGCUUGCGAGACCGAGGAAGCUACGGAGUUGCUUCACGUUCUGAGGAGGUUCCCAAUUCACAAUUGCAGACACCUUCUCAGGAUUCACGGCAAUGCCCUUGGCAGAGAUGAUAUGACCAAGAUAAAGAACCUCAUCGAGCCAAAAUUCGCACUUGGAGAACUUGGCGUAGAACUGGUGUUCCCUCAGCUUAUCGAGUACCAAACGCAAGUGCUUGGCAUGAUCUUCCUUGUUCUUCGAGAAAACCAGAAUGUCGUCGAGAUAGACCAAAACGAAGUCAUUGGUGUAGGCAUUGAAGAUGAAGUUCAUCAUGCGAGAGAAAGUCGGAGGAGUGUUGACGAGGCCAAAAGACAUGACAGUGUAUUCAUAUGAACCAUAGCUUGUCCUGAAAGCCGUCUUGGGAAUAUCUUGUUCACGGAUUCGAAUCUGAUGAUAACCCAUACGGACAUCAAGCUUGGAGAAUACUUGGGCACCUUUGAGUUGUUCGAACAGCUCAUUGAUGUUGGGAAGUGGGUAUUUGUUCUUGAUGGUCUUCUUGUUCAAUGGACGGUAAUCAACACAAAGUCGGUCCGUUCCAUCCUUCUUCUUCACAAAAAGAACACCACAACCCCAUAGAGAAGAACUAGGCCGGAUGAGACCCAUUCUCUCUUGAAUAUCGAGUUGCUUCUUCAGCUCCUUCAACUCUUCAGGUCCGAGCUUGUAAGGACGCUUGCACACAGGUUCCGUACCGGGUUCAAGAUCAAUGAUGAAUUCAACUGGCUGGUGUGGAGGCAUUCCUGGGAGCUCUUCUGGAAACACGUCUUGAUAUUCGCAAACGACUGGAAUUUGCAAGAUAGCAUCGAGUUCACCCUUCUCAUUGAGAGAAAACAGACGGAUGGUAUCAUCACGAGCGGCAAAGACAAUUACAUCCUCAGACGAAUGAGUCAACUGAAUCUGCCUGGCAGCACAAUCAAGAUGCGCCUUGUGCUUAGAAAGCCAAUCCAUUCCGAGAAUAAGAUCAAUAUCUGAGUCACCCAGAACAAUAGGAGAAGCUAGAAAUUUGUAGUCGCCCAACGUGAUAGUAAUAUCCAGGACGCAUAAAUUAGCUGUCAUUUGCUUGCCCAGUGACACGAUUUGCAAGGAAUUUUGCAGAUACUGAUAAUCGCACUCAUACUUCGAUGCAAAAGGUUUGGAAAUAAAACAAUGCGAUGCACUAGUGUCAAAAAGAACUUUUGCAGGGAUAUCGUUAACAAGAAGGUUACCCAUGAUCACUUCUGAUGAGUCCUCUGCCUGAGCUGCGUUCAUCAAGUUGACCUUGGCGUGCUUGGGGUUAUGCUUGACCACAGCUGUACUUGCCGAUCUCACAGGAAGAGGAGGAGGAAGACGCCUCUGGUUGAGACACUUGUUGGCAUAGUGACCCUUCUGUUGGCACUUGUUGCACGUGACCUCUGAAAGCGGACGGUGGUAUGGAGCACUCGAUCUUGGAGCUUGAGACGAAGUCUUGUUCUGAAAGCCAGGGUUGGGUGGGUGGGAAGAUCCACUGCCACCUUUGCUCUUCUGCCGAUACGGCUGACGGAACGGAGGAGGAGGAAGCCAAUACUUCUGCUGCUUGGCCACUUGAGUAGAGGAAGAAGGAGUAGUGUCUCUGACUCGCUUCUUGGAAGCAUCACACCUCAGUUGAGCGGCCUCUUGCUUCAAUGCCAUGUUGUAGAACUCAUCGUACCUCAAGGGCUCAAAGAGAACAAGAGCUAGCUGAAUUUCUUCUCUGAGACCACCCCUGAACUGGUAUAUCAUGCUCUUCUCAUUAGGGACGUUCUGCUUGGCAAAGCGGGCGAGCUUCUGGAACAACUUGUUGUAGUCAUAGACAGACAAAGAGCCUUGCUUCAGGUUGCGGAAUUCCUCACGCUUGCUUUCAACCACGCUCUGAGGGAUAUGAUGAGCUCUGAAAUCUUGAUGGAAUUCAUCCCAAGUGAUCACACGUCCACCUCUGGAAUCCUUGUACUGCUGGAAUCGUUCUGCAGCUUUAUCUUUGAGUUGGAAGGAAGCGAACUUGACGAAGUCCUCAGGCCUGACGUUACUGCACUCGAAAUGCUUGCACAGAUCCACGAGCCAAUCGUCAGCAUCGGUUGCCUCAACACAAUUGCUGAAAGUCUUUGGCCCGUUAGCAAGGAACUGGUUGAGUGUAGCAAAGUGAUUCUGAUUGUUGCCUUAGUUCCCUUGGUUGCCUUGAUUGCGCUCUUGAAGAAUUUGCAUGAUCAACUGUGUGUUUGCAUUGGUUGCGGCCAUCACAGCUUGCCAUGCCUCCGGAGGAGGUGGAGGUGGUGGCGGAUCUUGAUUCUGAUUCUGAUUGGUGCUCUUAGCGGGAGCCAUCCUGAAGAGGUUGACCACCAUUAGCACAUAGACAGAUAAAUGAAGCUGAAUCCAACGGAAUGAAAAUUGCAACAUAUAGUCUUCACAUCCGAACAAAAUGAACGAAUGCAUUCCUCUUGAAAUGGUCACAUAUCCAUAAAUUGAGAAGCCACUUAGAAUUUAGGUAGAGAAAUAAAUCAACAAGGUACGGAUCAAGAACGAAUACUCGGUAAGAAAUUCCAAUCUCAAACAAAAUAUCCGUGGAAGAAGAACUAGAGCUACGAGAAUUCCCGCCUAUGAAACUCCCGAACCUUUCCGGUUAUGCAAUCAGGUGUUGGGGAUACAGGGGAAGCAUAAUAUCUCACCCAAUUCUAGCAAAUCCUACAUCCAGCUGUAUCCAUCCUUCAACACAUAACCGAGAAAAACUUUGGAAACCAUCUACCUCAACCUUCGAAAAGCAUCCAUUAUACAAGUUAUGGCGAUACUCCCGAACUCCCGCCCCAGUAUUGGGUGGCGUCGAGGUUAUCUCACCAACGAACUGCAUAAAAGAGAUUUUCGAUGUCGGCGUACUAAACUCAGGUAUUUCAGAACUGCAACGAUAAAAUUAUGACGACAACACCUCAGAGCUCAACUCCCCGGGACACUUCCACAAAACCCCUGACACGAGGCACCAAGACAAUGUUCUCGUCAUAAAACCAUCGGAACGAUUCCAAGAUACCCGCGUGAUCCUAAUUUUUUUAGUGAAAUUUGAGAAGAGAAGAGUCAAAACUCUACGUCAGGAUGCCUUACCAGAGCGAUGAGGAGACUGGGGAGUAAAAGAAUUCCUAAACUCUCCGAUAUAUAAUUCUUAAAUGACUCAAAACAUUUUUUCUAGACACAACUCAGCCGCUAAUAACGAUCAAUCAGUGGGGGCUCCUAAGGUCGGGGAAGGCUCUGAUUACCAACUUGUAACACCCUCGAUACGACUAUAUCUCCCACGUGUGGAGGCACGACUUAGAGGCAUAAUCGCAUUGAAGGCAUAUGUCGCAAGUAAGGCAAUCUUCACAACAUCCCAUGUAAUAUAAAUAAUAAAGGGAAGAUAACAUAGUUGGCUUACACUCGCCACGUCAAUCAAGUACAUAAAUAACAUUACAUCAUCCAAACACUCAUGGCCCGACUACGGCGCCAAAAUAAAAGAUAACCCAACAAGCGACACGGUCCCGAUCACCCCCAACAGGGCACCACUACUGAUCAUCAGGAAAAGAAACAUAAUAACGUUGAGAGUCCUCGUCGAACUCCCACUUGAGAUCGAGCGCGUCACCUGGAGCGGAAUCAUCAUGCCCUGCAUCUGGUUUAUUAGUAAUCUGUGAGCCACAGGGACUCAGCAAUCUCGCACCCUCGCGAUCAAGACUAUUUAAGCUUAAUAGGAAGGGCAAGGUAAAUAUGUGGAGCAGCAGCAAGCGACUAGCAAAUAUGGUGGCUAACUUGUUCGCAAAAGAGAGCGAGAAGAGGAGGCAAAGCGCGAACGAAUAACUAGAGGGCAAACCUGCGGCAAGCAUUACUCCAACACCGUGUUCACUUCCCGGACUCCGCCGAGAAGAGACCAUCAGGGUAACUCACACUGUUGAUCAUUUUAAUUAAGUUAAGGUUCAAGUUAUCUACAACCGGACAUUAACAAAUUCCCAUCUGCCCAUAACCGCGGGCACGGCUUUUGAAAGUUCAAAUCCCUGCAGGGGAGUCCCAACUUAGCCCAUGACAAGCUCUCACGGUCAACAAAUGAAUAGACCUCCUCUCGAGACGUUCCGAUCAGACUCGGUAUCUUGGUUCUUCAAGACACUUCGACAGGUUAAAACAAGACCAGCAACACUGCCCGAAUGUGCCGACAAAUCCCGAUAGGAGCUGCACAUAUCUCGUUCUCAGGGCACACUCAGAUGAGCUCUCCAUACAACUAAAACCAAACCUCGAGUUUCCCCGAGGGGGCGCUGCACAGGACUCUAGUUUGGACCAACACUCAAAGGAGCACUGGCCCAGGGGGGGCUAAAAUAAGAUGACCCUCGGGCUCCAGAAACCCAAGGGAAAGAGAGGCUAGGUGGAAAAUGGUAAAACCAAGGUUGGGCAUUGCUGGAAAAGCUUUAAUCAAGGCGAACUAUCAAGGGGUUCCCAUUACAACCCAACCGCGUAAGGAACGCAAAAUCCGGGAAUAUAACACCGAUAUGACGGAAACUAGGGCGGCAAGAGUGGAACAAAACACUAGGCGAGAGGCCCAACCUUCCACCCUUUACCAAGUAUAUAGAUGCAUUAAGAUAACAUGGCAAUAUAAUGAUAUCCCAACAAGUAAAAUAAUGUUCCCACAAGGAACGGUCUCCAAUCUUCACCUGCAACUAGCAACGCUAUAAGAGGGGCUGAGCAAAGCGGUAACAUAGCCAAUCAACGGUUUGCUAGGACAUGGUGGGUUAGAGGUCUGACAUGGCAAUUUGGAAGGCUUGAAGGCAAGUGGUAGGCAUCGUAUCAUAGGCAUAGCAAAAGAGCGAGCAUCUAGCAAAGCAAAGAUAGUAGUGAUUUCGAGGGUAUGAUCAUCUUGCCUGCAAAGUUGUCAGAGUUGACUGGAUCCUCGAGCAAACUCAAUGGGCUCCUCGUUAGCAAACUCGUCUCCCGGCUCUACCCAAACAAGACAAACAAGCAACAAGGACACAAUCAACCACGUGCAAGGCUCAAACAAUAUGAUGCAAAGAUGAUAUGCUAUGCGGGAUGCGAUGCGGGAUGCAUAUGCAAGAUGUGACAAGAAAUACAUGAACCUGGCCUCAACUUGGAAAUCCAAGUAUGCCAUUGGAAAGAUGAGAUGAAAUCGCUUGAAAACGAUAUAAAGAACGCCGGAAUCGGAGUUACGAUUUGGAAAUGGCAAGCAAUUCAAAUAUGACCAUGUUCUGCGAUUAACAGCAAGUAGCCAUCUAAAUGCAACAAGAUGAACAUGCUACAGCACCCAAACAUGGCAUAAAAAUACAUGGCAUGGAUGCAUUCAUGAUGCUUAACAAAAGUCUAGCACUAAGCUACGGCCAAUUCAUCCAUUAACAGGUUCAAACAAGCAUGGCAAAAAUGCAUAUGGUAAACAGAUCUCAGACUUAGUGAAAUUAACACUUGUCUGGAAUUUCAGAUCAGGUAGCACUCUUUGGAGCAACAAAACUACAUGCUACAGGACCUGAACAUGGCAAAGUAAAGCAUGGAAUGGAGCUACUCAAAGAGCUUAACAAAAGUCCCUUAGUGACCUUGAGCCAAAAGGGAUCAGAAAAUACAUUUGCAAGCAUGUGAACAUGGCAAACACAUAAUUAGUUCUCAGACUUAGUGAAAACUGGAACAUGCUAAAACAGAUAUCAAGUAGGCAUGUUUACGAGCUCGAUGCACUCACUACAGAGCAAGUCAUGGCAAUCUAAGCAUACACCCAUCAAGAAUACACAAAAUGCAAGCUAGACAUGGCAAGAACAAUAACAUAGCAUGCAUGGAUCAACUACAACAUCCUCGGCAAAAUCGCUAACAAGUAGAUAAUCUGGCCAGAUUCACGAAAUAGCAAAAGUAGAGCUCGAUUGACUCAAGCUAGGGUGCUCCAUAAUUGCAAACAAAGACAUGGAUGGAUAGAGCACUACAAGAUUAACAAAAUAUCAUUACUAAUCAUCCCCAAAAGAGGCACGGAUCAUUAUGAAACAAUAUGAACAUAUGGCCAUAUGAGAUAAACAGCUCAAGGACUUAGUGGAAAUGCUAAGUCCCUGAAAUCAGCAUUACCAAGUGCCUCACUUUGCAAGCUUGUGCUAGUCACCACACACAUCACAAAAAUACAUGGGUUGCACCUCUGGAAAGAUGGCAAAACCCUUAACAAAAUAUAUGUAGAGCUCAUGGGCAUAUCAUGCACACAAUAAUCAUGGCAAAAAUGACAAAUAGCUAAAUGGAGCAGCAAAUCUGACAAUUAUCUCAAGUAGCACUCUUCUAACAGCAUUUCGGGCAUCAAGAUGAACUCAAAUGAAAAUGAUGCAAUGGAAUGAAAUGAUGUGCUCUCCGGGGCGAACAUUUUGAUAUGCUAUAUGCCAAAAACGGAUUUACAGAUGAGGAGUUACGUGCGAUGAACAGGAGCAUAUGAACUAGGGUUUCGGGAAAAAAAGUCAACCGUCUCCGGAUCUAGAUCUGGCGGGUUACUGUAGCUACAAGCAAUCCGAGGAUCGCCGGAAUCAGCGUCGGAGUUAGAGGAGUGGUGGCCGGCGAGGUGGGGUUCGCCGGAUCUGGCCGGGGCGACGCGGGUCGCCGGCGGGGGNNNNNNNNNNNNNNNNNNNNNNNNNNNNNNNNNNNNNNNNNNNNNNNNNNNNNNNNNNNNNNNNNNNNNNNNNNNNNNNNNNNNNNNNNNNNNNNNNNNNNNNNNNNNNNNNNNNNNNNNNNNNNNNNNNNNNNNNNNNNNNNNNNNNNNNNNNNNNNNNNNNNNNNNNNNNNNNNNNNNNNNNNNNNNNNNNNNNNNNNNNNNNNNNNNNNNNNNNNNNNNNNNNNNNNNNNNNNNNNNNNNNNNNNNNNNNNNNNNNNNNNNNNNNNNNNNNNNNNNNNNNNNNNNNNNNNNNNNNNNNNNNNNNNNNNNNNNNNNNNNNNNNNNNNNNNNNNNNNNNNNNNNNNNNNNNNNNNNNNNNNNNNNNNNNNNNNNNNNNNNNNNNNNNNNNNNNNNNNNNNNNNGGAUGGAGUGGCGGCGCGCCACGUGGCGCGACGGGAGUGGGCGGCGGCAAUGUCCGGCGCGCGGACGGACGUGUCCGGCGCGCAGAUGAGGAGCGGGGCUAGGUUUAGGGUGGUUUGGAUUCGAAAUUUCGGGGAGGGGAUAUUUAUAGAGGUAGGAGGAGCUAGGAGAGUCCAAAUGAGGUGCGGUUUUCGGCCACGCGAUCGUGAUCGAACGCUCUAGAUGAUGGAGAGGGUUUUGGUGGGUUUUGGGCCAAAUUGGAGGGGUGUUGGGCUGAAACACACACGAGGCCUUUUUGGUCCCUCGGUAACCGUUGGAGUAUCAAACGAAGUCCAAAUGGUACGAAACUUGGCAGGCGGUCUACCGGUAGCAAACCAAGGCCGCUUGGCAAGUCUCUGUCCAAUCCGGAAAUAUUUAAUCCCCACACACGAAAGAAAGGUAGAAUUGACCAUUGGAGGAGAACGAAGCGCUGGAAUGCAAAACGGACAACGGGGAAAAUGCUCGAAUGCAUGAGAUGAACACGUAUGCAAAUGCAAUGCACAUGAUGACAUGAUAUGAGAUGCAUGACAAUGAUAACAACACACAGAGACAAAGACCUGAACCCGAGAAAAUAAAAUAACUUAACGCCGGAAAAGGCAAGAGUUGGAGUACAAAUUGGGUAAAUCAUAUCCGGGGUGUUACAAAGCUUGAAUUGAAUACAUCGGAGAAGAAAGAGAACGAAGAAUGAUGAGCUUGUAGAGCAUCUUCAUGAGAACCACCGGGUAAGAACAUUGAUUGAAAAUAAUGAAGAGACUUCACAUGAAUAAAAUGGAUACUUGAUUAAGACAUCUGAUUCCUUGAAGGAAAAGGGUGGGAGGGCGGGAAAACAAAGACAACUUGAAACGGAUGAAACGAAAACCGUUGGAAAAAACUGAGGGGUGAUAAUGGUAAAAAUGAUAGGAUCAUCUUGAAGGAAAACGCACCAGAUGAAAAGGAGUGACUUGACAAUCUCGAUUAUCAUGAAGGAUUAGUAUUCACAUAGAAAUAUGAGAACACCGCUUGGAAAAGGUAUGGAAUCAACACUUGACUUCGAAGCAACUCGAAUACCACAACUCAAAACAAAACAAAGGAUUUGGCUCGCAGAAUAAGCCAGAAACAAACAUAUGAUAGAUCCCAUAUCGUAUCAUGUGUCUGUUGGAAAGAUAUCCUACGUGAUACUUGAAUUCCCACUUAUAAACUCCCGAAAAUUUCUAGUUAUGCAAUCAGGUGUUGGGCAUACAGGAGAAGCAUAAUAUCUCACCCAAAAUAGCAAAUCCUACAUCCAGCUGUAUCCAUCCUUCAACACAUAACCAAGAAACCUUCGGAAAUCAUUUACCUCAACCUUCAAAAAGCAUCGUUAUACGAGUUAUGGCAAUACUCCCGAACUCCCGCCCCAGUACUGGGUGGCGUCGAGGUUAUCUCACCAACAACUGCAUAAAAGAGAUUUUCGAUGGCAGCGAACUCAGGUAUUCCAGAACUGCAAUGAUAAAAUUGUGAUGACAACACAUCGGAGCUCACCUCCCCGGGACACUGCCACAACCCCUAAAUGUCAGGAGGCACCAAGAACAAUGUUCUCGUCACAAGAAUAUCGGAACGAUUCCAAGAUACCUGCGUGAUCCUAAAUUUUUUUAGUGAAAUUUGAGGAGAGAAAAAGUCAAAACUUCUACGUCAGGAGGCUUCACCAGAGCGACGAAGAGACUGAGAAGUAAAAAGAAACCUACUCUACGAUAUAUAGAAUCCUAAGACUCAAAACAUUUUGUUCUAGACUCAACAACGUCAGCGAUUCGAUCAAGCAGGGGGAUCCUAAGUCAGGGAAGGCUCUGAUUACCAACUUGUAACACCCACAAUGAGGCUAUAUCUCCCACGUGUCGGGGCAUGACUUAGAGGCAUAGCCGCAUGGUAGGUCUGUCGCAAGAGGGGUAAUCUUUACACAUCCCAUGUACUGAAUAAGAAAGGGAUAAAGAGUCGGCUUACAAUCGCCACUUCAUGCAAUACAUAAAUAAUCCAUACAUCAUCCAGAAUACAAUCAAGGUCUGACUACGCAACCAAAAUAAAGAAAGACCACCCCAAAUGCUAGAUCCCCGAUCAUCCCAACUGGGCUCCACUACUGACCAAUAGGAAACGAAACAAGACAACGAUCAAGAUCUUCAUCGAGCUCCCACUUGAGCUGGGUUAUGUCACCUGCACUGGUAUCAUCGCACCUGCAACUGUUUGGAAGUAUAUGUGAGUCACGAGGACUCAACAAUCUCACACCCGCGAGAUUAGGACUAUUUAAGAUUAUAUGUAGGAAAGGGUAGUGAGGUGGAGCUGCAGCAAAGCACUAAGCAUAUGUGGUGGCUAACUUACGCAAAUAAGAGCGAGAAGAGAAGCAACGCAACGGUCGUGAACUAGAAGUAAUCCUGAAACUACUUACGUUCAAGCAUAACACAAGGACCGUGUUCACUUCCCGGACUCCGCCGAAAAGAGACCAUCACGGCUACACACGGUUGAUGCAUUUUAAUUAAGUUAAGUGUCAACUUAUCUCCAACCGGAUAUUAACAAAUUCCCUUUUGCCACGUAACCGCGAGCACGACUUUCGAAAGUUUAUACCCUGCAGGGAUGUCCCAACUUAGCCCAUCACAAGCUCUCACGGUCAACGAAGGAUAUUCCUUCUCCCAGGAAGACCCGAUCAGACUCGGAAUCCCAAUUACAAGGCAUUUCGAUAAUGGUAAAACAAGAUCAGCAAGACCGCCCGGAUGUGCCGACAAAUCCCGAUAGGAGCUGCACAUAUCUCGUUCUCAGGGCACAACGGAUAAGCUAAGCAUACAGGUACCAACAUAACCCAAGUUGCCAAGGGACGGUCCCGCAUGGUGCUCUGGUUCGGACCAACACUUAGAGAAGCACUGGCCCAGGGGGGUUAAAAUAAGAUGACCCUCAGGCUCGCGAAAACCCAAGGGAAGGUUAUAGGUUGUUAGGCAAAUGUAAAACCAAGGUUGGGCCUUGCUGGAGGAGUUUUAUUCAAAGCGAACUGUGAAGGGGUUGCCAUAACACCCAACCGCGUAAGGAACGCAAAAUCAAGGAACAUAACACCGGUGUGACGGAAACUAGGGUGGCAAGAGUGGAACAAAACACCAGGCAUAAGGCCGAGCCUUCCACCCUUUACCAAGUAUAUAGAUGCAUUAACUAAAAUAAGAGAUAUUGUGAUAUCCCAACAAAUCCAUGUUCCAACAUGGAACAAACUUCAACUUCACCUGGAACUAGCAACGCUAUAAGAGGGGCUGAGCAAAAGCGAUAACAUAGCCAAACAACGGUUUGCUAGGAAGGUGGGUUAGAGGCUUGACAUGGCAAUAUGGGAGGAAUGAUAUAACAAGUGGUAGGUAGCGCAACAUAGCGAUCUACUAGCAAGCAAAGAUAGAAGUGAUUUCGAGGGUAUGUCAUCUUGCCUGAGAUCCUGCAAGGAAGAAGAACGAGUCCAUGAAGAAGGCAAACGGACAUAGUCGAACGGAUCCUCACAACUCCAGAACAAAACCGAAGCUAACGAGAGAAGCAACCCGGAAAGAAGCAAGCAACAUAGUAAACAACCAUCACAUGAAUAUGGCAUGAUGCACAACCAAGGAUGAUGCAUGUCCGGUUUAAAUAUGCAUGGCAUGGCAAAGUGCACAAACAACACUACAAGUUAAGUGGAGCUCAAUAUGCAACGAGUUGCAUAUUGAUGAAACACCACAUUUGAUUAUUUAGUUCACUCCCGUUUAUGUACUCAACAAUAUUAAAUGUUGUUAAACAUUGCAAGAGAUGAAGCAAAAGUAAACUACACAAUCUAAGCAAUUUAAAUGGGGCCGGAAACAUCAAACAACAGUUCCGAUAAAUCCCCAUAUGCAUUUAGCAAUUUAAAGCAAACAACAAUUUUAAACAUUCUUGAUGUUGUUAUCAUGAUGCGGAUGACAUGUGCAAGUUUAUGCAAAUUGUAUUAAAAGUUGACAUGAGCAUAUUAUGAAGCAUUUGUCAUCAUGGUGGAAACGAAAGGGGUGAAACGAAAGGGGUGCCACGACAACAAAUCCGAAAAUGAUGCUACGGCAACAUAUCAGUUCCGGUAGCUCAUGGAGAUACCGGUGCAAAAGGAAAAGUGACGGGAGCGUGUCAUGCAAGGAUGGUGGGGUGGUCUCGGAUACCGGGUUCCCACGAGUCGACGACGGUGCCAAGCGAGGGAAACAACUAGCGUUCACAGGAGGAUACAACAUCCAAACAUGCAUCUCAUACAACACAUGCAUUCGUUCACGGGCGGUCGUCUCGGGGUUAUACCUUCGAAGCGCGCAAACGGGACAGUUCUCGUUUGGUGCAAAGUAGAGGAAGUAGACGUUCUCGGGAUGUUCGUAGUGGAGGUAGUCGUUCACGGCGACGGUAGUUGUACACGGGUCUUCGGCCACGGAAGUAGUCGCACAAUGUUUUUGUAGAGGUUCGGGGUCACGACAUGGAACUUGACGUCCACGGUGUCUUUGCGGGUGGACGGUAGUGGUACUUGGCAAAAUGCACGUCGACGGUAGUUGUUCUUGUAUCAUCGUGGAAGUAGUCGUACUCGACAAUAGUGGUACCCGUCUUCGUAGAUGUUCAAGUCAUCGGUAGCGGUACUUGGUGAAACCCGAAACGGUCUUGGCGUCUUCGCGCGUAGGGGUACUUGGCGUUUCACUAGACUUGACGAUUCCGGAGACGAUGGUAGACGAAUUUGGUAGUCCAGGGUACUUGGUGUGCAGCGAGCAACGUUGUGGUGUAUAGGUGCAUCGGUGGUCUCGAUCACGUAAGUGUUACCGAGAUGCGGCUGUUAUAGCCACAUGAACAUGAGCAUGGCGCUAGACUCGGACAAGGCCGAAGGAGGCCUCGGCAAGGAGGAGAGCAGCGGGGUAGAGGAGAUCCCGCGAGGAGGCAGCAAAUGUGCGGCUCCUUAGCAGAGAGGUCGUGGCCAUGGGAGGAUCUGAGAGCUCGGAACCGUGGCGAAGAAGAGAGCAACGGGGUUUUGCGGACAUGGUACUCACAGCAGCAGGAGAAGAGAAGAAAAAGGUGACCGGGAGGGGCGGCAAGCGGACGUGGCUCCGACGGAGAUACUCGCUGGCGGCGGCCAGAAAGGCAGGGCCCCGGCGUGAUGGAGGCGGAUCAGAGGAGCGGUGGAGUAGAGCAGGCGCUGGCGGCGGCGCUGGCUGGAGCGAGGUGGAGGCACUCGGUCCUCGGGCACGAGCGGGGAAGGAGAGGUGGCCGUGGUAGGUUCCGGGCGGCGCUCGGCGGCGACAGACUUGAAGGCGGGGCGGUGACGUGGUGUUCCACUCCUUCUUCUGCUCCUUCGACGAGAAGAGUUGGCGGCGGGGACGAGGUGGCGUAGGGUCGGGCGAGGUGCCCUGGCAGCGGCGCUAGGAGGGGGGUGAGGGGAUCGGGCGUCUCCCUUGGAGCCGCUGGGUGCGGUUCCUGUGGGCGAGCGAGGAGAGGGGGAGAGAUGGGGAUCGGGCCAGAGGCUCUGGCGGCGCGAGAGAGAGAUCGAGGAGAGCAAGGGAUCGGGCUAGCGAGCGGCUAGGGUUAGGUGCGGUUGGGCCUUGGGCCACUGGAGGCUGGGCCUGGGAGGUCCAAGAGGUAGGACUAGCUGCUGGGCUCUCUCUCCCUUAAGUCUUAAAAAACCUUUUCAGAAAACAGAAAAAUCGCAAAGAAAAAAAGGAGAAAAAAAAAGGGUUAUAGGAAGGAUUUGGGCACGCGGAUUAUUUUCCCAAAGUCGCAAAAAUGGGUAUGAUUCCAGAAAAAAAUGGAGUGGCAAGAUUGUAAGAAUUGAAUUCAAAGAUACGAACAAAGAGUAGGAUUUAGAAGUGUCUAAAAAUGUUGAGAAUUUUGGUGGAGCUCCGGAAAGUGAAGAAAGAAUUUUAGGGCAAAGUUUGGAGACGAAACUUGAAGCGGAAAAAGGCAUGUGAUUAUUUGCAAGUGUGUUUAUGGGUGAUUCCAAAUUAUUGGAAUAUAAUUUUUAUAGCUCCCUAAAAUAUUGGGAGGAUAUGUUACAUAGAGAAAUCACCAUGUGAGUUCCCUCAAUUUAAAUAGAUCAAAUAUCUAUGCAUUUUAUCUAGUUGAGUUAAAAAAAAUGAAAUGGCAUGAUGGCAUGAUGACAUGAUGCAAUGCACAUGAUGCAAAGAUGGAUGCAACAGACAAAACAAAUCAGCCGGCGAAACUCGAAAAAACAUGGAAGGCAUCUGAAGCGUCGGUCUUGGGGCGUCACACCAAGGCACCCAUAGAUAAUAUUCAAGGAAGACCCAAGCGUCUAAGCUUGGGGAUGGCACAGAUGACAUACCCUCUUUCGUCUAUAAUUCAUCGGUAUGUUACUUGGAGCUUUAUUUUUAUUCAUUACAUGAUACGAGUUUUACUUGGAGCGUCUUGUAACAUAGUUUUAUUUUGUUUGCUUGUUAACUUGCCACAAUCAUUGUUUGCUAGUCACAUCUUUUGAGAGAGACACACAUUCAUCAUGAUUUUGUUAGAGUACUCUAUGAGCUUCACUUAUAUCUUUUGAGCUAUGCAGUUGCUCAUGUGCUUCACUUAUAUCUUUAGAGCAUGGUGGUGGUUAUAUUGUAUAGGAACCAUUUGCACUCUCAUGCUCCACUUAAAAUCUUUUUGAGAGUGUCUUAAAUACGAAGUGGUAAUAUGAUACUAGUCUAAAAAUGAUAGGUAUACAAGAGGGAUAUAAUAAAAACUUUCAUGUAGAGAACUGAAUAUGAAAUGUGUUAAUUAAUUAUAUUGAUGUAAUAAUAUGAAAGGGUAUUGGUUCAUAAUUAUUAGUUAGUAAAGAUAUCGGUAUUAAAGCUUGUUAUCUAUUACUCUAAAUGUCGGUCAUGGCAUGGCGGGGAUGUUCGAGCAUUUUUAUUUCUGAUUGAAAUCCUUUGUGUUAUUUGAAUCGAGGGCGCGUGAUAGUUAACUCCUACCAACCUCCUCCCUAGGGGCAUGCGAGUAGUACUUUGCUUCGAGGGCUAAUAAAACUUUCACUAUAAGUUUAUGAGUUCUUCAUGACUAAUGUGAGUUCGUGGACUAAUACCACACUACCACCUAUCCAUAUAUUGCCAGCCUGUCCGGUGCUGUGCAUUGCUUAUUCUCACCUUGAGAGUCGGUGCAAACUUUACUGGUGCAUCCAUACCCCGUGAUAUGAUAUACAUAAGCCUCCUAUAACCGUCCUUAAAACAACCACCAUACCUACCUAUCAUGGCAUUUCCAUAGCCAUUUUGAGAUAUAUUGCCAUGCAACUUCCAUGGUCACUAUCCACAUGACAUGUGUGUUCAUCAUCAUAUUGCUUUGCAUGAUCAUAUAGAGCUGUCAUGAUAUUUGUGGCAACGCCACUGUUCAUCAUUGUAAUACAUGUUAUGCUAGAUCAUUGAACAUCUUGGUACACUGCCAGAUGCAUUCAUAUAGAGUCAUAUUGUUUUAGUUUAUCGAGUUGUAAGUAAAUAAAAGUGUGAUGAUCAUCAUCAUUACAGGAUUGUCCUAGUGAGGUAAAGAAUGAUGGAGACUGAUUAGUCCUCCAAAAGGUGGGGAUGAGGCUCGUGAUAUUGUUCUUAAAAAGAGAGAAAAAAUAAUUAAAAAAAGAGAGAAAAAGAGAGAAGGGGCGAUGCUACUAUCCUUUUACCACACUUUUGCUUCAAAUAGCACCAUGGUUCUUCAUAUAGAGAUUCUCCAUGAUUUGUCACUUUCAUAUACUAGUGGGAAUUUUUACGUUAUAGAACUUGGCUUGUAUAUUCCGAUGACGGGCUUCCUCAAAUGCCCAAGGUCUUCAUGAGCAAGCAAGUUGGAUGCACACCUGAAGGAAGUAUUCCCUAGAGGCAAUAAUAAAGUUGUUAUUUAUAUUUCCUUAUAUCAUGAUAAAUAUUUAAUAUUCAUGCUAGAAUUGUAUUAACUGGAAACAUAGUACAUGUGUGAAUACAUAGACAAAUAUAGUGUCCCUAGUAUGCCUCUACUUGACUAGCUUGUUAAUCAAAGAUGGUUAAGUUUCCUAGCCAUGGAUGUGAUGGACAAGACCCAUCCAUUAUCUUAGCAUAAUGAUCGUUCAGUUUUAUUGCUACUGCUUUCUUCAUAACUUAUACAUGUUCCUCUGACUAUGAGAUUAUGCAACUACCGAAUACCGGAGGAACACCUUGUGUGCUAUCAAACGUCACAACGUAACUGAGUGAUUAUAAAGAUGCUCUACAGGUGUCUCCGAUGGUGUUUGUUGAGUUGGCAUAGAUCGAGAUUAGGAUUUGUCACUCCGUGUAUCUGAGAUGUAUCUCUGGGCCCUCUCGGCAAUGCACAUCACUAUAAGCCUUGCAAGCAAUGUGACUAAUGAGUUAGUUACGAGAUGUUGCAUUACGGAACGAGUAAAGAGACUUGCCGGUAACGAGAUUGAACUAGGUAUUGAGAUACCGACGAUCGAAUCUCGGGCAAGUAACAUACCGAUGACAAAGGAAACAACGUAUGUUGUUAUGCGGUUUGACCGAUAAAGAUCUUCGUAGAAUAUGUAGGAGCCAAUAUGAGCAUCCAGGUUCCGCUAUUGGUUAUUGACCAGAGAUGUGUCUCGGUCAUGUCUACAUAGUUCUUGAACCCGUAGGGUCCGCACGCUUAACAUUUUGUGAUGAUUUGUAUUAUGAGUUAUGUGAUUUGAUUAUCGAAGUUUGUUCGAAGUCGCGGAUGAGAUCGGGGACAUGACGAGGAGUCUCGAAAUGGUCGAGACGUAAAGAUCGAUAUAUUGGAAGGCUAUAUUAGGACAUCGGAAAGGUUCCGAGUGAUUCGAGUAUUUUUUGGAGUACCGGAGAGUUACGGGAAUUCGUAUUGGGCCUUAAUGGGCCAUGGAAAGGAGAGAAAGGCCUCAAGGGUGGCCGCGCCCCUUCCCCAUGGACUGGUCCGAAUUGGACUAGGGAAAUGGGGCGGCCCCUUCCUUCCUUCUCCUUCCCCUUCCCUUUUUCCUAUUCCAUGUAGGAGGUGGAAUCCUACUAGGACUAGGGAGUCCUAGUAGGACUCCACACUUUGGGUGCGUCCUAUGAGGGCCGGCCUCCUCCUCCCUCCAUACUUUAUAUACGUGGCCAGGGGGCACCCCAUAGACACAAGUUGAUCAUUGAUCUCUUAGCCGUGUGCGGUGCCCCCCUCCACCAUAAUCCACCUUGGUCAUAUCGUAGUGGUGCUUAGGCGAAGCCCUGUUCCCGUAGCAUCAUCAUCACCGUCAUCACGCCAUCAUGCUGACGAAGCUCUCCCUCGACACUCUGCUGGAUCAUGAGUUCAUGGGACGUCACCAAGCCGAACGUGUGCAGAUCGUGGAGGUGCCGUACUUUCGGUACUAGGAUCAGUCGAUCGUGAAGACGUACGACUACAUCAACCGCGUUAUCAUAACGCUUCCGCUUACGGUCUACAAGGGUACGUAGACAAUACUCUCCCCUCUCGUUGCUAUGCAUCACCAUGAUCUUGCGUGUGCGUAGGAUUUUUUUUGAAAUUACUACGUUCCCCAACACUGGCAUCCAAGCCAGGUUUAUGCGUAGAUGUUAUAUGCACAAGUAGAACACAAAGGAGUUGUGGGCAUGGGUAUAUACAUAUUUCUUGCCGUCACUAGUUGAUUCUUGAUUCGACGGUAUUGUUGGAUGAAGCGGCUCAGACCGACAUUACACGUACGCUUACGCGAGACUGGUUCUACCAACAUGCUUCGCACACAGGUGGCUAGUAGGUGUCUGUUUCUCCAACUUUAGUUGAAUCAGAUUCAAUGAACAUGGUUCUUUCUGAAGAUCAAAAAACAAUCACUAUACCACGUUGUGGUUUUUUAUGCGUAGGUAAGAACGGUUCUUGCUCAGCCCGUAGCAGCAAUGUAAAACUUGCAACAACAAAGUAGAAGACGUCUAACUUGUUUUUGCAGGGCAUGUUGUGAUGUGAUAUGGUCAAGACGUGAUGAGAUAUAAAUUGUUGCAUGCGAUGAUCAUGUUUUGUUGAAGUUAUCGGUAACUGGCAGGAGCCUUAUGGUUGUCUCUUUAUUGCAUAAGAUGCAAGCGCCAUAUAAUUGCUUUACUUUAUCGCUAUACGAUAGCAAUAGUUGGUGAGAGGACCAUGUGACGACACGUUGAUAGAGAUCAAGAUGAUGGAGAUCAUGGUGUCAUGCCGGUGAUGAUAGAGAUCAUGACGGUGUUUUGGAGAUGGUGAAAGUGCAACUAUCCCUGGGUGGUUUUGGUAAUUCCUAACAACAUAUAACUCAUUGAGCUAAUGCUACUUAAAGAUAAACCUUUCAGGAAAGCUCAAUGAUUGGCAUGGCAUGGAUGAGAAAAGUGGAUCCCUCAAAAUUCUAAGGACAAAGGAUUGGCUCAAGCUCAAGGCUCAGGACUCUACAUCUUUUCAUUUUAAGUGAUCCAAGAUCACAUUGAGUCCAUACGAAAAGCCAGUACUAUUCAGAGGGGAUGAGGUGUUUCCUAAUGGCUUGCUUGCUCAAAGUGGCUAGUGAUAUGCUCCAAAAGCCCUCAACUACUUUCUCACAUCCACAUAUGUCCCAAACCAAAAGUCAAACUCGGCCCCACCAAAACUUUCUAUCCGGCGCCGCCAAGUUCAGUUGACAUAGCCACUACCAGAAACCCUAGUCUUUUCGGUCUCACCGAGAUGGGAUUGUAAUCUCUCUGUUUCCCUUUGUAACGUUUCGGUCAAACCGAGAUGAGCGAUCGGUCCCACUGAGAUUGCAAUGAAAACUCUCUGUUUCCCUUUUGUAACGUUUCGGUCCAACCGAGAUGAGCGAAUCGGUCCCACCGAGUUUCCCUAACCAACUCUCUGUUAGUCCAUUACCAAAAUCGGUCUCACCGAGUUUGUGUAAUCGGUCUCAUCGAGAUUACGUUAUGCCCUAACCCUAACAAAACUGGUCCCACCGAGUUGACAUGUCGGUCCCACCGAAAAACCCUAACGUUCACAUUUUGAACUAAAUCGGUCUGACCGAGAUUGGUGAUUUGUGUGUAACGGUUAGAUUUUGUGUGGAGGCUAUUUAUACCCCUCCACCCACUCUUCAUUCAUGGAGAGAGCCAUCAGAACAUGCCUACACUUCCAACAUACAUUUUCUGAGAUAGAACCACCUACACUUGUGUUGAGGUCAAGAUAUUCCAUUCCAGCCACAUAAAUCUUGAUCUCUAGCCUUCCCCAAGUUGCUAUCCACUCAAAUCUUCUCUCUACCAAAUCCAAAUCCUAUGAGAGAGAGUUAAGUGUUGGGGAGACUAUCAUUUGAAGCACAAGAGCAAGGAGUUCAUCAUCAACACACCAUUUGUUACCUCUUGGAGAGUGGUGUCUCCUAGAUUGGUUAGGUGUCACUUGGGAGCCUCUGUCAAGAUUGUGGAGUUGAACCAAGGAGUUUGUAAGGGCAAGGAGAUCGCCUACUUCGUGAAGAUCUACUCGAGUGAAGCAAGUCCUUCAUGGGCGACAGGCAUGGUGGGAUAGACAAGGUUGCUUCUUCAUGGACCCUUCGUGGGUGGAGCCCUCCGUGGACUCGCACAACCGUUACCCUUCGUGGGUUGAAGUAUCCAUCAACGUGGAUGUACGAUAGCACCGCCUAUCGGAACCACGCCAAAAAUCUCCGUAUCUCCAAUUGCGUUUGCACACUCCAAACUCCUCCCUUUACCUUCAUAUGCAAUUGUUUUACUUUCCGCUGCUAUACUCUUAGAAUUGCAUGUGUGGGUUGAUUGCUUGAUUUGUGCUAAGUUGCUAAAAUCUGCCUAGAACUAAAAUUGGGAAAAGACUAGAUUUUUAUUUGGUCAAGUAGUCUAAUCACCCCCCUCUAGACAUACUUUCGAUCCUACAAGUGGUAUAAGAGCUUUGGUCUCCAUUUGCUUUGAUUUCCGUAGCUUUUGGUGGUCAUAGCCUUGGUUUCACAACCUAGGAGAGUAUGGUGUCUAGCGAGGGAAAUUACCACCGUAGAGGUACUUACUUUGAUGGUACAAAUUUUGCUAGUUGGAAGCAUAAGAUGAAAAUGCAUAUUCUUGGACAUAACCCCACCAUUUGGGCUAUUGUGUGUAUUGGCUUGCAAGGUGAAUUGUUCGAUGGUAGAGAACCAAACCGUGAAGCUAUCGUAGAAGAAUUGAAGAUGCUACAAUAUAAUGCUCAAGCUUGUGAUAUUCUCUUCAACGGAUUAUGCCCCGAAGAAUUCAACAAAAUCAACCGUCUUGAGAAUGCAAAGGAAAUUUGGGAUACUUUGAUUGAUAUGCACGAAGGUACCGAAUCCGUCAAGGAAUCCAAAUUGGACGUGCUUCAAAGUCAGCUUGACAAGUUCAAAAUGAAGGAUGGUGAAGGCGUUGCUGAAAUUUACUCUAGGCUUGCUCUCAUCACAAAUGAGAUUGCCGGCUUAGGAAGUGAAGAGAUGACCGAUAUAUUCACCAUCAAGAAGAUCCUAAGAGCCUUGGAUGGAAAAUAUGAUACCGUGUGCACAUUGAUCCAAAUGAUGCCCAAUUACAAAGAUCUGAAGCUAACGGAAGUUAUUGGAAGAAUUGUUGCUCAUGAGAUGUCACUCAAGGAUAAGGAAGAGCUUCACAACAAGUCAAGUGGUGCUUACAAAGCCUCGUGUGAUGCUUCCACAUCAUCAAGUGAGAAGCAAAUCUUCAAUGAAGAAUUGAGUCUAAUGGUGAAGAACUUCAACAAGUUCUACAAGAGUAGAAGCAAGGAAAGAAGUUCCAAGUCAAGGUCCUAUAAUGACAAAAUAUCUUCUAGUCAUGAGAGUAAUUGCUACAAUUGUGGAAGAGCCGGACACUACUCCAAUGAAUGUACUCCCCCCUACAAAGGAAGAGAAGAUUCUCCCAAAAUAAGGAGUAGAAGAGAAGAAUCACCAUCAAGAGAGAGGAGUAGAGAUGAUCGUUAUGAACAAAGACCCUCUCGGAGAAGCAAGGACUCGGAAAGGAAGGACAAGAAGUCAUCAAGGAGCUACACGAAAAGAAGACAUCAAGCUCAUGUUGGUGAAUGGGUAUCCGGUUCCGACUCCGACAAUCACUCCGACUCCGAAUAUACUCAAGAUGAAGGUGUUGCCGGACUAGCACUUGUGACAACCAACUCCCUUGACAUAUUUGACUCACCAAAUGAAGGAAUUGGGAGAUGCUUCAUGGCUAAAUGUCCAAAGGUAACACACCCCGAGUAUGUUGAUUUCAAUAGUGAUGAAGAUGAUUUGCUAGGAUAUGAUGAUUUACUUGUUGACAACUCUAGUUAUGAAAACUAUAAUGAGCUUGCUAUUAAUCAUAAUAAUCAAUAUAAAACGAAUGACGAUGAUAAGAAGGAGAUUGAGCAUCUAACUAAAGAACUAAACACUCUUAAGUUAGCUCAUGAAACUACCUUGGAAGAUCAUCGAGAACUUUUAAAGACUCAUGAUAAGCUACGCUUUGAAAAGCUCAACCUUGAGAAAGAACAUGAGUUUUUAAAGGCAAUCAAAGAUGAUCUUCGCAAGAAAAGUUCUUCUUACAUUGCCAAGCGUUUACUCUUGUCUACUUACAUGCCACAAGUUAAAUCUAGCAACAAGAACAAGAAAGAUUCUUCAUCUAGUAGUAACAACAAUCAUGCUAAAUCCAAUGUUGUUGCUUCUAGUAGCUCUCUUGAUUCCACUAAUGAUUCUCUUAGCCAAGUUAUACUUGAGCAAGAAAAUAGCUUAUUGAAGGGAACUAUAGAGAAAGGUGUUUACAAGAUCCUUGCCGGAAGCAAGCAAUUUGAGGAAAUUGUACGCAAGCAAGGAAGACACCGGAGGAAUCAAGGUGUUGGUUUUGAACGAAAGUUCAAUGCCAAUGGAGUUGAGUGGGAAGAAGAUCAAUACCCCAAGAUGAAGUUUGUUCCUCAACAAGAGAAGUAUGAUCCUACUUCUUUCAAAGGAACACAAUCUCAAGAUGAUCUUCCACCAGAAGACCACAAGCAAAAAGGAAAGGACAAGCUUCAAGAGGAGAUUGAUGCAUUCGAGGAAGCUCCCAAAGCCUUGGUCAAGUGGGUUCCCAAGACUACAUCAAGUUCUACUUCAUCAAGUACAACUACAACUCCAAGGAUUCCCAUCAAGAUGGUGUGGAUCCCGAAGAAGAAGAACUAGAGAGUUCUUGAGGGUGACUCCGCGAACAUACUUCACUCCUAUCAUUUUGGCGAGGACAAGUGCAAACAACUUUCGUAUCUUGCACUAGUUCAAGGAGUCACGAACCCUUUUGUUGGUAAGAUAAGGGACAAGGUAACCUAAUGCUUCCACGGAGAUCAUCUUGUGUACACAUCACUCUAUGUCUAUGGAUAUCCUUGUUUGUUCCUUGUGGGACUAACCCAUGUAGGUAUUGAAAGUGCAACCCACUCCAAAGGAUUGCUUCGAAUGAUCUACAUCAACAUUGAGCAUCCACAUCUUCAACACCUACAUGAAGUCAUCAUCGACAAAACCCAAGGUUAGUUGAUCCCUCUUAGGAGGAAUAUCACAUCUAGGGGGAGCUUUACUCUAAUCAAUUGAGCUAAAGCAACUCUAAUGGUGUGAGUACAACAAUGCUCUAUGUAAAAGUGGUAACCCCACUUGUGCUUAAGCGAUGAGUAUGACCUACGAUCAAAUGUUCUCAUUUGACUCGUAAGUCAAUAUACUCAUAUAUAGAUGACCUAGUCAUCGCAAAUUGCUUGAUAGAUGCUAGAGUGAUUGUGCAUGCUUUGUCACAUAUUUCUUUUGCCAUCUUAUUGUGUGAGCAUGUUGGUUGCAUAUUUUACUCAUUCGAGGACAUCCAUUUGUUGCUUUGAUUGUUUGGCCUUUUUCUCUUUUGCCAAAUGGAUGGACAAGAAUGCCUAAGAACUCCAUCUAGCUAUCUAUGCUUUUCUCGUCUCAAACUCUAUUCAUGCUACAUCACAAAGUUUGAUCAAGUCAGUUUCGAACCACUUUGCGUGAGGAGCACUCGGAGUCCCCGAUUUGUCAUAGACUUAAACUUCCAAAACCUCUUUGUGCAUUUCGGUCUGACCGAUUCAUACUUUUCGGUCCUACCGAGAUCACUUAGUUGAUCUAGGUUUUCAAUCUAUGUGCAACCGAUAAGAACUGUUCGGUCACACCGAGUUGCAGUAACUGCCUGCAGUUUUGCAUCUCGGUGCCACCGAGUUGUUUCACUCGAUCACACCGACAGGGUCAGGUUAUAUAUACUGACGGGCUAAAUUUUGGAAAUUUUUUCGAAACCCUUCACCCGGGCAUAACCUACUCUGCCUCCUCGGGUUUCCGGAUCAUCUUCUCGCCAUCAGCGACCUCGCGCCGCUAGUCUCCGCCACCGUCAACGGCAAUCUGCCCCGCCGUUGCCGUCGUAGCAAGUUCGCCGCCGAAGUAGGGUAUGAACUUGAUCUUUGUGCUAUUCCUUAACUCCGGUUCAUAGCACAUUGCUUUGCCAUGAUUCUUGCCACGUAUGAAAUCAUCUUAUCCAUCGAAAGCAUCUCGUAGAUUAGAUUUGAUUUGAAAAUUUAGGGUUAGGUCUCCGCCGAACUCAACUCGGACCGACCGACUUUUAGAAUUCGGUCUCACCGAUUUGGCUUAGGUCAUUGCACAUGCGUUUUUGGUGUGAACGAAAAUUGCAGAUCGGUGUGACCGAGUUCAAUUCUCUGUGAAACCCUAGCAGUCUUGGUGCCACUGAACUGUGACUUGGUCUGACCGAGUUCACUAGUUUAGGUUCCAAAAGCUGCUUCGGUAUCACCGAGUUUACAAAUCGGUAGAUCCGAAAUGCUUUCUGUGAAGAACUAAAACUAAGUUUUUGAGUCAAGUGUUUUGCAAAACUCAUGUACGUUGUGAUGCUCAUAUUCUCUACCUCAUCUAUAAUCUAUUCACAGGGUCUGCUGACAGUAUGCCUGCAAGAUGUCUGAUCAAAGUGAUAGCCAGAACAAGUCUGAGGAGUAGGUUCAACUGAGUGAGGGCACUAGUCCCUCUAGCACUUUUGAUGAGGGCAGCAGGAGCACGCCAAGUAACUUGCCAAAGGCAGCUACCAGGACAAGGAAUAAGAAAACUUUUGAUUCAGAAGAUGAAGAUUAUGUGGCUGUUGAGGAUGAGGCCAGUUCAAAGAAAAAGGUGCUGAAAAAGGAGUAUGGCUCAGCUGCUACAGUCAAGCCAGGGAUGCAUAAGAAGGCACCAGCAAAGAGAGUUCCCUAUGUCUAAGGCCAGAGCAUCAACUGCUGAAACCUCCAAGCCAACUGAAGAGGCCGCUGGAGAAGGAAAGAAAAGGAAGGAAAGGGUCAAGAAGACCACUGCCAGAGUGCUUAGCAGAUCAUCCAUAAUGAGAGAGAUCCAGAAGAAGAAGAAGAGGAAGAGGAUGCUGCACCAGCUCCUAAGGCACAAAAUCUCAUGGGAGAUGCAAUCAGAUUAGGGGAUACUCCAUCUAAGCCCAAAGCAGCUCCCAAGGCCACUGCUCCAGCUCAGAAGCCUAAACCCAAGAGAAGCACUAGAAACAUUCCUGCUGAGGAGAAAAACAAGGCCCCAGUGCCUAAAGCUGCUGAAGAAGAAGAUGAAGCCCAAGAUCCUUGACCACAAUGAUACACAUCCUGUGGAAAAAAACAUGAAAAUCAGGAAGGAUGUAGGAUUGACGUUAUGGAGACAGUCUGAUCCAUAUGCUAUUAGGAGGAGGACUGCUGUGGACUACAUGUUUCAUAGCAAGGAACAGCAAGAUUUUUAUGAGACAGUGUUGCUUGACAAGAAGCCCAUUGUAUGUGACAUGAAAUGGGUGGAUUGGGAAUACAUCCAGGAAAAUGAAGAUCACUAUCCAGGUGUAUAUGACAGCUUCAAGGCAUGUGGAGUUGAUACCUUUGUGGCCCAGAAGCUCACCAAGUGGAAUGAUAAGUUGAUCAUGCAGUUCUACCACUGCCCAUUUCUAUCCAGAUGGGAAGAUCGUUUGGAUGUCUGAGGGUACCAGGUACCAGUCUAUAGUUGAUGAAUGGGCUUAGUUGAUCAAUGCCCCUGCAGAGCAUGAAGAUGACUUGGAUAUAUGCUGAGAAGAAGAAAGACCACAACACAAUGGCCAACAUGUACAAAGAGAUCCCAGAUGCUGCUUUGGAUACUCACAAGUUUGGAUCUGUCCACUUCUUGUUGUCUGGUCUGCCUACUAUAAAUUGCAUCCUCAGACACACAUUGCUACCCAAGUCAGGUGAUCACAAGAUGAUCAGAGGACAUGCCAUCAACUUGCUACAUUUGUUUGAUGUGCCUCAAAAAAUUCAAAGUCAUGAGUCUGAUUACGGAAACAAUCAAGAGGACUGCUGCUGACCAGAAGAGAAGUUGCGGGCAUGCUCGACAAAUUCAGGAGCUCAUCAACUCAAAGAUGGGCACAUGCAAGUAUAUUUUGGAUAAGGAGCACAUGCCCAUCUACCUUGAUUUUGAAGACAAUACUGUUGUAAUGACUGAGGAAGGUCCAUCAUCUGUGCAAGCACAUGAGAAGACAGAGAAGGCAAGGGCAGAGAAAGCUGCAAGGAUGCCAACUGCUGAAGAGGCAUCUCAGGUUUUCCUGAAGAGCAAGCAAGAUCAUCUUGGAUAUAUGAUUCAAGCUACACUGAGGAUUGAGAAGGGCUUGGCCACCCUAGCUCAAAACCAGGAGAGUUUGGAGAGGAUCGUUGAGCAGAAGAUCUAUGAUCUAGAUGUCAAGGUAACUGAGAUCCAAACUGCAGUUGAGCAGCUACAGGAGGAAGCAGAGGAGAAGAAGGGCAAGUCCACUACUGAUGCUUUCAAGCGUGUGCCACAAGGUCCAAGGUCUGCUGCAGUGCCAGUCACAGAUACUAGAACAUCAGUGUCAGCACCCGCAGCCACAGCUCCAGUGCCACCUCCAGCACCCACUCCAUCAGCUCCAACUACUUCAUCGGAAGCCUUCGUCCUUGGAGUGCUCUCUACACCACCUCCCAAAGAUCAAGCCUGAGAGUCGUUUAGCACUAUGCAUUUUUGAACUUUUUGGUAACUUGUUGCCAAAGGGGGAGAAAAAUGUAUAGAUCAUAGGCUUCGAGAGAGAGUGUUGUUCUUUUAUCUCUCUUGCUAUUUUGGUUGAACUUAUUUAUUGAGUGCUUGUGUGAGAUACUUUAUGUCCUUCUGAGAUACUUGUUGAUCAUGUGUUUGAUCAUAUGCUACAUUAAUGUUUGGUUGAAUGAUGCUAUCCUUUAUAUCCUCAUUUGAUCAUUCACUUGCUUGGUGAUGAGUGCAUGCUUCUAAUCUCUAUCAUUUUGAGCACUCCACCAAGAUGUAUGUGACAUGGAAGAGUAACCCAUGAUCCUAAUCGAUUAUGCAUUUGCAUUCAAAAGUAAAUUUUAAAUAAUGCACAAAUUUAGGGGGAGCUCUUGCUUAUCACAUACUUCUCAAAGCGACGAUGUUUUUCAAUCUUAUUUAUCAUUUGUCGAAGCUUUGAUCUAUAUGUUGUCAUCAAUUACCAAAAAGGGGGAGAUUGAAAGUGCAACUAUCCCUGGGUGGUUUUGGUAAUUCCUAACAACAUAUAACUCAUUGAGCUAAUGCUACUUAAAGAUAAACAUUUCAGGAAAGCUCAAUGAUUGGCAUGGCAUGGAUGAGAAAAGUGGAUCCCUCAAAAUUCGAAGGACAAAGGAUUGGCUCAAGCUCAAGGCUCAGGACUCUACAUCUUUUCAUUUUAAGUGAUCCAAGAUCACAUUGAGUCCAUAGGAAAAGCCAAUACUAUUAAGAGGGGAUGAGGUGUUGCCUAACGACUUGCUUGUUCAAAGUGCUUAGUGAUAUGCUCCGAAAGCCCUCAACUACUUUCUCACAUCCACAUAUGUCCCAAACCAAAAGUCAAACUCGGCCCCACUGAAACUUUCUAUCCGGCGCCACCAAGUUCAGUUGACAUAGCCACUACCAGAAACCCUAGUCUUUUUGGUCUCACCGAUAGGGAUCUCGGUCUCACCGAGAUGGGAUUGUAAUCUCUCUGUUUCCCUUCAUAACGUUUCGGUCAAACCGAGAUGAGCGAUCGGUCCCACCGAGAUUGCAAUGCAAACUCUCUGUUUCCCUUUCGUAACGUUUUGGUCCAACGGAGAUGAGCGAAUCGGUCCCACCGAGUUUGCCUAACCAACUCUCUGUUAGUGCAUUACCAAAAUCGGUCUCACCGAGUUUGUGUAAUCGGUCUCACCGAGAUUACGUUAUGCCCUAACCCUAACAAAACCGGUCCCACUGAGUUGACAUGUCGGUCCCACCGAAAAAUCCUAACGUUCACAUUUUGAACUAAAUCAGUCUCACCGAGUUUGGUGAUUUGUGUGUAACGGUUAGAUUUUGUGUGGAGGCUAUUUAUACCCCUCCACCCACUCUUCAUUCAUGGAGAGAGCGAUCAGAACAUGCCUACACUUCCAACAUACAUUUUCUGAGAGAGAACCACCUACACUUGUGUUGAGGUCAAGAUAUUCCAUUCCAACCACAUAAAUCUUGAUCUCUAGCCUUCCCCAAGUUGCUUUCCACUCAAAUCUUCUUUCUGCCAAAUCCAAUCCUAUGAGAGAGUUGAGUGUUGGGGAGACUAGGAGGAGGACUCCUCCUCCUGGAGCGCCCUACAGGACCGGCCGGCCUCCCCCUUGUUCCUUUAUAUACAGGGGCAGGGGGCACCCUAGAACACACAAGUUGAUCUGUUGAUCUCUCCCAGCCCUGUGCGGUGCCCCCCUCCACCAUAAUCCACCUCGAUUAUAUCGUAGCGGUGCGUAGGCGAAGCCCUGCGUCGGUAGAAUCAUCAUCACCAUCAUCACGCCAUCGUGCUGACAAAACUCUCCCAUGAAGCUAUGCUGGAUCGGAGUUCGUGGGACGUCAUCGAGCUGAACGUGUGCUGAACUCGGAGGUGCCGUGUGUUCGGUACUUGGAUCGGUCGGAUUGUGAAGACGUAUGACUACAUCAACUGCGUUGUGCUAACGCUUCUGCUUUCGGUCUACGAGGGUACGUGGACACACUCUCCCCUCUCGUUGCUAUGCAUCACCAUGAUCUUGUGUGUGCGUAGGAUUUUUUUUGAAAUUACUAUGUUCCCCAACAGUGGCAUCCGAGCCAGGUUUAUGCGUAGAUGUUAUAUGCACGAGUAGAACACAAGUGAGUUGUGGGCGAUACAAGUCAUACUGCUUACCAGCAUGUCAUACUUUGGUUCGGCGGUGUUGUUGGAUGAAGCGCCCCGGACCGACAUUACACGUACGCUUACGCGAGACUGGUUCUACCGACGUGCUUUGCACACAGGUGGCUGGCGGGUGUCAGUUUCUCCAACUUUAGUUGAACCGAGUGUGGCUACGCCCGGUCCUUGAGAAGGUUAAAACAACACCAACUUGACAAACUAUCGUUGUGGUUUUGAUGCGUAGGUAAAAACGGUUCUUGCUCAGCCCGUAGCAGCCACGUAAAACUUGCAAACAACAAAGUAGAGGACGUCUAACUUGUUUUUGCAGGGCAUGUUGUGAUGUGAUAUGGUCAAGACAUGAUAGGAUAUAAAUUGUUGUAUGAGAUGAUCAUGUUUUGUUAAAGUUAUCGGCAAGUGGCAGAAGCCUUAUGGUUGUCUCUUUAUUGCAUAAGACGCAAGCGCCAAACAAUUGCUUUACUUUAUCGCUAUGUGAUAGCAAUAGUUGCAAGACCAAUAGUUGGCGAGACGACCAUGUGACGACACAUUGAUAGAGAUCAAGAUGAUGGAGAUCAUGGUGUCAUGCCGGUGACGAUAGAGAUCAUGACGGUACUUCGGAGAUGGAGAUCAAAGGCGCAAGAUGAUCAUGGCCAUAUCAUGUCACAUAUUUUGAUUCCAUGUGAUGUUUAUACUUUAUGCAUCUUAUUUUGCUUAGUUCGUCGGUAGCAUUAUAAGAUGAUCUCUCACUAAAUUUCAAGAUAUAAGUGUUCUCCCUGAGUAUGCACCGUUGCGACAGUUCUUCGUGCUGAGACACCACGUGAUGAUCGGGUGUGAUAAGCACUACGUUCACAUACAAUGGGUGGAAGCCAGUUUUGCACACGCGAAAUACUCGGGUUAAACUUGACGAGCCUAGCAUAUGCAGAUAUGGCCUCAGAACACUGGAGACCAAAAGGUCGAGCGUGAAUCAUAUAGUAGAUAUGAUCAACAUAGUGAUGUUCACCAUUGAAAACUACUCCAUCUCAUGUGACGAUCAGACAUGGUUUAGCUGAUUUGGAUUAUGUGAUCAUUUAGAUGACUAGAGGGAUGUCUAUCUAAGUGAGAGUUCUUAAGUAAUAUGAUUAAUUGAACUUUAAUUUAUCACGAACUUAGUCCUGAUAGUAUUUGCAUAACUAUGUUGUAGAUCAAUAGCUCGCGAUGUAGCUCCCCGUUUAUUUUUGAUAUGUUCCUAGAGAAAAACUAUGUUGAAAGAUGAUAGUAGCAAUGAUGCGGACUAGGUCCAUGAUCUGAGGAUUAUCCUCAUUGCUACACAGAAGAAUUAUGUCCUUGAUGCACCGCUAGGUGACGGACCUAUUGCAGGAGCAGAUACAGAUGUUAUGAACGUUUGGUAAAUCUCGGUAUGAUGACUACUUAAUAGUUUAGUGCACCAUGCUUUACGGCUUAGAACCGGGACUUCAAAAAUGUUUUGAAUGCCACAGAGCAUAUAAGAUGUUCUAAGAGUUGAAAUUGGUAUUUCAUACUCAUGCCCGUGUCGAGAGGUAGAAGACCUCUGACAGUAAUUUGCCUACAAGAUGGAGGAGUAUAGCUCAAAGCAUGUGCUCAGAUUGUCUGGGUACGACAAUUGCUUGAAUCAAGUGGGAGUUAAUCUUCCAGAUAAGAUAGUAAUCAGCAAAGUUCUCUAGUCACUAUCACCAAGUUACUAGAACUUAGUGAUGAACUAUAAUAUGCAAGGGAUGACGAAAGUAAUUCCCAAGCUCUUCACGAUGCUAAAAUCAGCGAAGGUAGAAAUCAAGAAAUAUCAUCAAGUGUUGAUGGUUAACAAGACCACUAGUUUCAAUAAAAAGGGCAAAGGGAAAGAUAGAGAAACUUCAAAGAAGAAUAGCAAGCAAGUUGCUGCUCCCAUGAAGAAGCUCAAAGCUAGACCCAAGCCUGGAACUGAGUGCUUCUACUGGAAAGGAAAUGGUCACUGGAAGUGGAACUGCCCUAGAUACUUGGCGGAUAAGAAGGAUGGCGAAGUGAACAAAAUAUAUUUGAUAUACAUGUUAUUGAUGUGUACUUUACUAGUAUUUAUAACAACACCUCAAUAUUUGAUACUGGUUCAGUUACUAAGAGUAGUAACUCGAAACGGGAGUUGCAAAAUAAACAGAGACUAGUUAAGGGCGAGGUGAUGAUGUGAGUUGGAAGUGAUUCCAAGGUUGAUAAGAUCACCAUCGCACACUCCCUUUACCUUUGGGAUUAGUGUUGAACCUAAAACAAAUGUUAUUUGGUGUUUGCGUAGAGCAUAAUAUGAUUGGACCAUGUUUAUUGCAAUACAGUUAUUCAUUUAAGUCAAGGAUAAUUGUUAUUCUGUUUACAUGAAUAAAACCUUCCGAGGUCAUACACCCAAGGUGAAUGGUUUAUUGAAUCUCGAUCGUAGUAAUACACAUAUUAAUAAUAUUGAAGCCAAAAGAUGCAAAGUUAAUAAUGACAGUGCAACUUAUAUGUGGCACUGCCAUUUAGGUCAUAUUGGUGUAAAGCGCAUGAAGAAACUCCAUGUUGAUGGGAUUUUGGAAUCACUUUAUUAUGAAUCAUUUGAUGCUUGCGAACCAUGCCUUGUGGGCAAGAUGACUAAAACUCCAUUCUCUGGAACAAUGGAGCAAGCAACUGACUUACUAGAGAUAAUACAUACUGAUGUAUGCAAUCUGAUGAGUGUUGAGGCUCGCAGCGGGUAUCAUUAUUUUCUGAUCUUCACAGAUGAUUUGAGAAGAUAUGGGUAUAUCUACUUGAUGAAACAUAAGUCUGAAACAUUUGAAAAUUUCAAAGAAUUUCAGAGUGAAGUGGAAAAUCAUCAUAACAAGAAAAUAAAGUUUCUGUGAUCUGAUCGUGGAGGAGAAUAUUUGAGUUACGAGUUUGUUCUUCAUUUGAAACAGUGCAGAAUAGUUUCGCAACUCACGCCACCUGGAACACCACAUCGUAAUGGUGUGUCCGAACGUCAUAACCGUACUUUAUUAGAUAUGGUGCAAUCUAUGAUGUCUCUUACCGAUUUAUCACUAUCGUUUUGGGGUUAUGCAUUAGAGACAGCUGCAUUCACGUUAAAUAGGGCACCAUCUAAAUCCGUUGAGAUGGCACCAUAUGAAUUGUGGUUUAGCAAGAAAUCUAAGAUGUCAUUUCUUAAAGUUUGGGGCUAUGAUGCUUAUGUGAAAAAGUUUCAACCUGAUAAGCUCGAACCCAAAUCAGAGAAAUGCGCCUUCAUAGGAUACCCAAAGGAAACUAUUGGGUACACCUUCUAUCACAAAUCUGAAGGCAAGAUAUUCAUUGUUAAGAAUAGCUCCUUUCUAUAGAGGAAGUUUCUCUCGAAAGAAGUGAUUGGGAGGAAUGUAAAACUUGAUGAGGUAAUUGUACCUUCUCCUGAAUUGGAAAGUAGUUCAUCACAGAAAUCAUUUCUAGUGAUUACUACACUAGUUAGUGAGGAAGUUAACGAUGAUGAUCAUGAAACUUCAUAUCAAGUUACUAUUGAACCUUGUAGGUCAACUAGAAUACGUUCCGCACCAGAGUGGUACGGUAAUCCUGUUCUGGAGGUCAUGUUACUUGACCAUGACGAACCUACAAACUAUGAGGUAGUGAUGUUGAGCCCAGAUUCCGCGAAAUGGCUUGAAGCCAUGAAAUCUGAGAUGAGAUCCAUGUAUUAGAACAAAGUAUGCACUUUGAUUGACUUGCCCGUUGAUCGGUGAGCCAUUAAGAAUAAAUGGAUUUUCAAGAGGAAGACGGACACCGAUAGUAGUUUUACUAUCUACAAAGCUCGAAUUGUCACAAAAGGUUUUCGACAAGUUCAAGAUGUUGACUAUGAUGAGAUUUUCUCACUCAUAGCGAUGCUUAAGUCUGUCCGAAUCAUGUUAGAAAUUGCCACAUUUUAUGAAAUCUAGCAAAUGGAUGUCAAAACUGCAUUCCUUAAUGGAUUUUUUAAAGAAGAGUUGUAUAUGAUGCAACAAGAAGGUUUUGUCAAUCCUAAAGGUGCUAAGAAAGUGUGCAAGCUCCAGCGAUCCAUCUAUGGACUGGUGCAAGCAUCUUGGAGUUGGAAUAUAUACUUUGAUAAAGUGAUCAAAGCAUAUGGUUUUAUACAGACUUGCGGUGAAGCCUGUAUUUACAAGAAAGUGAGUGGGAGAACCACAACAUUACUGGUAAGUAUAUGUGAAUGACAUAUUGUUGAUCGGAAAUAAUGUAGAUUUUUCUGGAAAUCAUAAAGGAGUGUUUGAAAAGAGUUUUUCAAAGAAAGACCUCGAUGAAGCUACUUACAUAUUGAGCAUCAAGAUCUAUAGAGAUAGAUCAAGACGCUUGAUAUAUUUUCAAUGAGUACAUACCUUGACAAGAUUUUGAAGUAGUUUAAAAUGGAAAAGUCAAAGAAGGAGUUCUUGCCUGUGUUUUAAGGUGUGAAGUUGAGUAAAGACUCAAAACACGACCACGACAGAAAAUAGAAAGAGAAUGAAAAGUCAUUCCCUAUGCCUCAGUCAUAGGUUCUAUAAAGUAUGCUAUGCUGUGUAUCAGACCUAUUGUGUAACUCACCAUAAGUUUGUCAAGAGGGUACAAUAGUUAUCCACGAGUGGAUCACUAGACAACGGUCAAAAAUAUCCUUAGUGGAAUAAGGAAAUGUUUCUCAGUUAUGGAGAUGACAAAGAGUUCGUCGUAAAGAGUUAUGUCAAUGCAAGCUUUGACACCGAUCUGGAUGACUCUAAGUCUCGAUCUAGAUACAUAUCGAAAGUGGAAGCAAUUAGCUAGAGUAGCUCCGUGCAAAGCAUUGUAGACAUAGAAAAUUUGCAAAAUACAUACGGCUCUGAAUGUGGCAGACCCAUUGACUAAAUUUCUCUCACAAGCAAAACAUGAUCACUCUUUGGGUGUUAAUCACAUAGCGAUGUGAACUAGAUUAUUGACUCUAGUAAACCCUUUGGGUGUUAGUCACAUGGAGAUGUGAACUAAUCACAUAAAGAUGUGAACUAUUUGUGUUAAAUCACAUGACGAUGUGAACUAUAUUAUUGACUCUAGUGCAAGUGGGAGACUGAAGGAAAUAUGCCCUAGAGGCAAUAAUAAAGUUGUUAUUUAUAUUUCCUUAUAUCAUGAUAAAUGUUUAUUAUUCAUGCUAGAAUCGUAUUAACCAGAAACUUAGUACAUGUGUGAAUACAUAGACAAACUGAGUGUCCCUAGUAUGCCUUGAUAACCCACAAGUAUAGGGGAUCGCAACAGUUUUCGAGGGUAGAGUAUUCAACCCAAAUUUAUUGAUUCGACACAAGGGGAGCCAAAGAAUAUUCUCAAGUAUUAGAAGCUGAGUUGUGAAUUAAACCACACCUGGAAACUUAAUAUCUGUAGCAAGGUAUUUAGUAGCAAAGUAAUAUGAUAGUAGUGGUAACGAUAGCAGAAGUAACAGUAGCAAAAGUAAUAUUUUUGGUGUUUUAUAGUGAUGAUAACAGUAGCAACGGAAAAUUAAAUAAGUGAAGAACAAUGUAUGGAAAGCUCGUAGGCAAUGGAUCGGUGAUGGAGAAUUAUGCCGGAUGCGGUUCAUCAUGUAAUAGUCAUAACCUAGGGUGACACAGAACUAGCUCCAGUUCAUCAAUGUAAUGUAGGCAUGUAUUCCGAAUAUAGUCAUACAUGCUUAUGGAAAAGAACUUGCAUGACAUCUUUUGUCCUACCCUACCGUGGCAGUGGGGUCCUAUUGGAAACUAAGGGAUAUUAAGGCCUCCUUUUAAUAGAGUACCGGAACAAAGCAUUAACUCAUAGUGAAUACAUGAACUCCUCAAACUACGGUCAUCACUAGUAAGUAUCCUGAUUAUUGUCACUUCGGGGUUAACGGAUCAUAACACAUAAUAUGUGACUAUAGACUUGCAAGAUAGGAUCAAGAACUCUCAUAUAUUGGUGAAAACAUAAUAGGUUCAGAUCUGAAAUCAUGGCACUCGGGCCCUAGUGACAAGCAUUAAGCAUAGCAAAGUCAUAUCAACAUCAAUCUCAGAACAUAGUGGAUACUAGGGAUCAAACCGUAACAAAACUAACUCGAUUACAUGAUAAAUCUCAUCCAACCCAUCACCGUCCAGCAAGCCUACGAUGGAAUUACUCACACACGGCGGUGAGCAUCAUGAAAUUGGUGAUGGAGGAUGGUUGAUGAUGAUGAUGGCGACGGAUUCCCCUCUCCGGAGCCCCAAACAGACUCCAGAUCAGCCCUCCCGAGAGAGUUUAGGGCUUGGCGGCGGCUCCGUAUUGUAAAACACGAUGAAUCCUUCUCUCUGGUUUUUCCCCCGAAAGUGAAUAUAUGGAGUCAAGGUUGAGGUCGGUGGAGUGUCAGGGGGCCCAUGAGGCAGGGGGCGCGCCCAGGGAGGCAGGCGCGCCCCCACCAUCGUGGACAGGUGGAGGCCCCCCUGACAUGGAUCUUCCUUCCAGUAUUUAUUAUAUAUUCCAAAAUAAUUCUCCGUUGAUUUUCAGGUCAUUCCGAGAACUUUUAUUUCUGCACAAAAAUAACACCAUGGCAAUUCUGAUGAAAACAGCGUCAGUCCGGGUUAGUUCCAUUCAAAUCAUGCAAUUUAGAGUCCAAAACAAGGGCAAAAGUGUUUGGAAAAGUAGAUACAAUGGAGACGUAUCAACUCCCCCAAGAUUAAACCUUUUCUUGUCCUCAAGCAAUUCAAUUGAUAAACUGAAAGUGAUAAAGAAAAACUUUUACAAACUCUGUUUGCUCUUGUUGUUGUAAAUAUGUAAAGCCAACAUUCAAGUUUUCAAUAAAGAUUAUGAACUAACCAUAUUCACAAUAACCUUUAGGUCUCAUGUUUACUCCUAUCAAUGACAUAAUCAACUAGCGAGCAAUAAUAAUAAAUCUCGGAUGACAACACUUUAUCAAAACAAUCAUGAUAUGAUAUAACAAGAUGGUAUCUCGCUAGCCCUUUCUGAGACCGCAAAACAUAAAUGCAGAGCACCAUUAAAGAUCAAGGACUGACUAGACAUUGUAAUUCAUGAUAAAAGAGAUCCAGUCAAGUCAUACUCAAUGUAAACUAACAGUAAUGAAUGCAAAUGAUAGUGGUGCUCUCCAACUGGUGCUUUUUAAUAAGAGGAUGAUGACUCAACAUAAAAGUAAAUGGAUAGGCCCUUCGCAGAGGGAAGCAGGAAUUUGUAGAGGUGCCAGAGCUCGGUUUUGAAAUAUAUAUGAAUAAUAUUUUGAGCGGUACACUUUCAUUGUCAACAUAACAACCAAGAGAUGGCGAUAUCUUCCAUGCUACACACAUUAUAGGCGGUUCCCAAAUAGAAUGGUAAAGUUUACACUCGCCCUCCACCAACAAGCAUCAAUCUAUGGCUUGCUUGAAACAAUGAGUGCCUCCAACUAACAACAGUCCCGGGGGAGUUUUGUUUGCAAUUAUUUUGAUUUGAUUUUCAUAAAGCAUGGGACUGGGCAUCCCGGUGACCAGCCAUUUUCUCGUGAGUGAGGAGCGGAGUCCACUCCUCUUGAGAAUAACCUGCCUAACAUGGAAGAUACGGACAUCCCUAGUUGAUACAUGAGCUAUUCGAGCAUACAAAACAGAAUGUUUAUUUGAAGGUUUAGAGUUUAACACAUACAAAUUUACUUGGAACGGCAGGUAGAUACCGUAUAUAGGUAGGUAUGGUGGACUCAUAUGGAAUAACUUUGGGGUUUAUGGAAUUGGAUGUAAAAGCAGUAUUCCCGCUUAGUACAGGUGAAGGCUAGCAAAAGACUGGGAAGCGACCAGCUAGAGAGCGACAACAAUCAUGAACAUGCAUUAAAUUAAAUCAACACCGAAUGCAAGCAUGAGUAGGAUAUAGUGCACCAUGAACAUAAAUAUCGUAGAGGCUAUGUUGAUUUUGUUUCAACUACAUGCGUGAACAUGUGCCAAGUCAAGCCACUCGAAUCAUUCAAAAGAGGCUACCAUCCUAUCAUACCACAUCACAACCAUUUUAAUAGCAUGUUGGCAUGCAAGGUAAACCAUUAUAAGCUCCUAGCUAAUUAAUCAUGGCAUAAGCAACUAUAAUCUCUAAUUGUCAUUGCAAACAUGUUUAUUCAUAAUAGGCUGAAUCAGGAAUGAUGAAAUAAUCAUAUUUACAAAAACAAGAGAGGUCGAGUUCAUACCAGCUUUUCUUAUCUCAAUAAGUUCAUAAUAUAAUCAUCAUUAUUGCCUUUCACUUGUACGACCGAAUAGUGUGGAUAAUAAUAAUAGUGCACGUGCAUUGGACUAAGCUGGAAUCUGCAAGCAUUCAAUUCAUGAGAGAAGACAAGGUAAUAUGGGCUCUUUGUCAGAUCAACAAUAAUGCAUAUAAGAGCCACUCAACAUUUUAAUCAUGGUCUUCUCCUCUCAACCCCCAAAGAAAAGAAAUAAAACUAUUUACACUGGAAAGCUCCCAACAAGCAUAAGAAGAACGAGAAAUCUUUUUGGGUUUUAUUUUUAGUUACUAUUACUACAAGCAUGGAAAGUAAACUAAUUAAAGGCUACAACUAUUUUUUUUGUUUUUCUUAAGGUUUAUUAAACACACAAGAAGAAAGCAUAAAAAGGAAAAUAAACUAGCAUGGAUGAUACAAUGAAAAAGUAUGGGCACCGACAACUAGCAUGAGUAUGUGAACAUGAAUGUAAUGUCGGUGAGAAAUACGUACUCCCCCAAGCUUAGGAUUUUGGCCUAAGUUGGUCUAUGGCCACGGCUGGCCUGGCGGAUAUCCAUAGUAAUAGUUGGAGUCGUACUAUGAAGAAGCCUCAGAUUGCCACUGGUUGGCAAUCACCUCCGGAUCCCACUGGUAAUCAGACUGUCGUGGAGGAUCAAAUUGUGGUUCCGGCUCUGGCUCUGUAGCUAAUGUAGGGUUCCGGUAGGCGUGAAUGGCCUCCAACGGAACAAGGUACUUGCCCACAGAUAAAUCAAACAAGGAAGGAGCAGGCAAGGUAAUAGUCUCAGGAUGAUUUUUACCAAAUAUUAAUUUGUACUUAAGCUCCGUUUCCCUAUUCUUAACAAUAAAGUCAUGUGCUACCAUACUCUUAUAAUCUAGAUAAACAGGAGGCAACAACUUCUCUUCCUUCUCAUAAUGCCUAAUAGGUAUGUUGAAGUGUGCAGCAAGGCACGAGGUGAAGAUGCCUCCAAGGACGGGGCCCUUAGUACGGUUAAGAUUUAACCUCUUUGCAACAAUAGCACCCAUACUGAAUGUAUCAUCAUGAAAUAAGGCAUGGCACAAAAUAACAAUAUUAGGGGCACUCAGGUUCCCAUAGUUUCCGCACCCAAUUAAGCAUCUACUAGCAAAUAUAGCAAAGUAACAUAGAACAGGAAAGUGUAUGCUAGUAAUUCGUGCGUCGGAAACCUUCCUCGUUUCCCCUACAGCAAUGGUAUCAAUAAACCCAUCCACAUCGUCACGAUGUGGUUCCUCUACGCUACCCUCGAAAGGGAUCAAACAAACCCGACAAAAAUCAUAAAGUGACAUUUCCUUAUGCUCAUCAUAUAAAUAAAAUUCCACCAUAGGUGGUGAGCUCCUAGCAUGGAAAUGAAAGUUUUGCACAAAGAUAUUGGUGAGUAAGAGAUACUAUUCGCGUUGGUCGUGGAGGAAGGCGGUGAGGCCUGCAUUCUCUGCCAAUUCAUAGAAAUCAUCAUAAAUCCCGGCUGCUCUCAAGAAAUUAUCAGAAGGCCAUUCACACGGUUGGACCACCGCGGUGCGAGGGAUAUUAUACUUGGGCCUCUUAUCCUCCUCACUUUGCUUAUCCUUCGAGCUUCAGCUCGAUGCACCCCUAAAAAAUCUCUUCAUCUUUUUCUGAAAAUAUCUGAAAUUUUAGUAACUUCAAAAUAAAAGUGAACCAAACUCAACAAUAUUGAUAGCAACUACUCCCACAAGUGCCUAGAGGCAAUAUCAUGCAUCAAAACUACUUUUGACCAUAUACUUUUGACAUGCAAGCUCAAGAACAGGGUCACCUAAGCAGCAAAAAUAUGCAAUGAAUAAAGCACUAGAACAAACACUAAUUGGACCAUUGGAGGAGUCACAUACUAAGGAACAAUCCCCCAAAGCAGUUUUGUGAGAGGUGCUUUGAGAAAGGAGAUCGAAAAUGGCAGCAAGAUGAGCUUGGACUCGGGUUUGAGCUGGCUAGUGGUGUUUGUGGGAGGAAGAAGGAGUGUGUGGUAGCUGGAAUAAGUGGAGGGGAGCCACCGUGGGUCCACGAGGCAGGGGGCACGCCCUCCACCCUCGUGGCCAGGUGCUUGCUCACCCUGCUGUGUUUUUAGUGCCAGAUAUUCUCAAAUAUUCUAGAAAAAAUCAUAUUUAAUUUUCAGGGCAUUUGGAGAACUUUUAUUUUCGGGGUAUUUUUUAUUGCAUGGAUAAUUCAGGAAACAGACAAAAAUUACUAUUUUUGCUUUAUUUAAUAUAAAUAACAGAAAGUAAAAAGAGGGUACAGAGAGUUGUGUUUUCUAAAUUCAUCCAUCUCAUGCUCAUCAAAAGGAAUCCACUAACAAGGUUGAUCAGGUCUUGUUAACAAACUCAUUUCGAGUAACAUGAAACUGGAGAAAUUUCGAAUAACACUAUGUUACCUCAACGGGGAUAUGCACGUCCCCAAUAAUAAGAAUAUCAUAUUUCUUCUUGACAGUAGGUAGAGGAAAUUCAAAACCUCCAAAAAUAAUCGAUGGAAUUUUUCCAAUAGAGUUUAUACUAUGAACUUGAGGUUGUUUCCUCGGAAAGUGUACCGUAUGCUCAUUGCCAUUAACAUGAAAAGUGGCAUUGCCUUUUUUGCAAUCAAUAACAGCCCCUGCAGUAUUCAAAAAGGGUCUUCCAAGAAUAAUAGUCAUACUAGCGUCAUCGGGAAUAUCAAGAAUAACAAAGUCCGUUAAAAUAGUAACGUUUGCAACCACAACAGACACAUCCUCACAAAUACCGACAGGUAUAGCAGUUGAUUUAUCAGCCAUUUGCAAAGAUAUUUCAGUAGGUGUCAACUUAUUCAAAUCAAGUCUACGAUAUAAAGAGAGAGGCAUAACACUAACACCGGCUCCAAGAUCACAUAAUGCAGUUUUAACAUAGUUUCUUUUAAUGGAGCAUGGUAUAGUUGGUACUCCUAGAUCUCCUAGUUUAUUAGGUAUUCCACCCUUAAAAGUAUAAUUAGCAAGCAUGGUGGAAAUUUCAGCUUCCGAUAUCUUUCUUUUAUUAGUAACAAUUUCUUUCAUAUACUUAGCAUAAGGAUUCAUUCUGAGCAUGUCAGUUAAUCGCAUACGCAAAAAGAUAGGUCUAAUCAUUUCAGCAAAUCGCUCAAAAUCCCCAUCAUCCUUUUUCUUGGAUGGUUUAGGAGGAAAGGGCCUGGGUUUCUGAACCCAUGGCUCUCUUUCUUUACCGUGCUUCCUAGCAACAAAGUCUCUCUUAUGAUAACGUUGAUUCUUUGAUUGUGGGUUAUCAAGAUCAACAGCAGGUUCAAUCUCUACAUCAUUAUUAUUACUAGGUUGAGCAUCAACAUGAACAUCAUCAUUAACAUUAUCACUAGGUUCAUGUUCAUUACCAGAUUCUGUUUCAGCAUCAGAAAUAGAAAUAUCAUUGGGAUUCUCAGGUGUGUCAUCAACAGGUUCACUAGAAGCAUGCAAAGUCCUAUCAUUUUUCUUUUUCUUCCUCUUAGAAGGACUAGGUGCAUCAAUAUUAUUUCUUUGAGAAUCUUGCUCAAUUCUCUUAGGAUGGCCCUCAGGAUACAAAAGUUCCUGAGUCAUUUUACCACCUCUAGUCAUAACUCUAACAUUAUUAUCAUUUUUAUUAUUUAAUUCACUGAGCAAAUCAUUCUGAGCUUUAAGUACUUGUUCUACUUGAGUGGUAACCAUAGAAGCAUGUUUACUAAUAAGUUUUAGUUCACCUUUAACAUUAGCCAUAUAAUCACUCAAGUGUUCAAUCAUAUAAGCAUUGCGUUUUAAUUCUCUACCAAAAUAUGCAUUGAAGUUUUCUUGCUUAACCAUAAAGUUAUCAAACUCAUCUAAGGAUUGGCUAGCAAACUUAGUAAGAGGGAUUUCAGCUUUAUCAUAUCUAUAGAGAGAAUUUAUCCUUACUACCUGUGUCGGGUUAUCAAGACCAUGUGUUUCUUCAAUAGGUGAUGGAUUAAAACCAUGUAUUUCUUCAAUAGGCGGUAAAUUAAGACCAUGUAUUUCUUCAAUAGGAGGUAAAUUCUUAACAUCUUCAGGUUUGAUACCUUUUUCUUUCAUAGAUUUCUUUGCCUCUUGCAUAUCUUCAGGACUGAGAAAUAAAAUACCCCUUUUCUUCGGAGUUAGCUUUGGAGUUAGUUCAGGGAUUGGAUCAGGAAGCGUCCAAUUAUUUUCAUUACUCAACAUAUUAUUCAAUAGAAUUUCAGCUCCAUCUGGUGUUCUUUCCCUGAAAACACAACCAACACAACUAUCCAGGUGGUCUCUGGAAGCAUCGGUUAGUCCAUUACAAAAGAUAUCAAGUGUUGAGGAUAUGACUACCAGGUAUGACCUGCCCAGGAGGGGCCGAAUCAACUACAAAUGGAGGUUUACAUAAAUAAAGCCCAAGAGUAUACAAGAUGAUAGUUUACGAUUAGGCUUAUAAUAGGCCCAAGCCAGGAGGCGGCUCAUGGACCGUAAGUACAAACCGCCAUGUAUGAGUAGACUUGUAAUGCGAGGCAUUUAAGAUACGUCGCCGAGUCGGACACGUUGUAUGAGCCGGCCGGGACUCUGUAGGCCGCAUGGCGUCAACCCGUGUAUAUAAGGGGGCGACCCGGCGGCGGCUUAGGGCAAGAAACAACAGAUCGAGAGCCAAGUCAAGCGGAUUCGCUCCUUGGUCAUCGAAACCUAGCAAUACCAUAACAACUGGACUAGGCCUUUACCUUCACCGCAAGGGGCCGAACCAGUAUAAACCUCUUGUGUCCUUUGUCCCGAUUAACCCCUUUAAGCUUCCUAGUUGCGAUGGCUCCACGACUAAGUCCUUUCACUAGGACAUCAGCCGUGACAAUUCCACGACAGUUGGCGCCCACCGUGGGGCCAGCGCACGGUGGAUUUGAGUUCUUGAAGGGCAGCUUCGAAGGGCUCAACUGAUAUGCUGUGGGCCGGAUGACCAAGAGUCGUCGCGGCAAGCUCUACAUCAAUGACGCAGGCUGGGGCCCGGACGCCGGCUCAAUGGAGUAUGGGUACCGGGUCCCCUUCGGUGGAAUCCAUGUCUUCAUCGGCCGCAUCGGUGAGCCGGGCCCUGAGCCGGACAUCUGCACCGACCUCAUCGAGACGGCUCAGCGGGCGAGACCCGCCCGGGAUCAGCCCAUCGUGAGGCGUGCCUUCGUGGGUUGCAUCCAUGGAGGGGAGCUUUCUGAAGGAUCCGUGGAUGGCGGUGAGAUGGCCAUCUACUCUGACGGUGAGUCGUCCACAGGUGAGACGGAUUCAUUAUAUCAACUACACGAUGGCGGGCUUGGGGGAUGUUUCGAUGGCAGCAGUAUUCCAGACCCCUUUGAGCCAUCGAGCAGAGCGGGGAUCUUCAUGACUGGCAUGCAACCCGCUCAAAAAUCUACAACUGCGGCAACGAUAACCAUCGGGCCAGCAGCGGCCGGGGCAGGAGGCCUCGCGCACCCGCCGACUCAGGUGCUGAUGGAUCUCAUGGACAGAAUUACAACCCUGUUGACUGCCGUGGUUGACCUGGCAGAUCAGGCUUAACACGAUGCAGAGGUGGCAUGAUUACGUGAGGAGUUAGCACAAGCCAAAGAAAACUUAGCGACAGAGGAUGCCAGGAUGGCUGCGGAACGGGCGGCUCUGGAUGCUAGAGCUCAGCAGCUUCAAUCAGAGGCUUUUCGGCUCACCAUGGACCUGAACGCAUCAAACGAGGUCAUGAGGAGAAGGCACUAGAAGACUCAAUCACGUCUGCCUCUGAGUUACGAUCCUAGGAACCUCUUCCACACACCCGGUGCAGGUCCCAGUAACCCGCCGGAGAUGAACCGGAUUGCAACACCCGGGGCUGGGGCUUCGGUUCAGCCACGGACAUUGGAACCCCCUUGUGUGAAUACUACUCCGCCUCAUUAUACACCGACACCACCGGGUCAUUUUUCUAACCCUUUGGAGAAUCUGAUCACUGUAUCGGCAUGUUUGGCGGCUCUCCCAAUGGAGGCCGACUCUCCGACGGCGAUCGAAACGUGAAGGGUCAGAGAACUUCUUCAGACGGCUCUGGCACAGCAGGAGGCAUACUCUUAUAGUCGAGACAGGAUUCAUUCGACCCUCGCCCAAGCCGGAGCCCGAGCUAUAGCAGGCAUAUGGAUUCAGCAGCCGUAUCAAGCAACGCCCAGCGCCGUAACUAGCCGCACAGGCAUGACCCGGCGCGUGAUGGAGAUCUUAACUUGGUUGACCAGGAUAGGAUCCGCCAAGAGGCCGAGCGGGCAGUUCAACAGGCAGCUGAGCAGGUGGCUCACCAAGCUUUUCCGGUUUAUCUGACGACCUCUGUUGAAGCAGGUGUGGCCACAAGGACAAGAGGUGUCCCUUGCUUGGUGCCGGCUCUGCGUAAUGAGCGCUUGCCAAAGGAUUUCAAGGGGCCUUGGAAGGUGCCUAAUUACACAGCCGACUUAUAGCCCGGGGCAUGGAUUUAAAGUUAUGAGAUGGGCAUGUGUAACGCCCUCGAUGCGGCUAUAUCUUCCACGUGUUGAAGCACGACUUAGAGGCAUAACCGCAUUGAAAGCAAUGUCGCAAGUGAGGUAAUCUUCACACAACCCAUGUAAUGCAUAUGGAAAAGGGAUACAUAGUUGGCUUACACUCGCCACGUCACACAAUACAUGAAUAAGCAUUACAUCAACCAGAUACAAUCAAGGUGCAACUACGGAACCAACAUAAAAGAAGACUACCCCAAAAGCUACACAGAUCCCCGAUCGUCCCAACUGGGCUCCACUACUGAUCAACUCGAAUGAAACAACACAAAGGACAAGAUCUUCAUCGAGCUCCUCCUUGAGCUUGGUUGCGUCAUCUGCAUAGUUCAACGGCACCUGCAAGCUAGUUUUGGAAGUAUCUGUGAGUCACGGGGACUCAGCAAUCUCACACCCUCGUGAUCAAGACUAUUUAAGCUUAUACGAAGGGUAAAUGUAUGAGGUGGAGCUGCAGCAAGCGACUAGCAUAUAUGGUGGCUAACAUACGCAAAUGAGAGCGAGAAGAGAAGGCAAAAGCACGGUCGAGAAUCUAUGAUCAAGAAGUGAUCCUAGAACAACCUACGUCAAGCAUAACUCCAACACCGUGUUCACUUCCCGGACUCCGCCGAGAAGAGACCAUCACGGUUACACACGCGGUUGAUGUAUUUUAAUUAAGAUCCACUUCAGGUUUUCUACAACCGGACAUUAACAAAUUCCCAUCUGCCCAUAACCGCGGGCACGGCUUUCGAAAGUUCAAAUCCCUGCAGGGGUGUCCCAACUUAGCCCAUCACAAGCUCUCACGGUCAACGAAGGAUAUUCCUUCUCCCAAGACAAUCCGAUCAGACUCGGCAUCCCGGUUACAAGACAUCCUCGACAAUGGUAAAACAAGUCCAGCAACACCGCCCGAAUGUGCCGACAAAUCCCGAUAGGAGCUGCACAUAUCUCGUUCUCAGGGCACACUCAGAUGAGACAUCCUACGAGUAAAACCAACCCUCAGGUUGCCUCGAGGUGGCCCCGCAGUCUACUCGGUCGAACCAACACUCAGAGGAGCACUGGCCCAGGGGGGUUUAAAUAAAGAUGACCCUUGAGUCUGCAGAACCCAAGGGAAAGAAAAGGCUAGGUGGUGAAUGGUAAAACCAAUGUUGGGCAUUGCUGGAGGAUUUUUAUUCAAGGCGAACUGUCAAGGGGUUCCCAUUAUAACCCAACCGCGUAAGGAACGCAAAAUCCGGGAACAUAACACCGAUAUGACGGAAACUAGGGCGGCAAGAGUGGAACAAAACACCAGGCAUAAGGCAGAGCCUUCCACCCUUUACCAAGUAUAUAGGUGCAUUAAGAUAAACAAGAUAAUAUUGUGACAUCCUAACAAUAAACAAGUUCCAACAAGGAACGAUCUCCAAUCUUCACCUGCAACUAGCAACGCUAUAAGAGGGGCUGAGCAAAGCGGUAACAUAGCCAAACAACGGUUUGCUAGGACAUGGAGGGUUAGAGGUUUGACAUGGAAAUAUGGGAGGCAUGAUAAGCAAGUGGUAGGUAUCGUAGCAUAGGCAUAGCAAAAGAGCGAGCAUCUAGCAAGCAAAGAUAGAAGUGAUUUCGAGGGUAUGGUCAUCUUGGCUGCAAAGUUCUCAGAGUUGUCUUGAUCCUCGUAAGCAUACUCAACAGGCUCCUCAUUCACGAACUCGUCUCCCGGCUCUACCCAAACAAGAACAACAAGCAAAAGGAGCACAAUCAACCACGUGCAAUGCCCAAGCAACAUGAUGCAAACAUGGUAUGAUAUGCGGGAUGCGGUAUGCGAUGCAUAUGCAAGAUUUGGAAAGGAAUGAUUGGACCUGGCCUCAACUUGGAAAACCAAGAGUUCCACUGGAAAGAGGAGAUGAUUUCGGUUGAAAUCGAUAUAAAUAUCACCGGAAUCGGAUGCAUGGUUUGGAAAUGGCAAGCAAAACAAAUAUGGCACCGGUGUGCGAUAAACGGCAAGUAGCCCUCUAAAUGCAUCAAGAUAAAUAUGCUACAUCACUCAAACAUGGCCACAAAAUACAUGGCAGGGAUCCACUCAUGAUGCUUGACAAAAGAUGAACACUGAGCUACGGCUAAUUCACUCAUUAACAGGUUCAAACAAGCAUGGCAAAAGUGCAAAAGAUAACAGGUUUCGGACUUAGAGAAAUAACAACAAAUCAGGAAUUUAUCAUCAGGAAGCAAUGUUUAGAGCAUGAAAACAGCAUGCUACAGGAACAUAUCAUGGCAAAGCAAGGCAUGGCAUGAAGCUACUCAAAGCAUAUAACAAAAGUCCCUUAGUGACCAUGAGCCAAAAGGGAUCAGAGAAUACAAUUGCAAGCAUGUGAACAUAGCAAAAACAUAAACAGAUUCAGACUUAGUGAAAAUCUGGAGCAUGCAAAACAGAUUAACAAGUAGGCAUGUUAACGAGCUCAAUGCACUCACCAUGAGGCAUUGCAUGAUAAUCUAAGCAUACACCCAGCAAGAAAACAUGGCAUAGAAGCUAGACAUGGCAAGAACAACAUCGUAGCAUGCACAGAUCAAUAGCAACAACCUCGGCAAAAUCGCUAAACAUGUUAUCAAUCUGCCAGGAACAUUUUAUAGCAAAAGUAGAGCUCGAUUGACUCAAGCUAGGGUGCUCCAUAAUUUCAAACAAAGGCAUGGAUGGAUAGAGCACACCAAUAUUAACAAAACAUCCUUACUGAUCAUCCUCAAAAGAGUCACGGAUCACUAGGAAACAACAUGAACAUAUGGCCUAAAACAAUAUCAGGACAAGGACUUGGUGAAAUUCUAAGUCCCUGAAAUAAGCAUCAUCGAGUAAGCUACUUUGCAUGCUUGUGCUAGUCACCACAAAGAUCACAAAAAUACAUGGCAUACACCCCUGUAAAGAUGGCAUGGCCUAUAACAAAACACAUGUAGAGCUUAGGGUCAUAGCAUGCACACAUUAAUCAUGGCAAAAAUGACAAAAGGCCAUUUGCUGAAACAGAUCUGACAUAUUCCUCACAUAGCCCUCUUCCAACAGCAUUUCGGGCAUCAAGAUGAGCUCAAAUGAAAAUGAUGCAAUGAGAUGAAAUGAUGUACUUGUCGAGGCGAACAUUUUGAUAUGCUACAUACACGAAUCGGAGCUACGACGACAUAGUUAUGAUGCGAUGAAAAUGCUCAAAAAAUACUGAAAUCUGGGGGGACUUAGUGAAACUUGGACCUCUCGGGAAAAGUCAACCUGGGACGAAGCGGUGCGGGACAGAGGGAUCCCGAUUGGAGGGAGACGUUUGGUUAGAGGACUCGCUGGAUCUCAUCCAGGGGCAAGUCAACGCCGGCGGCGAGCUCCUCCGGCGAGGGCGCGGAUGCUGAGGAGGUCGAGGAGGAGUAGCACGGUCGCCGGGAGCGCGACACCGGCGAAGGCUACGCAGGGUCGGGCGCUCGGGCGGCGCGGCGCGCUCACAGGAGGAAGGCGGCGCAGGGCGGCGGUCAUCGCGCGAGAGGCGGCGCGACGCGAUGGCCAUGGCGCGGUGGUUGGCGGAGCAGCGCAAGGCGGCGGGAGAUCCAACAGCGGGGUGCGGGCGGAGGAGCGUGGGCGGCACGGGAGAGCUGCGGUGGCGACGCCGGCGAACAGGCGGCGGGGUGGAGGCGACGGCAUGGCGGCGAGCNNNNNNNNNNNNNNNNNNNNNNNNNNNNNNNNNNNNNNNNNNNNNNNNNNNNNNNNNNNNNNNNNNNNNNNNNNNNNNNNNNNNNNNNNNNNNNNNNNNNNNNNNNNNNNNNNNNNNNNNNNNNNNNNNNNNNNNNNNNNNNNNNNNNNNNNNNNNNNNNNNNNNNNNNNNNNNNNNNNNNNNNNNNNNNNNNNNNNNNNNNNNNNNNNNNNNNNNNNNNNNNNNNNNNNNNNNNNNNNNNNNNNNNNNNNNNNNNNNNNNNNNNNNNNNNNNNNNNNNNNNNNNNNNNNNNNNNNNNNNNNNNNNNNNNNNNNNNNNNNNNNNNNNNNNNNNNNNNNNNNNNNNNNNNNNNNNNNNNNNNNNNNNNNNNNNNNNNNNNNNNNNNNNNNNNNNNNNNNNNNNNNNNNNNNNNNNNNNNNNNNNNNNNNNNNNNNNNNNNNNNNNNNNNNNNNNNNNNNNNNNNNNNNNNNNNNNNNNNNNNNNNNNNNNNNNNNNNNNNNNNNNNNNNNNNNNNNNNNNNNNNNNNNNNNNNNNNNNNNNNNNNNNNNNNNNNNNNNNNNNNNNNNNNNNNNNNNNNNNNNNNNNNNNNNNNNNNNNNNNNNNNNNNNNNNNNNNNNNNNNNNNNNNNNNNNNNNNNNNNNNNNNNNNNNNNNNNNNNNNNNNNNNNNNNNNNNNNNNNNNNNNNNNNNNNNNNNNNNNNNNNNNNNNNNNNNNNNNNNNNNNNNNNNNNNNNNNNNNNNNNNNNNNNNNNNNNNNNNNNNNNNNNNNNNNNNNNNNNNNNNNNNNNNNNNNNNNNNNNNNNNNNNNNNNNNNNNNNNNNNNNNNNNNNNNNNNNNNNNNNNNNNNNNNNNNNNNNNNNNNNNNNNNNNNNNNNNNNNNNNNNNNNNNNNNNNNNNNNNNNNNNNNNNNNNNNNNNNNNNNNNNNNNNNNNNNNNNNNNNNNNNNNNNNNNNNNNNNNNNNNNNNNNNNNNNNNNNNNNNNNNNNNNNNNNNNNNNNNNNNNNNNNNNNNNNNNNNNNNNNNNNNNNNNNNNNNNNNNNNNNNNNNNNNNNNNNNNNNNNNNNNNNNNNNNNNNNNNNNNNNNNNNNNNNNNNNNNNNNNNNNNNNNNNNNNNNNNNNNNNNNNNNNNNNNNNNNNNNNNNNNNNNNNNNNNNNNNNNNNNNNNNNNNNNNNNNNNNNNNNNNCGCCCGGAGCCCCGCCGGCGAUCACCGGAGGUAGCCCCGCCCCAAUCCGGUUUUCCCUAAAAACCGAUCCGGUUUAUAAAAAAAACGUGUUCGGUUUUAAAAAAAAAAACUAGAUUGGUUUUAUUUUUUCGGUUUUCUUAUUUAACAAACGUUCACCGAACCGUUCGUUUCAAUGAACGCGUUCGUUGGAUUGGUUCUGUUAACGAACGUCCGUUAUUUAAACUGUUCGUCGUUUUUCUUUUAAUCGGAUUUAAUCCGUUAUUUUUUCUGAUUCGAUUUCCGAUCCAAUUUUCAAAUCUGUUUUUUUUCUUGCUCGUUUAUCGGAAUCAGGUGAUUCAAACGCCUGGAGUUUCGUAACGAAACCGCCGUUCCGACUAACCAACUUUCACAGAGUUUUGCUACUGUGAAAUUUUGACCUAAUUUCAGAUUUCUAAACCGAGUCGUUCUCUCUCGAGUUCCGACUUUCGAUGCCUUAUUUGAUUCGAUUCUUUUGCAACCAGGGUUCUUAAGUUGAACUCUCUGGUUAGAUCUUUUAUUCGAGAUUUCCCUGUGCAUUAGAUGAGUACUUAUUGUAUGCUUGUUGUUUGUCUGCGUUAGAUCACCCGGAGUGCGCCGCUUGUUACUUCGAAUCUCUAGGUCACGCGGAUCAUCAGCAAGGCAAGUAACACUUGAUCAUAUCUUUCCUACUACCCAGUUUUAUUGCAUUAGAUGAAACCCUCAAACACUUGCAUUGUUUAGGAUCUAAAUUAAAUUGUGGGAUUGGGAAGUAGAAUUGAGGUAGUACCUAUUACCUGUUACUUAUGAAACUUUGGGAGUUACUUCUACGUUUGCUUAUUAUGCUAUGCUAUGCUAGUAGACGUGGAUUGGGUGAGUGAAUAUCCAUGACAGAUGUGAGAUUGUUAAUUAAUGGUUUAUCUAAGGUGGCAACCUAAACACACAUCUGGGUGGAUUGAGGCACCUGGUUUCCAUCAGGACUUGCCUGUAUUUCUUCGGACCGCCACCCAGGCUCUAAGGGAUCAUAAGAUAUUUCAAACUGGAAACUUCCGUGUGCAGCCACAAGCCAAUUAUGGGCUCUGGCGUAGUUGAUUAAGUUGUGCGAACUCUUACGGGUAGGCUAGCUGAUGUAGGGGAUGUAGGUUGGUACGGUCUACCCACAUGUAAGGUGCUAGCGCUUCUGAAAGACUAUGUCUCGGUCAUCCGUUUCUCAAACACCAUGUAGUGCGAGAAUCAAGCGGAGGCGAUCGAGUCUUGUGGGGAAAAGUGCGCAAACCUCUGCAGAGUGUAUAAACUAAUCAUGAUUAGCCGUGUCCCCGGUUAUGGACGUUUUGAGUAUCUGGUAAUUGAAUAUCAUGUGAAUCUCAACAUGUUACCUCUAAUAAAAGCUAUUGGGUUUUAAUGAGUAUUUUUAAUUGGGAUUGAGGAUGCUGUCAACCAUUCUCAAUGUUUAACAACCACCAUGAUAGUUAAACAAAAUUAUUCCUUUGAUGUAGGGAAAAAUUGGCUUUUCGCAAAACUGUAACCAUAGAGCCUUACCACCAGCCAAAUAUGCAUGUAUUAUAGGCUUAUUGUUUCAUUACUCUCUAUGUGUUACAUUGCCAGCAUAUUCCAUGUGCUGACCCGUUUUCGGGCUGCAACUUUCAUGUUGCAGACUUUUCAGACGACGAGUAAGGAAUUUAGGUCGUGGUUCUAUACUCAGUGAUGCCGAUGGAGUUGAUGGACUCACUUAUCUUCCAAGCCUUCCGCUGUUAUCGUUAUUAGAUGGCCUUAAGCCAUAUUUAUUGUAAUAAGUCCUCUUCUGGACAAUCGAUGUAAUAAGUGUGUGAUUGCUACUCUGCUAUAAAUCCUUCGAAGUACUGUGUGGUGUCAGCAUUACUGAUCCAGGGAUGACACCUGAGCACAGAGACUUGAUCCAUUCGGGUCUGGUCGCUACAGAGAUGGUAUCAGAGCACACGCUGACAGUAGGACACGACCACUAAGUUAAAGCCAUAGAUCACUAUUCUCUCCUCAUUUUCUAACUCCUCAUCUUUUCUACUCUAUUAGGAUGACGAAUGUGAAGAUUAAGUACGCUCAACCGGAUGAAGGCACACCAUUUGGAUUUCACCUGAAGGAAGUCACCAAGUUCCUGAACAUUGGAUUACCAAGUUUCACCGGGACUUUCAACGCCACUCUGCCUGAAGAGGAGCGCUGGAAGAUUCACGCUCACGUUCCAGGAAGGACAUUCGCCCCAAUCACCAAGCCUAUAGAUAGUGUUUUCAAUGCACCAACCUGGAGUCUGGGAAGGAGCAUGGCAUCCCAUAUCACCAUAGGACGCAUUGGAGAAGUUUAUCAAGAAGACCUCAAGGACACUAUCUACCAGAUUUGCGGACACCGAGAUGACAAAUGGGACAUAGUCAGCACCAAGAAGGAUAGAUCCAUUGCAGCUUUUAUCCAGGAGUUAAACCAGCACAUUCGACGCCAGGAGAACCAGAUGUGCAAUGAUAUGUUGGAGUUGCAGAAUGCAAAGGGAAGGAUCAUCGAACUUGAAGGAGAACUAAAGACUACACGCAAGGACUACAUGGACGAGAUCGUAGCUCUAGCAAGAGACAAUAACGAUCUUAAGCAGGAGAUUGAAGAACUCAAGAGGAAGUUAGCAUCCCAGGAGGAAGACGAGUACGUCGCAUGUCCAGACAACUACAUCAUCCUCGACGACACCGAUUCGGAUCCAAGUGAACCCGACUUCGAAGACGAAGCUGGAGCAGAUAUCAUGGAGUCUUCCACCGAUUCAAAUUUCUAGAUGACCACCAGAUAGUAGUAGUAUUCCCCCAUGUAAACACAAUAGAGUCGAGCACUUUUGCAAUAGAUAGACCGUUUGUAAGCCCUUGUUUGAUUGAUUGGAGUGAUUUUGUGUGCAUUUGCUCAUGUGCAUUUGGGUAGUGAUUCCCCUUAGACCUCAUUCUAUUCUAAAUUUCUCUUCUUUUCUAAACCCAUCAGAUGCCUCCGAGACGCGACCCUGGAUUCGUUUUCCCGCCAGAGAUCACCCAACUGAUCCAGCAGCAGAACACCCUGAUUCAAACAUUGGUGCAGAACCAGGGCAACAACAACAACAACCCACCACCACCACCUGCGGAUCAUUUGACUCGUUUCCUUAGACUAAAUCCGCCGGUGUACUCCAGUAGCACCGAGCCGAUUGUAGCAGAUGAUUGGCUCCGCAAGAUAGGAAGGGAGUUGACCACUGCAGGAUGCACAGAUGGAGAAAGAGUGAAGUUUGCAGCACAUCAGCUUGAAGGACCCGCAGCCGCAUGGUGGGAGAAUUUCACAGCCACUUACCCGGUAGACACUGUCACAUGGGAUCAAUUUCAGCAAGCUUUUCGCACUGCCCAUGUCUCAGCAGGAGCCAUGGCCAUGAAGAAGCGUGAGUUUCGCAACUUACGCCAAGGAGGAAGGACUGUUGGCCAGUACGUGGAUGACUUUAGCAAAUUAGCACGUUACGCCCCAGAUGACAUUGCUACAGAUGCGGCUAAACAGGAGAAGUUUCUAGAAGGACUGAAUGAUGAGUUCAGCAUGCCGUUGAUGGUAGCAAGUUUCAAUAACUACCAGGAGUUAGUAGACCGAGCCCUUAUGAUUGAAGGAAAGCAGCAGCAAAUUGAGAACCGCAAGCGAAAGUAUGGACAAGGGAAGUAUAACUCUGGAGCUCAGCAGAAGACUCGUUAUACCCCUAAAUCAGGAAUUCAGUUUCAGCAUACCCAUGGAGGAGGUAAUUCGCACAACCAUAAUGGCACUAAGAAUGGGAACGGGAAUGGAGGAAGCAACGGACAGAAUCGCACCAACCCGUCAACACCAUCCAAGGCAGACUUGAGUCACAUUACUUGCUUUAAGUGCCGCAAGACGGGGCAUUAUGCAAAUGACUGUCCAGAAGGCCAGAAUGGAAAUGGCAAUGGAAGCUCUGGAAAGAAGCCCAACCCUUUCAACAGGGGACAGGUGAACCACAUUGAUGUGGAGGAGAUUGAAGAUCAGCCCGAUGCAGUAAUCGGUAAGUUUUUGGUUAAGUCAUUUACUGCAGUUGUUCUUUUCGAUACUGGUGCAUCACAUUCAUACAUAUCAAGGGAAUUUGUGGAUAAGUAUGAGUUACCGACCCAAGCCCUUAGGUCACCCAUGCUAGUAACCUCACCCGGAGCAGAGUACAUGGCUAGUAAAUGGUGUGAUCGACUGCCACUAAGGAUUGGACACUAUGUUUUCCCCUCAGACCUAAUAGUUCUGGAAUCCCAAGGAUUUGAUGUGAUAUUAGGAAUGGAUUGGUUAUAAAAGUAUGGAGGAAACAUUGAUUGCUCCACUAGAUCAAUUUUGCUCACCACACCAGAAGGAAGAAGGAUUAAGUAUGUAUCACGGCACGAGCCGAGGAGAGCACAAGUAAAUUGCUUAUCAGGAGUGGUGCAGGAAGAAGUACCAGUGGUGAAGGAUUUUCCUGAUGUAUUUCCGGAAGAGUUGCCAGGCAUGCCACCGGAUAGAGACAUUGAGUUUUUGAUUGAACUAUUGCCAGGAACAGGCCCGAUAUCGAAACGACCAUACAGGAUGCCAGCACAAGAUUUGGCAGAAAUCAAGAAGCAGAUUAAGGAGCUAUUGGAUAAAGGUUAUAUACGCCCAAGCUCUUCACCUUGGGGAUCACCCGUUUUGUUAGUGGAGAAGAAGGAUGGAUCUUUGAGAAUGGUUGUUGAUUAUCGUGAAUUGAAUGCGGUAACAAUCAAGAACAAGUACCCACUACCAAUGAUAAAUGAUCUGUUUGAUCGUUUGCAAGGAGCCAAAGUGUUUUCCAAGAUCGACUUGCGAUCAGGGUACCAUCAGUUGAAGAUUCGGGAGCAAGACAUACCCAAGACUGCAUUUACCACGAGAUAUGGACUGUACUAGUAUACCGUUAUGUCAUUUGGACUGACUAACGCACCAGCUUAUUUCAUGAACCUGGUGAACAAAGUGUUUAUGGAGUUUUUGGAUAAGUUCGUCGUGGUGUUCAUAGAUGACAUUUUGAUUUUCUCGAAGAAUGAAGAGGAACACAAGGAACAAUUGCGAUUGGUUUUGGAGAAGCUAAGAGAACAUCAGUUAUACGCCAAGUUCAGCAAAUGUGAGUUUUGGCUAAAGGAAGUUGGAUUUCUCGGACAUGUUAUAUCCGGAGAAGGAAUAGCAGUUGACCCCACAAAGGUUGAGACCGUAACUAAUUGGGAAGCACCAACGACAGUUGGAGAGAUUCGGAGUUUUCUUAGACUCGCAGGAUACUACCGAAGAUUCAUUGAGAAUUUCUCAAGGAUUGCUAAGCCUAUGACUGAAUUGUUGAAGAAGGAUAACAAAUUCAUAUGGACUGAGGACUGUGAGGCAAGUUUUCAGGAGUUGAAGAAAAGAUUGGUUACCUCACCAGUUUUGAUAUUGCCAGAUCAGACUAAGGAUUAUGAGGUGUAUUGCGGCGCUUCACGUCGAGGACUUGGAGCAGUGCUUAUGCAGGAAGGAAGAGUUGUUUCGUAUGCUUCACGACAACUUAAACCCCAUGAGUUGAAUUAUGCCACUCAUGAUUUGGAGUUAGCAGCCGUUGUGCAUGCCCUGAAGACGUGGAGACAUUUUCUCAUUGGAAAUCAUUGUGAAGUAUAUACGGAUCACAAGAGUCUGAAGUACAUCUUCACACAGAAGGAAUUGAAUCUCAGACAAAGGAGAUGGUUAGAACUUAUCAAGGAUUAUGAUAUGAGAUUGCAUUAUCACCCCGGAAAGGCUAAUGUCGUAGCAGACGCAUUGAGCCGUAAAAGCCACGUCAAUACCCUAAUGAUGGGAGGAAUACCCAAUGAGUUAGCCGAGGACCUUCGAGAGCUAUGUUUGGAAAUAGUUCCGAGAGGCUAUGUAGCAACAUUGGAGAUUCAGUCGACACUGAUGGACAAAAUCAGAGAAGCCCAAAAGGCAGAUAAGGAAGUUGCCUCUAUAAAGGAGAAAAUGGGCAAAGGAAAGGCUAAAUGAUUUCGUGAGGAUGAACACGAUACCCUAUGGUUUGAAGACUGUGUUUAUGUGCCCAAUAACCCAGAAAUCAGGAAGUUGAUUUUACAAGAAGCCCAUGAUUCACCCUAUUCGAUUCACCCAGGAAAUACCAAGAUGUAUUUGGAUUUGAAGAACACUUUCUGGUGGACCGGAAUGAAGAAGGAUAUUGCGGAGUAUGUAGCAAUUUGCGAUGUAUGUCAGAGAGUAAAGGCAGAACAUCAGAAGCCAGCAGGAUUGUUACAACCGUUGCCGAUACCCGAAUGGAAGUGGGAUAAACUAGGCAUGGAUUUCAUCACAGGUUUGCCAAAGACCCGUUCAGGAUAUGACUCGAUUUGGGUUAUAGUCGACCGUUUAACAAAGGUAGCUCAUUUCAUUCCAGUCAAGACUACCUAUAGCAGUGCUAAGUUGGCGAAGAUAUACAUGACCAGAAUUGUGUGUUUACACGGAGUUCCGAGGAGCAUCGUAUCAGAUAGAGGAACCCAGUUUACCUCGAAAUUUUGGAACCAGUUGCACGAGACAUUGGGAACUAGAUUGGAAUUCAGUACAACUUUCCACCCACAGACCGAUGGACAGACUGAGAGAGUCAAUCAGAUUUUGGAAGAUAUGCUGAGAGCUUGUGCACUAGAUUAUGGAUCUAGCUGGGAUGAUAAUUUGCCGUAUGCAGAAUUUUCCUACAACAACAGUUACCAAACCAGCUUGAAGAUGGCACCUUUUGAGGCUCUGUAUGGAAGAAGGUGCAGGACACCGUUGUCAUGGGACGAAAUUGGAGAUCGUCAGUUGUUUGGACCAGAUUUGAUUAAGGAGUCUGAACAGAAGGUUAAGUUGAUUCGAGACAGGCUCAAGGUAGCCCAGUCCAGACAGAAGAGCUAUGCCGAUUCAAAGCACAAAGCGAUUGAGUAUGAAGUUGGAGACAGAGUAUAUCUCAGAGUAUCCCCGCUUCGAGGAGUUAAGCGUUUUGGAGUUAAAGGAAAGUUAGCACCCCGUUUCGUUGGACCGUAUAAGAUUUUGCAACGUAUGGGAGAAGUUGCUUAUAAGUUGGAAUUGCCAGAAGGACUGUCAGGAGUUCAUGAUGUAUUCCAUGUUUCUCAGUUGAAGAAAUGUCACCCAGAGAUAGCAGAGGUACCGUUAAGAGACACAGUGCCACUGGAAGCAAUUCAGUUGAAGGAUGACUUGACAUAUGAGGAAAAACCUGUUAAGAUUCUCGAUUAUGCUAGCAGAGUUACCCGCAGCAAAGUUAUCAAGUUUUGUAAAGUUCAGUGGAGCCACCACACUGAGGAUGAAGCCACCUGGGAAAGAGAGGAAGUUUUGCUCAAGGACCACCCUCACCUAUUUUCUAGCCAACCCGAAUCUCGAGGGCGAGAUUCAUCUUAAGGGGGUAGGUUUGUAACAUCCCAAAUUUUCAAUUUGGAAUGUUAUACAUUAGGUCAUCAUGCAUAUCAUAUUUUUCUCGCAUUUUCCGAUCCUAGAAAAUUUCACGCAACUCAAGGACCCUCGGAGAGAGUUGGAAGUUUCAUUAUUUUCAUAUUUGGGAUUUCUCAAAUUUUGAAAAUAGGAUCAUUUGGAUUUAUUUAAUUAUCUUCAUAAAGUUUUUCCUAUAAAAAUUUUAAGAGAGGGAAUAAUAUGACUUUNNNNNNNNNNNNNNNNNNNNNNNNNNNNNNNNNNNNNNNNNNNNNNNNNNNNNNNNNNNNNNNNNNNNNNNNNNNNNNNNNNNNNNNNNNNNNNNNNNNNNNNNNNNNNNNNNNNNNNNNNNNNNNNNNNNNNNNNNNNNNNNNNNNNNNNNNNNNNNNNNNNNNNNNNNNNNNNNNNNNNNNNNNNNNNNNNNNNNNNNNNNNNNNNNNNNNNNNNNNNNNNNNNNNNNNNNNNNNNNNNNNNNNNNNNNNNNNNNNNNNNNNNNNNNNNNNNNNNNNNNNNNNNNNNNNNNNNNNNNNNNNNNNNNNNNNNNNNNNNNNNNNNNNNNNNNNNNNNNNNNNNNNNNNNNNNNNNNNNNNNNNNNNNNNNNNNNNNNNNNNNNNNNNNNNNNNNNNNNNNNNNNNNNNNNNNNNNNNNNNNNNNNNNNNNNNNNNNNNNNNNNNNNNNNNNNNNNNNNNNNNNNNNNNNNNNNNNNNNNNNNNNNNNNNNNNNNNNNNNNNNNNNNNNNNNNNNNNNNNNNNNNNNNNNNNNNNNNNNNNNNNNNNNNNNNNNNNNNNNNNNNNNNNNNNNNNNNNNNNNNNNNNNNNNNNNNNNNNNNNNNNNNNNNNNNNNNNNNNNNNNNNNNNNNNNNNNNNNNNNNNNNNNNNNNNNNNNNNNNNNNNNNNNNNNNNNNNNNNNNNNNNNNNNNNNNNNNNNNNNNNNNNNNNNNNNNNNNNNNNNNNNNNNNNNNNNNNNNNNNNNNNNNNNNNNNNNNNNNNNNNNNNNNNNNNNNNNNNNNNNNNNNNNNNNNNNNNNNNNNNNNNNNNNNNNNNNNNNNNNNNNNNNNNNNNNNNNNNNNNNNUCCCUAAAAACCGAUCCGGUUUAUAAAAAAAAACGUGUUCGGUUUUUUUUUUAAAAAAAAAAACUAGAUUGGUUUUAUUUUUUCGGUUUUCUUAUUUAACAAACGUUCACCGAACCGUUCGUUUCAAUGAACGCGUUCGUUGGAUUGGUUCUGUUAAUGAACGUCCGUUAUUUAAACUAUUCGUCGUUUUUCUUUUAAUCGGAUUUAAUCCGUUAUUUUUUCUGAUUCGAUUUCCGAUCCAAUUUUCAAAUCUGUUUUUUUUCUUGCUCGUUUAUCGGAAUCAGGUGAUUCAAACGCCUGGAGUUUCGUAACGAAACCACCGUUCCGACUAACCAACUUUCACAGAGUUUUGCUACUGUGAAAUUUUGACCUAAUUUCAGAUUUCUAAACCGAGUCGUUCUCUCUCGAGUUCCGACUUUCGAUGCCUUAUUUGAUUCGAUUCUUUUGCAACCAGGGUUCUUAAGUUGAACUCUCUGGUUAGAUCUUUUAUUCGAGAUUUCCCUGUGCAUUAGAUGAGUACUUAUUGUAUGCUUGUUGUUUGUCUGCGUUAGAUCACCCGGAGUGCGCCGCUUGUUACUUCGAAUCUCUAGGUCACGCGGAUCAUCAGCAAGGCAAGUAACACUUGAUCAUAUCUUUCCUACUACCCAGUUUUAUUGCAUUAGAUGAAACCCUCAAACACUUGCAUUGUUUAGGAUCUAAAUUAAAUUGUGGGAUUGGGAAGUAGAAUUGAGGUAGUACCUAUUACCUGUUACUUAUGAAACUUUGGGAGUUACUUCUACGUUUGCUUAUUAUGCUAUGCUAUGCUAGUAGACGUGGAUUGGGUGAGUGAAUAUCCAUGACAGAUGUGAGAUUGUUAAUUAAUGGUUUAUCUAAGGUGGCAACCUAAACACACAUCUGGGUGGAUUGAGGCACCUGGUUUCCAUCAGGACUUGCCUGUAUUUCUUCGGACCGCCACCCAGGCUCUAAGGGAUCAUAAGAUAUUUCAAACUGGAAACUUCCGUGUGCAGCCACAAGCCAAUUAUGGGCUCUGGCGUAGUUGAUUAAGUUGUGCGAACUCUUACGGGUAGGCUAGCUGAUGUAGGGGAUGUAGGUUGGUACGGUCUACCCACACGUAAGGUGCUAGCGCUUCUGAAAGACUAUGUCUCGGCCAUCCGUUUCUCAAACACCAUGUAGUGCGAGAAUCAAGCGGAGGCGAUCGAGUCUUGUGGGGAAAAGUGCGCAAACCUCUGCAGAGUGUAUAAACUAAUCAUGAUUAGCCGUGUCCCCGGUUAUGGACGUUUUGAGUAUCUGGUAAUUGAAUAUCAUGUGAAUCUCAACAUGUUACCUCUAAUAAAAGCUAUUGGGUUUUAAUGAGUAUUUUUAAUUGGGAUUGAGGAUGCUGUCAACCAUUCUCAAUGUUUAACAACCACCAUGAUAGUUAAACAAAAUUAUUCCUUUGAUGUAGGGAAAAAUUGGCUUUUCACAAAACUGUAACCAUAGAGCCUUACCACCAGCCAAAUAUGCAUGUAUUAUAGGCUUAUUGUUUCAUUACUCUCUAUGUGUUACAUUGCCAGCAUAUUCCAUGUGCUGACCCGUUUUCGGGCUGCAACUUUCAUGUUGCAGACUUUUCAGACGACGAGUAAGGAAUUUAGGUCGUGGUUCUAUACUCAGUGAUGCCGAUGGAGUUGAUGGACUCACUUAUCUUCCAAGCCUUCCGCUGUUAUCGUUAUUAGAUGGCCUUAAGCCAUAUUUAUUGUAAUAAGUCCUCUUCUGGACAAUCGAUGUAAUAAGUGUGUGAUUGCUACUCUGCUAUAAAUCCUUCGAAGUACUGUGUGGUGUCAGCAUUACUGAUCCAGGGAUGACACCUGACCACAGAGACUUGAUCCAUUCGGGUCUGGUCGCUACAGCGGUGCGGCUGAUGUGGCGGCUCUCCAUUGGCCGGAAUGAGGUGGCUGUGGAGUGGAUGCGUCCGCCGGCGAGACGGACAUGUCCAGCGGCGCGAUGGAGAAGAAGGUUAGGGUUUCAUCCGCGAAAAUUUCGGGGGAGGCCACAUAUUUAUAGGUAGAGGGAGCUAGGAGAGUCCAAAUGAGGUGCGUUUUUCGGCCACGCGAUCAUGAUCGAACGACCGAGAUGAUGGAGGGGGUUUAGAUGGGUUUUUGGGCCACUUUGGAGGGGUGUUGGGCUGCAACACACACAAGGCCUUUUCGGUCGCUCGGUUAACCGUUGGAGUAUCAAACAAAGUCCAAAUGGCAUGAAACUUGACAGGCGGUCUACCGGUAGUAAACCAAGGCCGCAUGACAAGUCUCGGUCCAAUCCGAAAACGUUUAACACCCGCACAUGAAAAGAGGUAGAAAGGACCGUCGGAGGACAUAGGAGUGCCGGAUUGCAAAACAAACAAUGGGGAAAAUGUUCGGAUGCAUGAGACGAACAUGUAUGCAAAAGAAAUGCACAUGAUGACAUGAUAUGCAAUGCAUGACACACAAGCAAAGAUAUGGCAACAACAGCAAAUAACUGGACGACACCUGGCACAUCGGUCUCGGGGCGUUACACCAUGGAAUUGCUGGAGGUCUGUGACGCAGCAAUGGCUAAGUACUUCACUAUGAUGCUGGAUGGAACGACCCGCACUUGGUUAAAGGGACUGCCACCUAAUUCCAUUGGUUCCUGGGCCGAGUUAAAGGCCCGGUUUAUUCAGAACUUCAAAGAUACAUGCAAGCAGCCCAUGUCGAUUGUGGACUUGACUAAUUGCAAGCAAGAGGAAGGUGAGUCCACGACCCAUUGGGUGCGCCGGGUAAAGGAAAUAAUACAUUCAUCUGAUAAGAUGGAUGUCGGUUCCGCGGUGUUAAUGUUGGAGAAAAAUUGCCGCUUUGAACCUCUGAAACAGAAGCUGGGGCGGCUCAAGCGCGAUUGUAAUGACAUGGGCCAGCUGAUGGCGGCUCUAGUCAAAUACGCCAACUCUGAUAGUAACAAGGAUCCCGCGUAUGAUGAAGAAAAGACAGGGAAGGGAAAGAAGAACGACAAUGCGAUGGGUCUUCAGCAUAACUCGGCAAAUCAAGGAGGCAAGAAUAAGGCCAACGGCAGCUUGGAGUUUGUAGCAAAUGCGCAGGGCAACAAUCAAUGACGUAAGGGGAUGCCACCUCCUCGGUCAGGCGGGUCAUGUCCUACCCUUGAGCAGUUACUAAAUGAACCAUGUCCAAGACACGACACUACUAGAAAAAGGGCUGCUAGUGGCGCAUCUAUUUUCGCUACUAAUGGCGCACUACUGGUGCGCCACUAGCUUCACGCCAUUAGAAUUUUUUUCUAAUGGCGCACCUGUGGUGCGCCAUUAGAAUCUGGUAUUCUAAUGGCGCACCGCGCCAUUAGUAUGGCCCACGGUGUGCCAUUAGUACCAUUAGUAACAAUUUUUUUUUCAAUUUUUUUUUAAUUUUUUUCAAAAAAUUUCAAUUUUUUUCGUUUUUUUCUUAAUCUCAGGUCAAUAUGCUUAAUCUCAAGUCAAAUCGCACUCCAUGGUCAAACUUCCCGAAAGGUCACCCAUCCUCACACUACUCCAGCCCAAGCACACUUAACUUCAAGGUUCUAUCCAACCCCAGCAACAACUCACUUCACAGGCACUUGUUGAUAUAUCUAGCAUAUCAAUCCUAUUAUACCUUGUUGAUGUCUAGGACUUUGUUCAUGUUCAUGACUAUGAUGAAAUUUUGAAAAAUAUUUCAAACUUCCCGGUCAUAUUACGUAUCAUUUUUUGAAAAUAAAAAUUUCAAAACCUUUUUUUUAAUUUUUUUGCCUCUAGAUCUUGAAAGCCCUGUAACUUUUUUUGUGUUAGGUUUUUGGGGAUUUUGAAAAUGUUUAACGGGGUUCCCCCGAUUAAAUUCGGAUGUACCUUUUCGAGUAGAUGAUUUUUCAUAUAUAAAACAUUUUAAUCCGAGUUCGUAUGCAAAAGUUAUGCCAUUUUACAAAUUUCCAGAGAGAUUUUGCAAAUAAAGUCGAAAUUUAUAUUUGUAAAUUUUCCCAACAACUAGACCACAUAUCACAUGGCAAACUUAUUUUCUUUUAUUUUUUUGACAUUUUUAUCAUUUUUUUAUUUUUUUAAACUGAAAAGGCGGUCCAGGGGGGGUGCAUUCGGUGGAAGCCGGGCAAACUAGUAAUGGCGCACCGUGGGGUGGUGCGCCAUUAGUAGUUAAACUAGUAAUGGCGCACCACACCCACAGUGCGCCAUUACUAGUUUUGAAAAAAAAUUGAAUUUUUUUUGAUUUUUUUUAAAAAACUUAGUAAUGGCGCACCAGUGGACAGUGCGCCAUUACNNNNNNNNNNNNNNNNNNNNNNNNNNNNNNNNNNNNNNNNNNNNNNNNNNNNNNNNNNNNNNNNNNNNNNNNNNNNNNNNNNNNNNNNNNNNNNNNNNNNNNNNNNNNNNNNNNNNNNNNNNNNNNNNNNNNNNNNNNNNNNNNNNNNNNNNNNNNNNNNNNNNNNNNNNNNNNNNNNNNNNNNNNNNNNNNNNNNNNNNNNNNNNNNNNNNNNNNNNNNNNNNNNNNNNNNNNNNNNNNNNNNNNNNNNNNNNNNNNNNNNNNNNNNNNNNNNNNUGUCAACUAGUAAUGGCGCACCACACCCACGGUGCGCCAUUAGUAACAAUUUUUUUUUUCAAAACUUCUAAUGGCGCACCGCACACCAGGUGCGCCAUUAGUAAUAUAUUACUAAUGGCGUACCUGUAUGUGGUGCGCCAUUGCUAUAUUCUAAUGGCGCACCACACAUGUGGUGCGCCAUUAGUGACCAUUUCAUCUAUAGCCGUUUUCCUAGUAGUGCGACACCCGAGAGAAGCCGACCAACCAUCUAUGAAAGGACUGUGCGAUCAUGAGGGCUUUCAAGAAUUCUAACAUGUUCGAUGGUAAUCAUGGCCCGGACAGCGGUUCAGGUGGUGGCGGUUUUCAUGGCCCGGGCAGCAGUUCAGGCGCUGGCGGUUCUCAUGGCCAGGGCCCUCAAGGUAAUCAGGGUGGUUAUAAUCAGCAAUCUGGCCAAGGAGGUCAGCAGCAGCAGCAAUCUGGGUAUCAGAGUAACCCAAAGCAGCUGAGUAGUGGGUAGUAUCACGUGUUCACCACCAGUUUAUGCAAAAGGGACCAGAAACUUCAUAAGAGGGCUGUGAACGCUGUUGAACCGGUGGUUCCUCGUUAUUUGAGAUGGUCCGAGCAGCCUAUUCUGUGGAGUAGGGAGGAUCACCCUCCCUGGGUUGACAAUCCGGGUCACCUGGCCUUGGUAGUGGCACCUCAGGUUGGUGGAUAUAAGUUCACAAAAGUACUCAUGGAUGGAGGCAGCAGCAUCAACAUCCUCUAUUAUGAGACCUUUCGUCGCAUGGGGUUAACUGAUAAGAAUCUCAGGAUGUCCAACACUGUUUUUCAUGGAGUAGUGCCCGGUAAGUCAGCGUAUCCAGUGGGUAAGAUUGAGUUGGAAGUAGCCUUUGGAGAUGAGCAUGAUUCCAGGGCGGAGAAGUUAACGUUUGAGGUUGUCAAAAUCAAGAGCCCGUAUCACGCCCUGUUUGGACGAUCGACUUAUGCAAAAUUUGUGGCACGACCGUGUUACGUUUAUCUGCAACUCAAGAUGCCGGGUCAUAAAGGUACUAUGAUAGUACAUGGGAGUCGGAAGAUAACCUUAGAGUGUGAGGAAGGCGAUGCUGCUUACGCAGAAUCUGUUUGUGCAACGGAGGAGUUAAAGUUCCACAAAGACAAUGUUGACCCGACAGACAUGACAUCUUUGAAGAAGCCAACUACCGAACAUGAGCCGGUGCUGAAGUUUAAGUCGGGUGACGAUACCAAGAUGAUUGAUUUUGUUCCUGGCGACUCAUCCAAACAGUUUAUUAUCAGUGCCAAUUUGGAUCCCAAAUAGGAAGGCACGCUCAUCGAGUUCAUCCAUGAGAACUGGGACAUCUUUGCAUGGAAACCCUCUGACAUGCCGGGUGUACCGAGAGAACUCGCUGAGCACACUCUUAAUAUUGAUCCAAAAUUUAAGCCGGUCAGGCAGUUUCUUCGGCGGUUUAAUGAGGAGAGGCGUAAAGCUAUUAGUGAGGAGGUGGCCCGGCUCUUGGCGGCCGGGUUUAUUGUUGAAGUUUUUCACCCAGAGUGGUUGGCUAACCCAGUGCUUGUACUCAAAAAGAAUGACACACCUGGCGCAUGUGUGUGGAUUAUACAGACUUAAACAAAGCUUGUCUGGGUGAUCCUUUCGCUCUCCCCCGUAUUGAUCAAAUCAUUGAUGCUACGGUGGGUUGUGAGCGUUUGAGCUUUUUGAAUGCUUAUUCUGGUUAUCAUUAGUUCAAUAUGGCAGCUAAGGACCAGGAGAAGACGACUUUUAUUACUCCGUUUGGAGCCUUCUGCUAUGUGUCUAUGCCUCUUGGGCUUAAGAGUGCCCAGGCAACUUAUCAACACUGUGUACAAAACUGUCUUCACAAUCAGAUUGGGCGCAAUGUUCAUGCUUAUGUGGACGAUAUAGUGGUGAAAUCCAGAGAGAAGGAGACCUUGAUAGAUGAUCUGAAGGAAACCUUUGAUAAUCUCCGGGUCUACAAGAUGAUGCUUAACCCGGCCAAGUGCGUUUUUGGAGUACCGGCGGGCAACCUUUUGGGUUUUUUGGUUUCUAACAAAGGCACUGAGGCUAACCCGGAGAAAAUCAAGGCGGUCACGUCUUUGGCUAAGCCGGUAUGCAUCAAUGACGUUCAACGAUUGGCGGGUCGUGUUGCAGCUUUAAGCCGAUUCAUAGGCCGGUUAGGUGAGAAGGCUAUGCCGUUAUAUCAAAUGAUGAAGAAGACGGAUGAUUUGUCUGGAGUGAUGCUGCUAACUCUGCCUUUGAAGAUCUGAAAAGACAGCUCGCUGAGCCGCCGGUUCUUGCUGCUCCCGUUGAUAAGGAGCCACUGUUGUUAUAUGUGGCUGCUAACACACGUGAUGUCAGUGUGGCCAUUGUUGUAGAGCGCAAAGAGGCUGGCAAGGAAUAUCCGGUUCAACGGCCGAUUUACUACGUCAGCGAGGUGCUCAUUGAGUCCAAACAAAGAUAUCCACAUUGUCAUAAACUUGUUUAUGGGGUGUUCAUGGCGAGCCGGAAGCUUAAGCAUUACUUUCAGGGUCAUCCUAUCAAUGUGGUUAGCUCUGCUCCUUUAGGAGAUAUUAUUCAAAAUAGAGAAGCCACGGGAUAAGUCGCCAAGUGGGCCAUUGAACUUGGGUCUCAUGGUUUAAAGUAUGUACCACGUACUGCCAUCAAAUCUCAAGCGCUGGUGGACUUCAUUAACGAUUGGAUAGAGUUGCAGAUGCCUGAAGAGAAACCAGACAACACAUAUUGGACGAUUCAUUUUGAUGGGUCCAGGCAAUUGGAAGGCUCAGGGGCUGGAGUUGCUUCAACUUCCCCUCGAGGUGACAAAUUUUGUUAUGUGUUGCGUUGAUGUUUCCUUGUACUAAUAACGCAACUGAGUAUGAGGCCUUACUCCAUGGUCUUCGAAUGGCUAAAGAAAUGAGUUUAAGCCGGGUAAGGUGCCUUGGCGACUCAUAUUUUGUGGCUCGGCAAGUAUCAGGCAAGUGGGACUCCAAGGAUCCUCUCAUGGCGGCUUAUCGCCGUGAGGUUGACGCUGUUGCUGGACACUUCAAGGGUUAUCAAGUGGAGCACAUUGACCGCAGAAAGAACGACGCGGCUGAUGCUUUAAGCUGGUUGGGAUCUCAGCAUAAGCCGGUGCCACCUAACACUUUCUUAGAUGUUCUGCAUAGCCCUUCUGUCAAAUUGCCUACAGAGGAAGACUUGGCUAUUCCGGACCCAGAAGCACAAUUGGUGGCGGCUCUUCACGUCAUCCCAGAUUGGACAGUGCCAUAUUUGGCUUAUAUGACCCGGGGUGAGUUACCUGAUGAUGAGACUUUAGCUAGACAGAUAACCCGGCGGUCUAAAUCAAUGACAAUUUCCAAUGGUGAGUUGUAUCAUCGCAGUGUCACCGGGGCGUUUCAACGCUGUGUCUCUCCUGAGGAAGGUCAAGAAAUUCUUCGUGAGAUCCAUGAAGGAGAUUGUGGCCAUCAUGCCGGUUCAAAGUCUCUUGUGGCCAAAGCCUUCCAUCAUGGCUUUUACUGGCUAACCACUCACACUGAUGCAGAGGAUCUGGUCAGUAGGUGCGAUGGGUGUCAAAAAUUCACAUGACGAGCGCACGUGCCGGCUCAAGAAUUGCGGAUGAUUUCAAUUACUUGGCCGUUUGCAGUCUGGGGACUUGAUAUGGUUGGACCUUUCAAAAGGUCCAAAGAUAAAAAGACACACCUUUUGGUGGCAGUGGACAAAUUCACAAAGUGGGUUGAGGCAGAGCCGGUUAGUAAGUGUGAUGCAACCACGACAGUUCAAUUCAUGAAGAAAGUAAUUUUUCGUUUUGGCUUUCCACACUGCAUUAUAACUGACAAUGUUACUAACCUGUCCCAAGGAGCUAUGGAAGAAUUCUGUCAACGAGAAUAUAUCCGGCUUGAUGUUUCAUCAGUAGCUCACCCCCAAUCCAAUGGUUAAGCUGAAAGAGCCAAUCGGGAAAUCUUGAAAGGUCUAAAACCCCAGCUUAUGGUCCCUUUACAACGGAUGCCAAGUUGUUGGGUGGAAGAGUUACCCUCUGUGAUAUGGAGCAUCAAUACUACCCCUAACAGGUCUACGUGUUAUACACCUUUCUUCAUGGUUUAUGGAGCAGAGGCAGUCUUCCCUAGUGACAUCCGUCAUGACUUGCCCCGAGUGUCGGCUUAAGUUGAAGCUGAUAAUGAACAAGCCCAUCAGGAUGCGCUUGACCUAUUGGAUGAAGAGCGUGACUUAGCAACAGCCCGCUCAGCGAUUUACCAAUAGGACCUGCGUCGUUAUCACAGUCGCCGGGUUAAGUCAAGAACCUUUCAGGAAGGUGACCUAGUGAUCCGGCUCAUCCAGGAUCAGUCUGAUGCGCACAAGUUAACCCCACCCUGGGAAGGACCCUUUGUGGUUAGCAAGAACUUGAAUAACGGGUCAUACUACCUUAUCGAUGUUCGAGAGCACAAAGACUCACGUAAGUCGGAGGAGGAGACCCGCUGGCCGUGGAAUAUUUCUCAUCUUCGGCCUUACUACAGUUGAGCCACCGGCUCUCAUAAUGUACAUACUUUGACUUUGUAUAUAUUAUGAUAAGUAAUAAAGCAGGACCUCUAUCCUUUUUCAUCCUUAAUGAUCACAUUUCUUUGUUAUUUUAAUUAUAAAGCGACCACUUGGGGGCUGAUCGUAUUCGAAUUUAGCUUCACCCUCUUGGUCCGGCUCAUGAUCAUAUUCGAAUCUAGCCGUUAAAACUCAUGAUCACUAGCGGGCUUCCUGUUCAAACAUAGGUCGUAUUCGGACCAAAGAGAACAUAGCUGUCGUUACCCUCUUGAUCAGCGCAAAGCCAAACUCACUAGGGGGCUUCUUGAUCGUAUCCGAAUCAUAGCUUAACCCCUUUUGGGUCCAACUUGGAUCGUAUUCGAAUCAGGGUCGUUAAAAACCUCCCAAGGUCAUUUGGGGGCUUCCUGUUCAAACAUAGGUCGUAUUCGAACCAAAGAGAACAUAGCUGUCGGUACCCUCUUGGUCGGCGUAACGCCAAAGCCACUGGGGGCUACAUGAUCGUAUUCGAAUCCUAGCUUAACCCCUUUGGUUCGGUUUACUGAUCGUAUUCGAAUCAGAAGCCUCCAAAUCUUUCUUGGUGCUUGAUUUACAUUGUUUGAAAGAUAAUCUUUUGUUUUUCUGGUUUUUGUUGUCUAAAAUUUAACUGUAAGUAUGGUUUCAAUUUAAACCGGCUUGGUUCUUUGACAAUGAAUUGCCAGUGUAUAACAGUCAUCAUUCAUAUGGAAGUAUUGGCUUUUAAAGAUUGGGUUAUCACCCUUACUGUUCGGGUUACAUAAGCCGACAGCCCAUAUUCAAGAUCACAGGUAUGAUAUUGUCGUUAAAAUUCAUAACAGACUCAUUUGUGUUUUCUUCAAUCAAAGACUUUCCAGCCUUAUUUAUCCUUACAUCUAGCCUUGAUUAUACAGUUAUGUUAAUUUCCAUAAGUAUGCACUGGGUGUUUUGACCCGUCCAGCGACAAACCGCCAGGACAAUUGUUCAUCUUUUACAUACAGGAACAGAUUCAAACGCUAUAGAUAUGAUAAAGGAUGUAAAGCAUAUAUUGACAUCAUGGAUAAAAGUGUCAUAUGCACGAUGUCAUAGGCAAAACAUGAAGUUUUAAGCUAGCCUAUUACAAGGCGUUUGGAGCCCAAAAGGGUAAUACUGUUUUUCUCCCGAGUAGAUGUUAAACUAAAGCCGGUUCAUUAAAUCUUGGCCGGGUUAUUUCGAUGGUUACGACUCCUCCCUCGCCGGUUCAUCUUCCUCCAUCGUUUGGAAACUGUGCUUGGACCAAUCAAAGACAUGAAGAGCAACGAACUGAGCUUCAUCAUCAAUUAGACCAGACGGGUCAAUUUCUGGGGCAAAGGUGUGUUGGUGAACCGACGGGAUUAGAUCUAUCACUUUAUACGAAGGAGUCGCCAUCUUUUUAUUCUCAGCGUCAAAACCCAGCUGAUAAUCAACAUUGGUCUCGUCGCCAAGGAUGGUAGCAUGAGGACGAAUUACCUUCAUGCAAGCAGCAAAAUAUUCUUGAUCAAACAGAGUCUUGUCUUCCUUAAAGCUGGGAUACCCCUUGGCUACAUCCGCCGGGUCUAGCUCUGGUACCUAGGCUUUGGAGCGGCUUAGAGCAGUUAGGGCUCCGGCUUUUGCACAUGACCGCUCGACUUCUUGGAAUCUGGCGGGUAAGAUAGAUAACUUCUUCAAGACAUCACUCAAGAGGUUUGGUCCUUGGUUAGCUGGGGAAAUAAUGGCAAGCACCCGUUGAGCUCUAGUGUACAGUUGCUCCACUAGGGUGUAAACCGCCUUGAGUUUUAUCAAGCUGUUUUGGCUCAGAUUGUUGUUCCGUGGACCUAUGAGUAUUCCAAAAGGUUAAGCAGGUGGCUUAUAUUUAUGGCAAAAAUAGAGUUUAAGUAAAUAAUACAAUAACUCACCGAAGAUUGCAGAGACCAUCUGAGACACAUGGUUCUUCAAACCGGUGAGUUCAGUGGUAACUUCCUUGAGAGCCGCCUCGGCUGUCUCAGCAUGCUGUAUUAUCAAGGUUUUUUCAUCGGCCCAUGAUUUUUUUCUCUACAUCAAAACUGGUCUUCAGUUUCUGUGCUUCAGAUGGGCUCAACUAGAGUUUGGAUUCAGUAUUCUUUAUCUCAGUCUCUUGAGCCGCCAACCGGGUUUUCGCAUUAGCCAGUUGAGAAUCCAAGUCAGUUGUGGUGGUCUACAGACAUGCACAGGUGUGUCAAAGUUUAUUCCAAUAAAGGUCAUAGUGAUUAAAGUCCCAAGUGCUUUGCAAAGCAACACCACUCGGCACUUGGGGGCUAAUGUCUGCCAAAGCAGUUUUUAAAUGCAGAAAUGACUCUUCUAAAAAAUGUCCCAAGUGUUUUACAAGUAACAACGCUUGGCACUUGGGGGCUAAUGCAUGCUAUUCAGAAAGUUUUUUCCUCUUGAGCCGGACAACAAUAUUAGUUUGGACUGAUUCAAGACAGCUAUGAAGUUAAGUACCGGCUCAUUCAUGAUGAAUUAAGCCGACCCUUGGGGACUAUAGGUGAAAUUAUGUUCAUCAGAUAAAUCCGGUUAAACAUUUUAAACCAGACUUGGGGAAAGUCCAGGUCAGAACAUCAACCUAUAUCACAAGUCUACAGAUCAUUCAAGUUUAUCAUAAUUAGGAGACUUGGGGGGCUGGCAGAGCAGAUAAACUAACGAAAGCCGGAGAACAUACCUCAUAUUUUAGUUGCAGCUGUUUGACCAUCUCAAUUUCAGAGUCAUGGCUAGAAUGCACAUGACUAAGGUAGCCAGAUAGCACAUCACUAAUACUCAGGUGAGCAUAUUGAGAGAUGUCAAACCACACUUUUUGCUUUUCCAAAGCCUCUUGCUUGGCGGAGUGUCUGGCUAGCACAGUUGGAUUGCCCGGUUCAACAAAUCUACUACCAGUGAUUAAAACGUCACUGUCAUAUGUCGCCGACGGGUUAGAUGAGCUUGACGGUUCAACAGUAGAUGGAUUGAGAACAAUAUCAUCAAUAGACGGCUCAGGAGGAUCUAUUUGAACAUUCACAGUCAGGUCUUCUAGUGCUUCAGGUUGUCCCGGGGCAAGAGUCGGUAAUGCCGGUUCAGCGGCUUUUGGUCCUUCAGUCGGCUUAAUCACCCUUGCCUUCUUGGGUUUUGCUUGACCACUAAGAGGAAUUCGAUGAAUCAGUAUAAUGAUACGGACAUAGAGAUGCAAAAGAAGGAUAAUUAUCUUUACCCAGGGGCAGUCUUGAAAGCCGGAAGUUGAGUUUGUGAAGAAUCACCAGAAGAACAAGAGACCUCCUGCAAAAGUGAAAUCAGAAUUAAAAAGAGCAAGGAAAUAGAUUCAUUAAUAAAGGCAAAAGUCAAAGGUGAAAGAAACCUCAUUUUGGCGUUUCUGAGGAGUUUUUGGUAAGUCGGAGGGCAGUUCAUUGUCGUCACUGGUCUGGGUCUGACGGCGGCUCUCAUGUUGCUGUUUUUUCAAAAGAAAAUGAGGAUCCAAAUAAGCCAAAGGGUGUGAAAACCUUACUUUCUGGGUUACCAGUUGAGGUUUCUGUCUUGGCAAAGGUUCUGAGUCGGAGGAAAUAAUUACCUCUUCUUCUACUGCCUAGCUGGCCCCCCGUGUCAUCAUGGCAAUAGUCAGUGUCAAUAAGGUUGUUAAAAAGCAGGCCAAGAGAGUCAAGGGCUACCUCCAACUCAGAGGCGUCAUCCAACUUGAGAAGAUCAGAAGCAGUUGGUUUCUUUUUGGGUUUUAUAGUUGCCUUCUUGGCGGCUAUUGCGGGGGCUCUAGCUUUUUUGGCAGCCUCAUGAUCGUAUUUGGCUUUCCAAAACUCAGAUUUAGCCUAUAGGAAAGUAACAGGUUGAAACUCAAGCAAAAACUUCACUACUUAGGAAAAAGAAGUCAAGGGAAUUUACCUCUGGUGCCGGAUUAAGUUUGCGGAAAGGAUUCAAUCCAACUUUACUGCAGUCUUCAUAUUUACUGUUUACAAGGGUGGUUGACAUUUCAACAAUGUCCUCUUCAGUUAGUUGUAGAGAACUAUGAUGUAGAGGGUCAUCUGGUCCUCAGGCAUAGUUAUACAUCAAGUCAGAUCGGCGACUCAGAGGGAUGAACUGCCAUGCGAUCCAAUAGCGGAUCAAGUCAACUCCAGUUAAGCCGUUUCACAACAAGGCUUGAACCCUUUUGAUGGUUGGGAUGAGCUUCUUACGUUCAGUGACAGAAAGCUUGUCAGGGAGUGAAAACUUAGCGUCAAGACGCUCCGCGCGAUAACCCGGCAUUGUUUUUCCAUCAGCUAGCGAUGUGUCUUUGCAAUAAAACCAAGUUGGGUUCCAAUCCUUGGGAUGGCUUGGUAAGACUACUAAGGGAAAGAAAACAUCCCGUCUGCGCUGAAUCAAAAUUCCACCAAGUUCCAUGCUGGGGCUGUUGGUGUAUUCAUUCUGGCGGUUCAAAUAGAAAUACUCUUUGAAGAGUUCAACAAUAGGUUCUUCUUGAAGAUAAACCUCGCAGAGAACUUGGAAAUUGUAGAUAUUUGAUAUUGAAUUGGGUCCAAGAUCUUGUGGAUGAAGCUUGAAAAAGUGCAGAACAUCUCUGAAGAAUUUUGAGCCGGGCGGUGAAAACCCCCGGUUCAUAUGGUCAGUAAAGACGAUGACUUCACCAUCUUUGGGCUGAGGUCGUUCUUCGGCCGGGUCAGGGGCGCGAUAGGACAUAAUGCUCUUCUCUGGUAAAUAUCCAAUGGUGACAAAAUCCUUCAGAGUGUCAUCAGUAACUAUGGAAGGGACCCAGUUGCAAACUGUCAUCGUCUUUGGCGGCAUGGUGAGAGGACAAGCUAAAAAGGAAGUAAUUACCGGUUUAAGUUAAAUGGUGGAAUUACAGGUUAAAUACAGAUGCGUAAUGGCGGCUUAAAUAAUGGCUAAUGAUAUAUGAAGGAAAAAUGAGCCGGCAUGAUAAGCCGCCAUGACUAAAGGUAUUCAAAAAUUGCCAGCGACAAGAAAUUGGCUAAGUACCGAGAGAAACAAGUUUCACAAGCUGUUGCUACUAUUUUGGAUCAAGAUUGUUCAAAAAAAGGAAAAUAAAUCUAGACCUAAAAAACCAGUACAGAGGAGUUCAUCAGUUCUAAGGAGGCCUUUGUACAAGAAAAGGGGAUCUACUAGCAUCUGAAAUGGAUGUGAAACAACUGCCGCAUGAGUUCCAUACUUCUUUUAGAUCAAAAGAGGAUGCGGUAGAGAAAACUAUGAAGAAUCCAUGAUGAACAAUGAAGAACAUAGAAGAACUUGCAAACCCUAAUGCGGAUCUAAGGUGGGGAAAAGCAAAAACUUAUGGACGCAGAUCUACUACGGAGGGUCGCCGCCGUUCUCUGGACAAGCUCAGGUUGAUUCAGCGGCCAAGGUUGAGGACGACGGCGAGCGCUGCGGCGGCGGCAGAGCUUGAGCGACAGAGGGUUGCGAGAGAAGGAAGAAGAAGAAUGCGGAGGGCCAGCCGUGCCUAUUUAUAAGGAGAUAGGCGAACAGGCAGGUGUGAAAAACGAGGAAGGCGAAUGAAAGUUAUCUAUCUAGAUGGAUGCCUCGAUUUUCGGAAAGACAUUAAGAUAAAGAUCCGUUAAGGUGACGUCGUGGCAGGAUUCUACAAAUUCCAGAGAUGAUGUCAUGGCGGGUUACAAGGUUUUCACGGCAGUGGUAGAUGGAUUUUUUCUAAGUGUUGAAGAUUGACAUGAACAUGGUUCAAAUCAACCUGGGGCCUAAUGUUGGGGAUAUGACUACCAGGUAUGACCCGCCCAGGAGGGGCCGGGUCAACUACAAAUGGCGGUUUACAUAAAUAAAGCCCAUGAGUAUACAAGAUGAAAGUUUACGAUUAGGCUUAUAAUAGGCCCAAGCCAGGAGGCGGCUCAUGGCCCGUAAGUAUAAACUGCCAUGUAUGAGUAGACUUGUAAUGCGAGGCAUAUAAUAUACGUCGUCGAGUUGGACACGUUGUAUGAGCCGGCCGGGACUCUGUAGGCCGCAGGGCGUCAACCCGUGUAUAUAAGGGGACGACCUGGCGGCGGCUUAGGGUAAGAAACAACAGAUCGAGAGCCAAGUCAAGCGGAUUCGCUCCUUGGUCAUCGAAACCUAGCAAUACCAUAACAACUGGACUAGGCCUUUACCUUCACCGCAAGGGGCCGAACUAGUAUAAACCUCUCGUGUCCUUUGUCCCAAUUAACCCCUUUAAGCUUCCUAGUUGCGAUGGCUCCACGACUAAGUACUUUCACUAGGACAUCUGCCGUGACAAUUCCACGACAUCAAGUUUUUCAUUUUCCUUAAGAGGAUGAUCAGGCAAAGCAUUAAGUAAUUAGAGAAGCCUCCCCCAAGCUUGUGGGAGACUCUCUUCUUCAAUUUGCACAAAAUUAUAUAUUUCCCUUAAAGAAACUUGUUUCUUAUGAGCAGGGAAAUAUUUAGCAGAGAAGUAAUAAAUCAUAUCCUGGGGACUACGCACACAACCAAGAUCAAGAGAAUUAAACCAUGUCUUAGCAUCACCCUUUAAUGAGAAUGGAAAUAAUUUAAGGAUAUAAUAAUAGCGAGUUUUCUCAUCAUUAGUGAACAGGGUAGCUAUAUCAGUUAAUUUAGUAAGAUGUGCCACAACAGUAUCAGAUUCAUAGCCAUAGAAAGGAUCAGAUUCAACCAAACUAAUUAUCUCAGGGUCGACAGAGAAUUCAUAAUCCUUAUCAGUAACAAAGACAGGUGAAGUAGCAUACGCAUGAUCAUAUUUCAUUCUAGAAUUCACAGUUUUUUGUUUCAGCUUAGCUAAUAAUUUCUUAAGAUCACUCCUAUCAUUGCAAACAAGAAAAUCUCUAGCAGUUUCUUCAUCCAUAACAUAGCCCUCAGGCAUAACAGGUAAUUCAUAUCUAGGGGGAUGUAGGAUCGAAAAUAUGUCUAGAGGGGGGUGAUUAGACUACUUGACCAAAUAAAAA